AAGUCGAUAAGUGUUUGGAUGUACGACAAGUACGAGUCUAAUGAUCAUUCAUACCACAACGAAAGCAUUGAUUUUCACCACUUUUUAAUUUCUUAUUUUGUGGAGUUUUUUCUCUAUGAUCAUCAUUUGUGGUCUUGAAAUCUAAAUGAUUAUUACUACGGAAGGGUAUAAUUACUUUUUCCUUUACCACGGUCAUGACCUCGACCACGACCUCGACCUCGACCAUUAUUGUUUGAAAAUACAACAUUCACUUCAGGAAAUGAUGUUGUUUCAGUUGGCUGAGAGUCAUAGUUAUUCAUUAAUAACUUGUUAUUUUGUUCAGCCACAAGAAGACAUGAUAUGAGUUCAUAAUUUUUUUUUAAACCACCCUUCUCGAUAUUGUUGCUGCAGGAGCAUAUUCGAGACAUGAAAUGUGAAAAAUGUUUUCUCUAACAUAUCUUCAUCAAUAAUUUUUUCUCCGCAUAACAAUAGUUUUAAACAAAUUUUAAAUAAUGUGGAAUUAUAAUCACUUACUGAUUUAAAAUCUUGCAACAUUAAUCUUUGGCCAACUUCUUAUUGAUUGUUUACCAAAUAAUCGUCUAUUGUUUUGUAACUGAUCCUACCAAGUGCUUGCGCCACCUUGAAGUUUGAGAGCAACUAAUUAGACCUUCUUGUGUUCGGGUGUAUUGGCAUAGUCGAAAUUUUUUUCUACAUUCUUGAUCUAAUUAAGAAACUUCUCCACGUCCAUUCGACCAUUGAAGGUAGGGAGAUCUACUUUCAUACGUAUUUCUUGAUCUUCUUGAAAGUAUGGUCGAAGUCCAAGCCUUUGUUGAGGUUCUUGAUGAGUGUUCAACAAGUUGUCUUUAUCAGAAGAGUCAAAAUCGUCUAAGAAAUAUCCAAGUACGUUGUUUCCAUACAAUCAGUUAUUGUGGAUGUGAAUAGGUUGACUUCUUAGUCGUUCUUGGUUUACAGCAGGGUUUCUUGGUCUUUCUUGUCUUUCUUGGUUUGAUGCAAUUGGGGUUCUUGGGGGCUGAAUUGCUUCUUCUAAAGGUUGGACAUGAAAUCGGGUAAAAGGUUUGUUAAUUCUAUUAAUGAUGUUGUAUAUCCGACUGCCCUUUUCAAAGUUCUUCAACAGCUUUUCUACCAACUGCAAGCGUUGGUUGAAGAAGGCUUCUGCGUCCAUCGAUAAGAGUGAUAGGAUCCAAGUUUUUUGAGGGAAAGGUGAGCUAGGAUCACGCUCUGAUACCAAUUGAUGCAGUAAAAAUCUUUAUGUAUAAUGUAUUUUUUUAUGAUUUAUUAAUGGAAAUGAGAACUUUUUAUAGGCUAGAGAUUACCAGAGUUGUUAAACUAAAUUGGGGUUGAGUUAGUUUAACUUGAGAUUGAGUUGGUUUAUUUAUAAUUAACUCAAGAAACAAAAUUGGUAAUUCAAAUAACUAAUCCUAAAUUAUAAAAAUGGUAAUUCAGACCCCUCCUCUAGGAUAAAACUCAAGAAACAUCAAGAAGUGGAUGUUCUACAUCAAUUUUUCAAUUCAUAAAAAUAAUAAAUGUUUUGAAACUUACAACUUAAAAAAAUGUUUUUAUGAAAUUUUGUUUUGUGUUGUAUGGGGAUGUUUGUUUUCUUAUUUUUCAAUGAAUUGGGUAUUUUGUGUUGUAGGGCAAUCUUCUUCUUUUUCAGUUGUAUUGAUCUCGUGGGCAGUAAAAUACCUUCUUGCUCUAUCCAUUUCAUUUCUUUUGUCCAAUUGAAUGAGAAAUUUGUAUUUUUUUUUUUUUUUUGCCUUUAGUUAGAGUCAACUUUAUGUAUGUAUUUGAUUGCUCCUUGUUCAUCUGUAUUUUUUUAGACAGUAUUAGGAUUAUCUAAAAAAUACGCAUUCAUAAAAUAAAAGAUAUAAUUGUAGAUUGUAUAGAUAUUUACAUGAAGCAUUUCUUUAGCAUAUUUAGAGACGUCACAUCCUACUAAUAUUUUCGAUGCCUCAAAAGUAGUUAUGUGCGCAUUCAUUUCUCCAUCAGAAACUAACAUUUUGAGCAUAUAUUUUCUAAUGAAGGUUCAAUCUUUACUGCAAUUGCUACAAAAAGUUGUUGCAUCGUUAUAAGUUGUUGCAUCGUUAUCAUUUGGAUACAGUCUCUGAAAGCAUGUUUUACAUUUUUCAAACCAUGAUUUUUCUUUAUUAGAUAUAGUAAUAAUUGAUGCUAUGAAAGAACAAUAUAUAGCCUCACUCACUCAUUCAAUUAUAUUUUUUAUGCUAACCACUUUAGGUUCUUGCAUUCUUCUUGAAGAAUUUAUAAUAGACAACUUUCUAUAAUCAACUAAAUUUUCUCUCCUGCGUGAUAUGUUUGGACAUGAAAGAACAAUAUAUAGCUCCUUUGUAUCGGGAAGUUUCAGAUCCAUAAGGAUAAUACUCGAUAUAGCUGUUGACAAACUCACUUUCCCUAUUUUUUUAAAAAGCAUUAAGAAUAUACAUUUAAUUUAUUAACAUAUUAUAUGAUUUCCAAGUAGAGAGAUAUUAUAAUUUUAUAUUUAAUCCUGAUAUAUAUCUUUGUAGAUCUUAACUUUAACAUUGGUUACCACAAUUGUAAGAUUAUUGCUAGCAUAUUUUUCCAUUUCUGAACUUUCAUUUUCUGCCAAAUCACUCCAUAAUGUUAACUUCAUCGUAGAACAACUUCAAAUUACAAUGAAAAAUUGUUUGAAUAUAUAUAUGAAAAAAUAGCUAAAUGUGAAUAACAAGAACUUAAAUCAAAAUAAAUGAAAUAUCUAUUUACAUUACCUCUCAUCUAUAGGCUAAAUAUCUCUUUUUGUCAAACUUAUGUUGUUUGAGUUGUAAUGGAUCACACAAAAAAAGACAAUUCCUACAAAAUCUAUUCAUGAAAUUGUAUUAAACUAAACAAAUAAAUAAAUGAGAAAAACAAAAUCAACUAACAAAUUAAAAAAUCAAUUUACAAGCCUAUUAAUGCUUUUUUGUCAACUAGUAAUGAAAUUGCUUGAAAUUCAACAAAAUCAAAUUUCAACAUAUUAAAAUUGCUUGACUCUUCUAGUUCUUCCAUGUUUGAUAUGGGAGACAAACUAAUUUCAAUAUCGAGAUUAACACUUGAAAAUUUCAUAUUUAAAUAUAUAUAUAUAAAAAAGAAAAAAUAAAUUAAUUUAAUAAAGAAAUAUAUUUUUAGAAUGUAAAUGUUUAAUAUAUAUAUUAUAUUAUAUAUGUGUAUGUAUAUAUAAAUAAUGAGAAAAAGUGAAAUGUGUGGAACUCACGUAUAUAAAUAAUGAGAAAAUAAAAAAAUGUGGGGUCUAGUGUAGUGUAUAUAUAAAAAUAAGAAAAAAUAGAAGAUGUGGAGUCCACUGCAUGAAAGUCGUGUACCAGAAAGUCGUGUACCCGGUACACGACUUCACCUCAAUUCACUUAUUUUUUAAAAAUAGUUUUGCACUCAAUCUAUUUUUGAUAUAUGUUUCAAAUUUUACAUUACUUUUAUAAAAGAUCCCAUUUCAUAUUCUUUCCUCUUCAAUUAACAAUUAGAAAUCAUAUAUAUUAAUUAGCAAUAUUUUGUUUUAUUUUAAAAAUGACAAAACUAUCCAUCAAAUUAAUUUCAAAAUGGUUAUAAAGGAAGGCCAAAAUAAGAAUAAAAAGUUUUUCCAUAUAGGAGCUUUUUUAUAUAUACAGUAUAUAUUUGUUUAAUUUCAUUUAAUAUUACUUAAAACUAAAUAUGGAAUAUAUUUCAUUACGUUCUUUUUAUUCGUUAUCAAUCAUAUUCUGUCGUAUUUUUUUCGCUUCCUUGCCUUUCCAUUCCCUUUCAUUAUCGACUUCUUGUGAUAAUAGAUCACCUACCAUUUUCUUCUGCUAGUGAGUUUCUUCUCACUAUAACGUACUUGUAGUGUUAAACGCAACACCUUUAACGUUUUGGCACAUCAGUUCACACCCUUCUAUUUGUCAUUUUCAUUUUUAUUUUAGAGAGAUAGAUGAGUAUCUUGUUUUACAUUGUAUUGGUUUUAUGCUCAUUUACCUAUUUAUUUUCUAUUAUAUAUCAAUAUUUUUCUUAUAUUUAAAAUUGUAUUUUCAUGAUUAACAUAAUAUAUUUUUAAUUAGAUGUAUUACUAUUUUUUAUAUAAUAUGUAUUAACAAGGUUUAUUAUUAUUAUUUUUUAUAUUUAGUUUGUUUGAUGUUUCUAUAAACGAAAGUAGUAUUUUGCUUAUGUUCAAAAUAUAUUCCAUGGUAUAUAUGUUCUAUAAGAAGUAGAUUGAUUCUUUUGUUAUUAACAAACGUAUAUACGUUUGUAUUACCUGAUAUAUUUUCAGGUUUCAUGUCUUCAACCCUUGGAAUACAUGCCGACCGAUGGUUGCCUCCAAUCACAAUCAACAUUAAUAAUCUUCACAAAUUUAUAACUUCAGUUUAAAUAUUGAGUUUGACACUAUGCUGCGAAUAUUAGUUCAAACUUCAACAUCGCCUACUUCCAUUUCACUACACCAUAUGUACAUACCAAUCAUAUACCAAAUAUAUGUACAAUUUUAUUUCUAUAUUUUGUUUUUAGUUUCAAAUAUGUGUCAGCUAGUUUAUUUAAAAUAAUAUCAUAACUUCCUUCUAUCUUAUUUUAUGAUCUAAUUUAUCAUGUGUUAAUAUUAUAUUAUAUAAUAUGGAAAAUAUAUAUGCUCUAAUCUAUUUCACGUAGUCAAGGUUACAAAUACCAUGUAAUUGAGAUUCUCAAUUCUUAAGAUUUAAUAGUCAUUCAUUAUAACAAACAUAUGCCAACUAUACAAUAUUAUACCAUUUUCAUUCGAUUUUCUUCUUUUUUCUUCAUGUCAUUAUAUAAAACUUUCUCGUCGAUUGACCUUAUCAACCUGUUGAUUUCUUCCCGAGUAUCCCCUGUGCCUUAUUACAAUUAUGUACACAUGUUAGUUACUAAGAUGUAUUCUAAACAUUAUGAAUAGGUUGUCUAUAUUCGGUUCUUUUCUUUUCCUUGUACUGUGAGCCAUCUCCCUCUUGUCCUUGGGUGGUAGGUAUUGUUUUUUAUGUGCUUAAUUUAGUUUGUCCACCAUCUGGCCCUCCGAAAGUUUGGUUCCUAUUUCUAGUCGUGUUUUCCUUUUCUUCAUCGUCAAGAUCGUCAUCUUUCUUCCUAAGCACUUUUGGAUUGCUUGAUUCCAAGUUUAGUUUGUCAUCUUAAUCUUUUUGUUUCUUCUCUUCUUCUUUGUCCUCUUUUACUAUGUCAAGGUGCUUCUCAAAGUUUUUUGUUCCCUGCAUUCCAAAUACACAUAAUCAGAAAAGAAAAUUUCAAUUUAUAUCACAUGCUUACCAUAUAUUCGUUAGUCUCUUGUGCAUUCGAAGAACUAGGUUGCUUACUCUUGAUUUCUUAAAAAAUUCUAUACAAUUUGUUUCCUAGUUCUUCAAACUUUCUAUUCAUCUUCAACUCCAUGGAUUUAAAAAAUUCAAGAAUACCUUCUAUUUGUUUGAAUAUAUUUAAUUUGUUCCAUUUGUUUUAUUGUUUAAUUAUUUUUCUUAAUUUAACAAAUCGAUUUAUUGGUUAAAUUGACCAUGUUUGAUUGCCUUGAUUUUCUAUAGAGUUACAAUGUAUUUGUACAUACUACAUGACAAUAUUAUCAUUUUCAUAUUAGUUCCACAAUAUUUGACAGACUUUAUAGCACAUGUUGCUGACACAAUUACAUUGUAAUUUAUGCAUUUAAAUAAUGUGAUAAACUAUUCUUCAAAUAUUAAUAUUUAUUUGCUCAUAUAAUCAUAUAUUUUUUCAAUCCAAAAAACUUAACAUUAAGAUGAAUUUGUUAUAAAACCAACAAUAAGAACGACGUCCUAAAUAAUGUCAUUAAAUCUUAAUCACGGUUGUUUAACUAACAAAACUUUAUAAUAACCAAUAGAAUUAAGAUUUUCUAAACAUAGUAUAUGUCAAGUAUGAAUGAUAACAGAUUUGAGACACACAUAAAAAGGUAAAUUUUUUUGUCAUCAAGAUAUAGUAUCAUUCGCUUGCGCAUAAAAUAAUCUAUAUAUUCUAAAUAUAGUGUAUUUGAAUAGCUCAAAAAAUGAGACAAGAUAUUAGAAAUAGUACAAAAACAGUGUAUUUUGCAAACAACAUUCAAAUUUGAUAAAUCUUAACUAAAUCAGCUAUUUUGUUACUGGACAAGAUUGCAGCAACUCCUCUAAUAAUGACAAAUAUAUAUACAAGAUUUCCAGUUUUAUUAUACUUUAAACAAUUUAUUAAAUAAUAGAUAAUAUAUAUUUUUAAUAACAUUUUGAAUUUGAAUUUUAGAUCUUUUCCCUAAAAUAAUGUCAAACAUAAAUACAACAUUUUUAUAUUUUAAAUAAUUUAUUAAGAAAUACAUAAUAUAUAUUUUUAAUUUGAAUUUGAAUUUUAGAAUUGUAACUAUGUUCAAUGAUAUUUUUGCAAUUAUGUGAAUAUUUUAUUUUAGGUUCCAUUUUGGAGGAACAUAUGACCAUGGAGAAGAAGAAAAUGAGGCAUAGGAAUAAGACAUAGCUUUUAAACAAACAAGAACUAGCUCUUCAACCGUUCGCCGAAUGCUUUCUUCAAUUGAUGGGAGAUUCUGGAGAGGAAGAAUGGAAUAAAUGUGGAGCAGAAGAAUGCUUUUUGGUGGAGGAAUGAUAGGGAUACUUUUCGAGGGAGGGAUGCUUUUCAGUGGAGGGAUGUUUUUCAGUGGAGGGAUGUUUUUCGGAAGAAUGCUUUUCAAGGAAGCAAUGAACAUAAAUUAAAAAAUUGCUUGGUUUCAAAGUGGAGAUUUGAUGCCUUCAGUGCCUACAUUGCUUGAAUGUGAUGUGAAAUUGUUGUAGACAAUGGGUGGAGAGUUGAUGGUGAUGGUGAUGGUUUUUUUUAAUUACAUUGUAUUUGGAGUUUAUUCCAUUAGUAUAUUUAUGAUUCAAGUGUUUUAGUUAGAUAGGGGCAUUUAAGACAAUGCUCCGACUAUUUUUUUUUAAUUUUUUCUUGUUUUGCUAUUUUCUCAAUUUAAAAAUAUUUUUAUCAUUUAUUAUCCAAAGCGAUCCUCCUAUUUUGUCAUUAUUCUUAUCGACCUUAAAUAUUUUACCACAUUGUUUUAUUUUUUAAAAGACUCAUUCUUUUUAAGUAAUUGGUUGUUUAAAUCCCACAAUUUUCUAUCUUAAAUGUAAUUUUUAAAAUUAAAAUUUUAUUUAUCUACCUUAUAAGUAAAUACUUAUAAAUCAUUUUAGAUUUAAAUUUUAAAAUUAAAUGGAUUUCCACCCUAUUAUGAUUUAUGGGAAAUUGCAAUGAAUGACUAUUUUAGCAAUAAUAAUUAAGGAUAUAACAACAUUUUAAAAAAAUUACAAAUAUAACAAAACUAUCACUGAUAGACUUGUAUCGUUGAUAGACUUCAUAUGGUCUAUCAUUGAUAGACCAAUAUUUGUAACAUGAUCUAUCAUUGAUAGAAUUUGACAAAUUUUGCUAUAUUUGCAAAAUUUUUAAAAUUGUGUUACAUACUUAAUUAAUUUGAAUUUAAUUGCUAAAUUUGCAACUAUCCCAUGAUUUAAUAUUUGAUUUCAUAGUCCAAAUCAAUUAGGUGAAAAUUGUAUGGGUUCAAAACAAGAACUCACUUGAAAAGGAAUGUAAAGAUCGAAUAAAAAAGCUAGGUGAAAUUGAUAAACUUUUUGAUGGGGAAGAAUAAAUUGUGUUUGCAAAUGAUCCCACCGAGACAUUUGGGAUAAAAAUAUUGCGAUUAGAGCAUCCAAGAUACGAGAAGAAAGGACAAAUUGCCACCUAAAGCUCAAUGUGUAGCCUCAAUUGUCACGUUCAAUCAAACCAAAUUAUACAAAUCUAAAAAAACAGUUAAUCAUUCUCAUGAUUUAUGAUGUGUUUGGAUUACACUCUACGAGUGAUUAAUUUAGAAAAUAAGUCAUUUUUUUUAAAAAAACUAAAGUGUUUGAAAGACAAUCAAAAUAGAGUUUUAAGUGUAUUUUAAACAAUUUUUAGAAAAAAAUGUUUAAACAUUUUUUAAAUACAUUUUUUUUCUUAAUUCAAUCCAUUUUGAAAAUACUCAAAACAAAGUUUAAACUUCUCCUCCAACUACCACAUGUAAUCCACAAUGAGAGCACCACAAAUUUAUCGGAGCAAACAGAUUUGCAUGGAAUCUCAUUGCUCAAAUUGCCAACAGUGAAUGGAUGACGAAAAGAGAUAAUUAAACCAUCCAUAACCAAACCUCUAACAUGUUUUAUGAUCAAUACCUCUUACAUCUACAGUUGAGCCACUAAAAAGGAACGUCCAUUAUAUUGGUAUAGUAGUAGUUAUGAAAUUCUUUUAAACUUAAUCAUGCUUUCAUAUCUUUUUUAUCCCUCUCAUUUGAAUAUGAUCUCGAGCAUUACAUGCUCAACCAAUAACUUUCACCUUUGUUCCUCCCCAAAUCACGUCUUGCUGAAGGAAAUUUUGCUUUAAUACCAUUCAUAAAGCCCAAAUCCUAGGAAUCAAAAUCUAGAUUAUGCUCCUUAUGGCCUCAACAUUCCCUUGCCUCUCCUCAACAUGACAAGUCAUGCUUGCUUGUCUUGAGUUGCUUCUAAAGUUGACAACUACCCUCGUUAACUAACAAAAAUUCUUUCAACGUGUUUUUGUUGUCAAUCAUACUUUUUAAAAAAAUUCUCAAAAGGUCACUCAACAUAAAAAAUAUUUCAAGCUAAAUACGCUUAACUUUAAAUAUUUUAUGUGUUUGGUAAUUAACAAUUGAGAAAUACAAAAACGUACGGAGAUAAACACCUAGAUGCACGUGGUUCACUAACAGUGCGUUGGCUACUUCCAUGAGACAAUGGGAUAAUAUUAUAAGAUAGAUUUUUUUUUCUAAAAAGAAACAACACCACUAGGUUAGCAAGACCCUCAUACUUUUGCUCGCAACAUCACAUAACGAAUUCAAGACAUUCCAACACUGCAAUUGAAAUGUAGCGUCCAAGUUUAGGAGGAUACAUAAAUGUACCGAGAUCACUUAAGAAUGAGAGAGAAUAUGAGAAUAUAAAAGCAUGGUUAAAAAAUGCUUAAAAGAACUAAUAGCUACUCCAUAUACCAACAAAGUGUAUUUCAUUUUUUGGUAGCUCAGUUAUAGAAACUAGCUCAGUUAUAGAAACUUCAAAAUUAAGUAUGCUUCCCUUAAAGCUUAAAGCAAUCAUACCUUAUAUCCUAUAGCAGCUUCUAUUAUAUAUUGCUCAUAUCAUUAAUGAUAUAUUCAAUUACCUUAAACGGACAUGUUAGAUAAAUUAAUGUAUCAUAAUAAAUGCAGAUUGAGAAGCUUAAUAGAAGUGUAGUUUUGUAAGAAAAAUAAGAAAUGGAAACAUUUACUAUGUACCUUUGUAAUAAUAUAGUUUAAGAUAAAAUAAAUAGUGACAUAACAACGAAUCUUCUAUAUAAUUGUAAUUUGAAUGAAUACUCAACAACUACUCGAAACUAAAUAACAAUAUUGAUACUGAUGAAAUGAGAUCAUUUAAUAUAUUUCGUUAGAUUAGAAGAAUGAGAUCAUUUACAUUAAUAUACUUCGUUAGAUUAGAAUAAGGCAUGUAACUAAACAAUGUAAUGUGCGAAGAAUAUGUAAAUAAAAGAAUUGAGUAAAACUUGUCACGUUAAGAGAUAUAUCAUUAAGAAAAUGGAUGCAAGUGUUAUAGAAGAGGAUUUACCAAUGUAUCUGGACUUUUUUCUCUAACCUCUUUGAUUUCAAGUUCAAGGUUUCCUAGGAUGGUAUAUAUAUCUCCUGCUCUAGGAUGAGUUUGAUCAGCAACACGAAACUCAGUUACAUGGCCAUUUAUCUCCAGCCAACUACAACCAGGGAUUUUCUUCAGCCCUUUAUUCCUUAAGAAACUUCUCAUUUUUGCCACUCCAUCCCAUUUACCUGCAGCAGCAUAUAUGUUCGAAAGCAGUAUGUAAUUCCCUGCAUUUCUGGGCUCCAUGUUAAUGAGCUUCUCGGCCGCAAACUCUGCAAGCUUGGACCCAGGAUGCAUCUUACAAGCACUCAACAAUGGACCCCAAACUCGAGCAUCGGGUUUGAUAGGCAUGUUUUUUACAAGUUCUCCAGCUUCACUGAUAAGCCCAGCUCUCCCCAAGAGGUUAACCAUACAAGCAUAAUGCUCUUGGCUUGGUUGGCACCCAUAACUUUCAGUCAUCUCCUUGAAAAAUUCUUUCCCCUUUUCGACAAGACCAGAAUUGACACAAGCUGUUAGUAGUCCCAAGAAUGUUACUUGGUCUGGCUUUGAAUUUGAGCACUUCAUUCGAUUGUAUAGCUUAAAACACUGGGACCAGUCUCCAUGAUUGGCAUGGGCACUGAUCAUGGAGUUCCACAUUAUCAAAUCUUUAUCAUCAAUUUUCUCUUCCUCAAAUAGUCUUUGAGCCAUCUCUAUGGACCCACAUUUUGCAUAGGUUAUCAGAAGGGCUGUGUUAAGUGAUGGAAGGGAAGUCAGGCCUAGCUUCAUUGAGUACCCAUGUAAAUAUUUGACAUUUUCAAGUGCUCCAAUGUGAACAAAUGCAGGCAAGAUAUUGAUCAUUAUAACAAAAUCAGCUUGAAUCCCAUCAGAUUUCAUCUUGGAGAAGAGAGACAAUGCAGUGAGGGACUGACCAUUUUUUACAUACCCCUUGAUCAUAGCACUCCAUGAAAUUACAGACUUGUCUGUCAUCCAGUUGAAGAUCUUACAAGCUGAAUCUAAAAUUUUACAUUCGCAGUACAUGUCAAUGAGAGAAUUAUGAACUGAAACUUGACUAUCGGAACCAUUCCUCAAUAUAUGGGCAUGGGUUUGUUUCCCCCAAUCAACACAUUUCAACUGUGCAAUCGAAGAGAUAACAGGCAGUGCAGUAAAUAGAUCAGAUCUAAUCCCUGAUCGUGCCAUGGACUUGAAGAGCUCAAGGCAUUCCGUCGGUUUACCUUCCCGAGCAUAAGCUGCUAUCAUUAUAUUCCAUACAACACGAUCUUUCUCUGGCAUUUUGUCAAAUAACUUUCUAGCAUCUACUAAGCUACGCAACUUAGAGUAAAGAGACAACACAGCAGUAUUUACUAACAAAUCUCCACUCAAUUUGCUCACAAUUGCAAUACAAUGAACAAUCUUUGCAAGUUGAAUUGAGUUCAAACCUGCAAUGAACCUCAAGAGAUUGAAGAAUGUGAAUGAGUCUGGUACUAAUUGUUCUGCUAUCAUUCUUCCAAAAACCCGAAAAAUUCCCUCCCCGUUAUCAUUUUGAGGACCCUCCGUAGUCAAGGAACUCGGCCAUCCCAAAUCCUUCACAGAUCUUUUAUCAAACAGUUGAUGAGCAUUCUCAAAUUCAAUGCAUUCCUCAUACAUCUCAGCCAGAGCAGUCGCUACAACAUCAAACAAAUCAAAACCCAGCUUAACCAAAUACCCAUGAAUCGUCCUCCCAAAUCCAACAUUUGAAAAAGAAGAACAUGAUCGCAAAACAAAAGGGUAAGUUUCUUCAUCUGGGUGCAUAGAUUUGGCGACCAUUUGUUGAUACACCAACAGGGUCCGCUCGGAUUCUCCAUAUCUUGUCAAAUUUCUCAGUAUGGCGUUGAAAAGAGUCAAAUUGGGGUCGAUUACAGAGCAGAAAACUUGGAGAGAGUGAUUGAGGAGUCCAAGAUUGGCAUAGCAAUCGAUAAGUUUGGAAGAGAGAGUUGGGUUUUGGUGGAAGCCGUGGAGGAUGAACCUGGCAUGAAUUUGCUGGAGGUGUUGAAUGGAGUUGCAUCGACUGAAAAGGAGGGAAAGCGUGUUGAGCAGUCUUGAUUGGGUGGCGGGAAAGUUGAGGAAAAUGGGACUAUGAAUAAUGGGCUUUGAUCGAUGAAGGUGAAGCAUGUCGGACGAAAUGAGCGGCACAUUUUUGGACUCGGAGUUUGGCUUUUCAAACUCAACCAAGAGUCGAUGUUCGAGAACUUCGCACCCAUUCAAAAUAAAAGAAUUUUUGUACGGAAACCUUUAUUGGUCAAAUUUCCAAUGCUUUUCAAAACAAAUCUUUCAGUUUUUUUUCUUUCUUUUUUUGGCUAAAUUAUAAUUUAUUAACAAAUAAGCUUUACUUAGGUGUUUCUUUUUAAAUACCCUACACUUUUAAAUGUUAUGACUAAUAAAGUUGCAUCUUGUUUUCGGAUUUAUAAUUAUGUGUUGAUAACAUGUGCUCAAACCACGUAAAGAUUUAAAUUUUCAUUCUAAACCUACCACACCAUUUCAUAUAUCAAUGUUUGUCCAAAUUCUGGUUAAUUUCUACCAGAAAGGGUAUUUAUAAAAUAUUUAUGAUAGUUUUAGAAUAAUAUUGCAACAUUUCAAAGUACAACAGUAUUUUCUAAAAGUAAACCUUUUUUUUCUUUUUUUUUUUUGGAUUGUUUAUGUUGUAGUCUACUUUCUCACUCUUAUCACUCUACUCUUAUCAUGGUCUACCUCACUUUCUCACUUUUGUCAUCUACAUUUGUUUCGUGUUGGUGUCGUAAUUUCACAUCCCCUUCCGACUACCUACUGUCGACCUAGAAAGUGGUGUGAAGCCAACAAAUCUCGUCCCUAGUUACUCGAUGACAUCUGCUGACCUUGUCUUAACUGAAAAACUAAUUUUUCGCAUGAGCAUUACUUAUCUCCAAAAUUUAUUUAGUGGGUCGUUAUUAUACACGACAACACAUUUAUAGUAUUAACAUGUCACUAGUAUUAAGUUCCCUUUUACAUACUAAAAAAAAAUGUUAUUAACAACUAAACUAACUCUAUGAAAUCCUAAGACAAAAGCAACUUGACAAGUAUGUCACUAAGACAUGUUCAACAUUUUCACAUGUAGACAUAUUUACAAUAUACAGACUCAGUUAGUAACUACUAAGCACUAGAUGUCCAAGUAAACAACAAGACAGACACAACAAACUAUCGGCUGGAAAUCAAACUCUUGAGGUUCACGAUCUCUUCCUGAAAAGUGAAACUUUUGAAAGUGGGCAAAAAAGUCCAAUGAGGGACUAUUUGAAAACAUCUAGCUUAGAACAAUGUUUUAGAAGAUUUAAUAAAACAUUCAUCAACUUUAAAGGCUAAACAAAACGUUUAAAGAGAAACUCUAAUAAAGCUAUCUUACUUAAUAAAAUGAUCCUCUAUUUCUUCUAUAUCCUGAAGUAAAGUUAGACACGUUAGCUUGAUAACUCAAUACUACCAUGCUUGAUAAACUCGAUCAAGAUAGCAGGGUAAAAUCAAUACUAUCCUACUUGAAGCCUUGAACACGAUGGUAGAUGGCUAAGUGGUUAGCAAAGGUAUAUACUCAUGGUACUUUGUGGAAUGACCACAUAUGACACAAUGUAUAGAAUGAACAUGGUUAUAAAAUCUAUUCAUGCUUUGAACUUCUUAAAACUAAUAGUUUAAAUCUCUUGCAUCAGUAGCACAAUUCAGAACUAACUAUUUUUGAAACAUAGCUUUCAAAUCUCGUGUUUAAAUAAACACAUGCUAGAAAAUAGCUCGUCAAAACAUGCAUCGUGAAAACUCAUUUAUCAAAUUCAUGCUUGUAAAUUUCUUUCUAAAACACUAAUUAACAUUACUUCGAAAUCACAAACAUUCAAAGAAAUCAUUCAACCGGAAACUUGGUUUCUUUCUAAAAUCUAAGUUCAUGCUUGGAAACUCAAUUAUGUAAACAUAACUUGUUCAAAUAUAGAAACAACUUACCAAAUCAAGUUAAGAAAUUAGUUUGGAAAUAAUUUUUAUCACUCACAGAUGGUAGCUAAGUCCUUGGCUCGUAAAUUUGCACUAUAUCUUCUUGUUUUGACAGAAUGUCAUUUAAGCCUAAAUUAACCCCCUUACCUCCAAAAUGACAAAAAUAUCAAAAAAAAAAAAGGGCUAAAAAAUGUCAUUUGUCAUAGCUCGUGCACAAAGCAUGGGCAACAAUGUGCACACUUGUCUGUAGGACUCUAAGUAGCUUGGCCACGCACUAACCUCACAUCUAGGCUUGUCGUAUGUCCCUUAUGCAUUACAUGCAUCCUCGCACAGCAGAACAUGCUGCAUGACCUAGGCACGUGUUACUCGCAUGCUCUAAAGCUCAUACUCCAAAGUUCAUACUAACCUGGUUGUGCGCUAACCAUGUUACUCGCAUGCUCCAAAGCUCAUACUAACCUCUUUUGCCUAUCUUGCAAGUCUAGCUCGCCUCAUUUUCUCAGUCACUCAGUCAACCUUCAACUCUAUCUAGAUUUUUUUUCGUUAGAACCUAAACUCAAUUUUGGAGGUGAUCAAUACUCAAAAUUCGUAUUUUAAAUGAGAAAACUUCCUUCUACAAAUUUUUUUAGAAUGGUCUUAAAGUAUGUAUCUUACUUCAAAAUUUCAAUUUAAGAUUCUAAGUAAUGCGUUGUGUACCCUUCAAGAACUCAACAUUGUUCAAACUUGCCUGAAAAAUGACUAUUGGUGCUUUAGCUCCAAAGAUGAACUCCUUCCUCAACUCUUUUUAGUCCAACACUCCCACCUCAACAAAUAGACUCACUCGCGAUUAUUUUUAGGCUGCUUUGAGUAAAUUUCACUAGAAAAAUGAAAACUCUGACCACUUGAAGUUACCUAUUUAUUGUUAACCUUGCAUGACAAUUUUUUUACACCUCCCACUUGCAUUGUUUUCUCUCCACAUCUCCUGCUUGUAAAACCUAGAUACUUGCAUGUUAUGACACCUGUAUUUCACUUCCACCUCUUGCUCAUAAAGCCUAGAACCUCUUCAAACACGUAAGACCUUUCUUGGAUGAGUGGCUUGUCUCACCUAGCAUACUUUGCUUUGUCACACGCCCUUGGCUACAUGCAUCAUAGGUUUAGAGGUUCUUAGCUUUGCCUCUAAACGUGUACGUAGCAUACUCCCUAAACGCCUAAUAACCUUCCAUGGUCGUAUAGCUUUGUCUUAGAGGUUUUCAUGGCAUGGUUGGCCACCUAGUCCAUCUUCAAAACAUUGAGCUCGCUCAUGAUCGCCUACUUCAUGUCUUUAGUGGUUAUUUUGACUACCUUGUCCCCUUAGUCUUGCCUUAAAAUGCCUUGUUUGAUACUUAAUUAGCCUCUUUUCCACCUUACUAACCUUUCUUUGUUUGGUCGUAACACAAACACUUGACUCAAGUUUCCUUUAACCUUUCUUAAUUUAGACUACAACGACACACCAAUUAUGUCACUUAAACCAUAACACCUCAAUAAUUUCACUUAUCAACUAACACUUUUAAUGUCGCUAAGACUACUACAAGAACUUUUAAAAGAUUUUAGGGAUUUUAAGGUUGAGGGUUUACACAUAAAAAUCUAGUUCUCACACGUUAUCAAAUAAAAAAGAGAAAUAAUAAAAAGAAGACAACGAAAAGUUUUUUAUGACUCUUAGUUUGGCUUUUCAAAUUCAAGAAAGAGAUAAUGUUGGAUAAUUUCACCCUCAUUCAAAAUAGAAGAAUAUGACCGAUAACGUUGUAUCUAUACUUUUAUGAGAAAAAGAAAAAUUUGACCAAUAUUUUUCAAAACUUACUUUCAAACAAAUUUUUUUGUUGCAGUUGUGUUAAAGUCUACUCUGUUGUUUGCUUUUGAUAUAUCGUUCUUGCUCACUUUUUUAUUUUAUUUUCUAUACUUGAUCAUUUUGUUGUAAAAAAAUAACGUUAAAGCUAAUUACUAUUGAUUGUCACUUGUUAAUUACGUUAUCAUUGUCGUGGUGGUGCAGAAUACAGUAUAUCAAUGUUGUUCUUGCUGAAGGAAUUUUAUAAAGAUAGAUGAAAGAACAGUGGAAAAAAUGAUAAAAUUAAUUCUAAAUAGAAAGUUAUGAAAAGUAAUAUAAACCUUUAUUCUAAAAUAUCAGGUCAAAUAACGUACAACUCUUCCUCAUACAAGUUUACAUACUUUUCUCCCUUUAACCGAUUGAGACUUUGAUUUACAUAUAUUCAAUUUUGAAAUUUGAUCAUUAUUAUAGUGAGAAAUCACUUGAGCUUCAUAAUAUUUUCUCUUGUCUAAGUUUUCAAACUUUGACAAAAAGUGGUUUAGUUUAACAAAAUACUUUCAAAAUCUAAAUCUCAUACAAUUAAAAUUUUAACGUCUUAUCUGUUAAGUUGAUAGUAUAUAUGUAGGGAAACUUUUCUACAUUUUUUUGUUAAUUAUUCUUUAACUAUAUCUAUUAUAAGAUCUCUUUUUGGUAAUUAUUUGAUAUUUUAUUUUUAGUUUUAAAAAGAUAAUCUUAUAAACACAAAUAUAUUAUAUUUUUGUUACCAAAAAUUUUAAAAAUCAAAGUCAACUUUUUCUAAAAAAAAAUAGUAAUUAAAAACUUUUACUUUUGAAAUUUGAUUAAUUCUCCAAACAAACUAAGAUAUUAAAGGAGAAAUAAGUUUAGUUUUCAAAAACCAAAUAUUGGAGAAAAAAAAAACACUGAUUCUAAAAAGUUUAAUUUGCAUUCAAUAAAUCUAUAAAGAAUGUUCACCCAAAUCUUAAUUAACCUCUUAAUUUUGUGAUAUUCAACACUUUUAUGAUUAUCUAAUUUAUUAGAUAUAAAAUUAAAAUUUGUAUCUAAUAUGAUGCUAACCAUCCAAUUUUAUGUUUUUAAUUUUUCUUUAAAUGUCAAGUAAAUCAAAUACCUAUAUUGUUUAAUGUUCAUAAAGAUAGUAAACACAAAAUACUUAAAUUACAAGAAGAAGAAGAAAACAGGAAAACCUUGAUAUUGCUAUUUUUUUUCUAAAAAAAGAAGUAUUAUCAUAAUUUUAUAAUAAAACUCAUGGUUGAUAUUUUUUAUACUCAAAACCCAAAAGUGAGUGUUACAAUAACAUUCGUAAGAUAUUCCAAUUUUCCUAAAAAGAAUAAUAUCAUAUACAAUUUGGAUUUUAGGAAAAAUAAAUUGACCUAACUAUAAUUGAUGGAAAUGGAAGAAGUUCCCAUCUUUUUCCCUCAAUAAAUAAUUAAUGAUGGAAAAGAAUUAGUAUGCCAUGUGGCAUGUAGCUCGCCUUUAGGAAUUAUUGUCUCUCAAAUUAAUAUUGAAAAUUUAUUAAUCUUCAAAAAAGGAUCCACCAAAUUUUGUGUGCCACUGCCAAACAUACUCAUUAUAUAUUUUGUGUGCCAAUUAGCUAUGAUUUUUUUUAGACUAAUAAUAAUCAACAACACAACUAAAACCUAACAUCUUAACAUCUUGUUGUGAAUUGGUCAAGCUUAAAUUAUUUCAAAUGAAAGGAAAUUCAUUCACUAAUGAGAUGAGAAAUGUGCAUCUUCCAGCAGAGGGUUUGUUCAACCCCCUUCACUUCUUAUGUAAACCUUUUGGAGUGGCCUCAGCUUUCAACAUAUUAAUAUCACUCCUUUAGGAGAACCAUAUAAUAAUUAAGACCAUGUCGCCUCUACCCUAAGUUUCUAGCAAUCAAUUAAAGAAAGGAAAAGCAAAGGAUGCCAACCUGCUAUGAGAACUGUCCAAACUCAGCUAAAUGCUUUUCAAUCAACCUAUGACGUGUCAAGGGCCAUCCCAAUUGUAACUAAUAUGAAAAUUGCUUUUUUAAAAUAGUUCAAUAUGAAAAAUAUGACACUCAAGAUAAUAUACAAAUCUGUAUAUAUAUAUAUAUAAUUAAUUUCGUCCACGUCCACUACGUCAUUGAUAAAGAGAGAGAUAAUUAUUUGCCAACCCUCAAAUCAUUUGGUAAGAACCAAAAUUGUUGGUAUAAGAUAUGAGAAACAAAUUAAAAAUUAUAGUGUCGGUAUUGUUUAAUACUAAAGUAAUUUUUUUAAUGUCGAUCAAGAUCGAAGUCAAACUUACUCAUGUUUCUUGACUAAUCAACUUACUUAAAUUUAAUAUAUAGAUAUUACAUUUAUUUAUUUUAUAUAAUUAUUUAGAAUACCAACUAGAAAUUGAUGAAGUGAGUUAUCCUAGUUCACUCUAUUGUUGGAACACAUCAAGUAUAAUAAGAUAUUAUACAAUUAUUUAUAACCUACAAUUAAAUAUAGUAAAUACAAUAUUUUUUUUAUUAUAAUAUUUUACUAUUAUAUAAUUUCACUACUUAUAACAAUAAAAUAAGUGUUAUACGGUUAAUUAGAAUGAUGUGAAAGGUUAAAUCAAAAUAUAAUUACUAAAACACGUGAAUUAAGAAACCACGGUAGAUUUUGCUUUUCAAAAAAAUAGAAACUACCUAAUAGCUUAGUGGAAUAAUGGUUAAUUAGGUAUAUUAAUAAAGGAAAAGAUAAAAGGUUUAGAGAUAGUGUUCAAAGUUCAAACCAACUAUAGAUUUAUAGAUUUAUGGUGUAUGACCUAUCUAGGGUUAAAGCACUAAAAUGUCCAAAGAUAUUUUAUGUUCCUAUUUUUUUUUCUUUUUAAAUACUUAUUUUUAUCAUCUUUAUGUUGUCUCAAUAUUAAAACUUUAAAUCAAUCAUUGUUUGAAUUUAAUUCUUAAAUUUUGUAAAUAUAUGUAUAAUUAUACCCACCUUUAAUUAAACUCCAUUUUUAUAAAUUAAAACUUAUUUAUGUAACGUAUAUAUCCCAUUAGAAGUUACACAAAAUGCUAAGUUGUUUGAUAAUAUUAACUACUAUUUUUAUUAAUAGAAGAUGGUAUAAAUUUAGAUAUCUAAUAAAUUCAAGUAGUAUUUAUUUCGUUUUUUACACGUGCAUCUCACAUAUAUAUUGGAAGAAGUAAAACGUAUCCCUAUUCAUUCAAUAUUUAUAACCGCUUCCUCUAAACUAACACAUUGUAUUUCAUCAGUAUCAAUUAUAUACUCUUAAAUCUACUCAUGAACACUUUCACCCCAGAUGGUAACAUAGAAAUUCAUAAAAAAGAUAUAAAGACAAGAGAUGGCGUAAAGAUUAUUCCUACACAGAUCAUAUUAUUACGGUAGAGAAGAGACAAAGAGAUAAUUUGUAUCAAUUAUUAAAUUACUAUUUUAAAAAUAAAAUCUUUAAAAGAAAAGAUAUGUUUUGACCAAAAGUAAUUCUCAAAAUGGAAAAACAGAAAAAGAAAAUGUUACUAUAUUUGAACACGUAAUCAAUUCCCCACCGUGACGAAACAAUCAACCGUCUAUAUCCCACAUGUCAGCCAUCGAACGGUUUUGUGAAAGCCACGCGGCGAGAGAUGAAGUAAUAUCUCAGCAGUUGACGCCACGCUGGUAAGGUUCUAGAAACAAAACCCCACGCUCACACGGACCAAGUCAAAGAGUGAGGUGGCGAAACUAUGACCAAUCAAAAUUCAACUCCAUUCCUAAAAUUUCUCCAACCUCUUCAUUAAGAAAUUCCGGUAUUUAAACCCACAAAUCCCUCUUCCCUCUCAACAAAAAGAAAUUGUAAGACAACCUGUGUACGCCCAAUAAGAGCCAGCAGCAGCAGCAGCAGGAGGUCGAAAUCGGGGAAGAAUUUUGUUGAAGAUGAUGAAAAUGAAAGGGGAGGUUGCACCGGCGAUUUAUGUGUCCAAGGGGAAAUCGAGGGGGUGGGAUUAUCGGCGGAGAUUAGAGACUAUUUUUGAAGAAGGAUCUAAUUCUAAUAGUUCUUCAGAGAGGAAUAAUAAUGAUAAUAUGGAUGUUGUUGUUGUUGUUCCUAAGACCAUUUUUUGCUUCCUUCCUCUUCUUGUCUCUUUUCUCUCUUAUUUUUUGCUUUUUAGACAAACACUGUAAUUGUUCAUUGUAAUAAUUCGAAUUUGGGAUUUCCUGUCUUUACUCCAAUCGUUCCCUUCUUCUUUUUAGUUUAAUUAUUUGGGAUUUGUUCAACAUCAGAAUUAAUAUAUUAUAGAUCUGUGUAAGGUUGUUUCGAUCCUAAAUUUACAUUAACCCGUCGUGGUAGUGGUCGUGGACGGAGCAAUUAGGAAAAAAAUUAAUAUUGGGAAUAUAAAUUCAAAUCGCUAAGUUCUUGAUUAACUGAUGUAUAAGAAUUUUGAUUAUCGGUAUAAAAAUCUCUCUAUUCUAAGGACAAAGAGAAAAAAAGUCGUUAGUUCUUACCAAGAUUUAAAAUAUGAUUAUCCUCCGAAUAUGUAGUUUUGAUUUUAUCUUAAUUAUGAUAAAAGUAUUGAGAAAAUAUGGAUUUGUUUUUGUUUUCAGAAAAUUAUAAGAACAAAAAAGAUAUUGCAUCACUUUCAAAUAAACAAACAAACUUAUUCUUUUACAUUAUAUUUAUGUUAAUUAUAACAAAUUUACCAAAGGAAAUGAUACGGUACAGUGGAAAUAAAGAGUAGGAUUUAAAGAAAGGGAAUUGAACUUUUCCUUUGUUGAAGAUGGAUAAUGGAUACUUCACGAUAAAAUAUUGGUGCCUAAAAAAUGGACAAAGCUCAACCCAGCAAAAAAUGAGCAUACGAAUAAAGUAGAACGAGGAAUGAAGUUAGACUCUGAUUGUAUCAGUAUUAAAUCAUCAAUCUCUCCCAAAACAACUUAGAAUUAAAAACUCCAGUAUAUGUAUUUGCAUUUGAUGACUCCAACUAGAAUUUGGAAGUCAGAGUCCAGCUAACCAUUGUUUACUUCCCUUUCAGCAACCAAAUUUAAUCGACUGAUUUAAGAAGAGCUAAAAGCCUCUGUAGAUACCACAUCUCCAUCCCCCAUCUCUAUGCAUGGAUUUUGAAAACACCAAUUACCAUGGCUAGGAUCCUACGUUGAGAUAAAUACUUUAAAUUAACACAAGAAAUGUUAAAUUAUCAAUAGUAAGUUACAUACCAACUUCUAUUGAGGAUGAUGACGGUAAAAUGGCUCUGUCUAAUUGUGGCUAUUUGUUUCUUUUGUUUCUUCCUCAAUCAAAAUGAAUCCUGCUUAUUGUUUUGGUAUAUCAAGUACCAUAACCCUAUCUCUCUUAGGCUAGUUCAAUUAGGAUUCCCAUUAAAUCCUAAUCAUACUUCUUACUAUAUCUUUAAUUGUUAUAUUUUGUCUUUUCGCCACACCAUUCAUGCUGGAUUUCCCUACUAAAGUAUAUUGCGUUUUCACGUUCUUAGGUAUUUGGUAAAGGGUCCGUUCACCUGAUCUAUCAUAUUUGUCGUAGUAUUCACCACCACGUUCAAAUUUAACAGCUUUAAUUUUCUUUCCAAUUAGUUGAAGUUUAACCUUAGCUUUAAAAGACUUGAAAACGUCCAAAGAUUGAAAAAAUUCUCUUGAUUAAAUAUAGGUACUCGUAUCUUGAAUAAUCGUCUAUGAACGUAAUAAAGUAUUGUUGUCCAUUCCAAGAAAUCAUAGGAAAUGGACUACAAAUGUUUGUAUGUAUUAGUUCUAAGACGUCUGAACACCUGUUGGCACCUAAUUUUCUUAUGUUUAAUUUGUCUGUUUUUCCUUAAUGUAUUUCACACAAACUUCAUAUUUACUUAAAUCAAAGAAGUCAAGAAUUCUAUUUGACAUAAGUCUCUGAAUUAUUUGUUUAGAGAUGUAACAUAAAUGUUUGUGUCACAUCAUAGUAGAACUCUCAUCUAAUUUACACUUUGUACCACAUGAUUUAGACGAGAGAACCUUGUUACAUGAAACAUAAGAAUCAAGCAUGUAUAGGUUAUCAAUUAAAGAACUAGUACCAAUAAACUUGGAGUUUUGAAAAAGACUAACUUUAUUAUUUCCAAAAGAACAAGAAAAAUAAAAAUUUCCAAAUUGGAAAUAGAAACUAAGUUUCGUCAAAAUGAUGGUACAAUAAAAAUCUCAUUCAAAUCCAAAAACAACAAGUUUUUAAAAGUAAUAAAAAAUUGCCAAUAACUUCAAUUGUAAUUGCUUUGCCAUCAUCCACAUAGAUGAAUCUUUCAGCAUCAUUUGGCAGACGGAUCCACAGACAACCCUGCAUGGAUAUACUUAUUUGAAUAGAAAUACAGAACCUACCUACCGAGUAUCUAUAGGUACAGAAGCUAAAUUAACUUCAGAACAAAUCAAAAUAAGAAGUUUACCCUUCUUUACACCAUUUGGCAUACAUGGGACAAUCUUUCUUUAGAUGACCUUUCUUUUUGCAGAAGAAACAAAGAUUCUCCGUAGCUUGUUUCUUAUUCUGUUGAGAUGUCCCUUCUACAACAUCUAUAGGUUUUCUUUUCUUCUUACCAUGAAAGUUAGUUGACAAGUGAGCACUUUCUAUCCUUUCUCUCUUAAUCUUAUCUUCUUCUUGCACAUAUUGUGAGAUAAGCUCGUUAAUACUCAAUUUAUCCUUCUGAGUAUUAUAACUUAUCUUAAGCUGAGUGAAUUGUGCAGAAAGAUAGAUAAGUACCAAAUAUACGUGUAAAUUGCCUUUAAUUUACCAGUGAGAUUAGACAUUUCCAUAAUGUAUUCCCUUAUGUUUCCAUUGUCCUUAUACCUCAUGGAAGUUAAAGUAGUUAAAUGACAACUUGCUUCUCCCUUUUUCAUUUUUAGCAAAAUAUUUUUCAAUUUUGACAAGCAACUUUUUGGCAUUUUCACUUUUAGUAAUAGAACCUCGAAAAGACUAUGGAAUGGAGUGCCUAAUAAUCAUUAGACACAUGUGAUUUGACCGUUUACACAUCUCAAUAUUAGAUGUAUUCAGUUGUUCCUAAGUAGAAGUAGGUUAUUGGUUCUUAAUGCAAGGUCCAGAUCCAUACACCGAGAAGUAUCUCUAGACUUUCCUUCUAAAUCUUGAAAUUCGAUCCAUUCAACUUAGGGCUUGAAUUUAGAUUUCCAUAUAUUCCAGCAAGACCAACUAAAUAAAGAACAAACAAAUAAAUGAUAUACUCACAAUUAAUGAUGUCAUAAAUAAAAUAUUACAAAAUAAUUUCAUAUAAUGUGAGCCCCUUAUACAAGAUACCCUAGCACAACAUUGAUGUCCAACCUUUCCGGUAGAGAGGUAGAGACAUCAACUGUAAAUGGUACUCUCAAUGUAGUAAUCAAAGGAUUGACAGUAAACUUUGUAAAAAAAAUCGUCUUUCUUUAGACCGACUAUUUUUCAUAUGAGUAAUUCUUAUAAUUGUCACAUACUCAUUAUCACACGCAUUCUCAUAAUUUGGCCAAAUAAUUAUCUUUCUUUGGACCGAUAAGUAUUCGUAUAAUUAAAUGAAUGAAUAUGCACAUUCUAUAUUUUAAAAUUAAACUAAUUUAGAUAAGGCUACUUUGGUAAUAUGUUAUUUUGACCAAUUCAAUCUAAAAUAUAAGACACAAUAACAAUAAUUUUAUUAUUGUAAAAAAUAAGAGGAAGAACUCCAAAUAAUAUUUACCAAAAUUCACCUAAUAAUUGGGUACAUUAAAAAUAUAAUUAAUGUAACAUAAUCAUAUGAAUAUCCCAAAAAAAAUAUCACUUGCAAGUUUAAUCGAGAGGAUAAUCAAUUAAUCUUGAUCAAAUUAAACAUGAAUUCACAACCUGAUUAAUCAAAUCUUGAAUCUAAAACCAUUAAACUUUAAAACUACGAUAUGAUUAAUCAAGAAAUAUUAAACCUUAAAACCAUAAUAUAUUUAAACAAAUCUUGAAUCAAGAAAGAUUAAACUUUGAAACCACAAUAUGAUUAAUCAAAUAUUGAAUUAAAAACCAAUACAAAAUACACAUAUUCCAACAAUUCAACAUGAAAUUAAUGCUAUGAUACCACUUGUUGGUAUAAAUACUUUAAAUCUAUAUAAUAGAUUAACCCAAGAUCGUCCAUGUUAAAUUAUCAAGAAUAAGUUACAUAUAAUAUUCCAUUGAUGAUGGUUGUAAAAUGGAUCUUGUCUAAUGACUAUAAAAUAGAUCUUGUCUAAUGACUAUAAAAUGACUAUUGUCUUCCUCAACCAAAACUCUGAAUGCCCUUUUUCUUGAUAAGAUACAAGAAAGACCGAUUGCUUAUUAUUUUGGUAUAUUGGGGAUCAUAGCCCUAACCCUUUUUAUAUACUAGUUCAAUUAGGAUUCUCUUUAAAUCAUAAUCAGUCUAGGAACAAGCUUCUACCCAUUUAAUUCAUGCUCAAUUAGGAAUCUAGGGCCUUAAUUAAUUAGAUCACAUAAUAGGUUUAAUUUCAUAAAAUAACUCAACGUGAUAAAUUAUUAAUUCACAUAUAAUAGCUCACAUUUUAAUUAGACGUAUUAUUUAAAUAUGCCUAAUAUCCCACACAAUUUCUCCUGACCCAGUUCUAUUCUCCUUUCUAUUAAAAAAUGAUUUAAUUAAUUAUAAUACAUAUGUUAUAAAAUGGAGAGACAGACCAUAAAAGAAGAAAAUAUAGAAAUAACGUAUGUAUUAUGUCGAUUGUGGUGUAUCUUAAAAAACUUCAUGGCAAAAACUAUUUAAGAUCUAACUUUUUAUUAGUUAGGUCGUAUAACUUGCAUCUUCAUAACCAUCAAGAUUAAACUUAGCUGACCACCGAGAUUAAACUUAGCUAGAUUUGUUAGAAAAAAAUAAACAACAUAUCUCUCGUUAUGGAAGAUAGAAAUUAGAUAGAAAUUAGAAAUUAGUAUAAUAGUAUAAUAUAAAUAUAUAUAUAUAAACAACAAAGAUAGAAAUUAGAAAAUUAAAAAUCACUCAAAUUUCUUCAUUAUCUCUCGUUAAUUUAGAAACUCGUCCAUAUCAAGUGGUCUUUACAAAUCCAUCAAAACCUUCUAUUUAUAGUUAACUUGGCAGGUAGGAGGUAGAUUAUAUGACCUCUAAAAGACUAUGUUUGACACAUGGUGGACACUAAGCACACUAAUGGGUUGACAUGUGACUAUGGCCGCUAAGCACACUAAUAGCAUCUACUUAUAUUAAUAUUAUUUAUAAUAAAAUAUAAAUUUUCAUCACAUGUAGAUUUUUUAAUUUUCAAAUCUUCGUUAUGUAAAGUUCAGUGUUACCUUUUGAAAGAAAGAAAAUUUUUAAUCUUCAUUCUCUUUGGGAUGCUUCGAUUUAUCUAAUAAUAAAAAUCAUCGUUCUCAACCAUUCUACGAAUGAAAUAGAAACAAUAGAAAAAUGUAAAGUUAUUUUCAAAUAUAACAAAAUAAGUAAAAGUAAUAAACUACAAUAUGUGUCUAAUUAAUUACUUUUGGAAGCUUUAUUCUUUAAAAUAAUUUUUCGUUUUAAAUAUGUUUGAUCUGAACAUUUAUUAAAAUAUCCAAGAAGAAUAAAAAAUUUAACAUUUAAAUUUUAAGUAUUAAAUAUCAAUAUUAUCUUUUAAAAAGAAAAGAAAUAUAGAAAAGUAUUUUUGAUUCGUGGAGGUGUUAAGAAUGUGUUUUUAAGUUUCAAAAGGUCAUCGACUAAAAAAUUUAUUAAGAGUGUAAUUGUGUUCGUUUGGAAGGAGUUUGAAAGUUUUUUAUUUGAUAAAUCUGAAUUUUCGAUUUGGACAAAUUGACCAUUCAAAACCGAGAUAAGAUGUUCAACAUAACUCAACCCUCAAAAUUCAAACCAACUUCAAUAUCUAUGUUAUGUAUCGAACCAAGUCGAUUUAUUGUUGAUGGUUCGGUGGUUUACUUACCGAGAACCAAAUUAACGGUUCGGUUGAACCGAACAGAUUUACACCCUUAGCCUGGCGACUAGGAAGUCCAAUUUUGUUAGCAAAAAGAAAGUAUAAUCGUUUUCCCUUUCGCCGUCGCUCAUUUUCUUCUCCGUUCAGCGGACGUCGAUCGGAUCACUUCCUCGUACUUUUCAAGAUCCGCUCCACAUCCAUUGCCAUGGUAAUUUCCUGUUCUCUUCGUCUUACUCAUGUCUUGAUUGAAUUCUUACGUAUUUUCACGAUACGCUCUCCUAAUCUGCAUUUUAAUUAUUCAUCUUCAUGUCAGAAUUUAACCUAAUCAACUGAGAGUUUUUGUGUCGGUGUUAGUUUUGAUGAUUCUUAGACAGCCAACUUGUUUUUACUUCCGUUUGGAUAUGUAUUUACAUGCCUUUUUUAGGAUUUUGCUUGUUGAUUAUUGCAAUUAUGGGUCUAUCUUUUAGUGUUCUGCAUAUGCAUCAAAUCCAAAUUGCAUGUUCUGCAUUGCACCUUUUCUUCAGUUCCACCGCCACUUUUCGGUUGGGUGACGUCUACUUUUCAAUGGGUUCUUUCUAUUUUAGCGGAUACAAUCGAGCCUAGCAGUGUUUCUGAUCUUAAUUAUAAUAUAAUGUCUGAUUGGUUACGUUAUUGGGUCUUCAUUGGCUGAUAGUCUCGGUGUGAAUUCAGUUCUGUUUAACGAAAUUCAGUUCUCUCAUUCAAUUUUGACAAAAGGAAUUUCUCGAAUUUGCCAAGACCAGAUUCUUCAAUGGGAGUUAGGUUUGUAACAAACUUUCUUUCAAUGUAUUUAAUCCUUAAGGGUGGAGAAUAAUAAAAUAAUAUGUAUCUAACGGCAGAUGGUAUUGGGUAAACUAAGAUAGAAGGUUCAAGUGCUAUGUCACAUCAUUUGGCCCCUUGAGCAUUGCACUCGCCCUUGGGUUUAUUUGGCCAAUUCGUAUUCUUAUGUGGCGUGGUACUUUGAUAAGUCUUCGAGUAGCUAAACUAUAUAAAUGUCUAAAUUGUUUGGUAUUCAAAUUGUAUCCUAUUGUUUGUUAUAAGUUCCAAUUGGGCUAGAUGUACCACCCUGUAGUUCUCUGGGAAUUGCUUGGUUCACCUGUGCUUGUUUGGAGUUCUGCAUAUUUUGCAUUAGGCAUAAAAAGUUUUUUCUUUUGACACUUCCUCAUGCCCCUAUUAAUUUUCUCUGCCAAUGGUCCAAGAGAAAGAAUUUAGGAUCUCUCUCACUAGAGGCUUUAUAUGUAGACUUAACUUUCCUGUUGUUGAAUUUGAAUCUGUAUUGAGCUAAAGUCCUGGUGUUGGGGUGUUUCUUAUUCCCAUUGUAAUGGCCUAAUAGGUUCCCUUUUAUUUAAUACAAAGUAAUAAAAGGAAACUCAAGAACACUUCAAUAGAACCCUAACCCUCUGCCCUUCCUUUCUUUCACUAUUUAUAACCAUCUACCUGUCUAUAUAACUAUCUACCCUUAGCCCUAUCUAAAUCUAGGUAUCUAACAGUUCCCCAAUGUUUUCUUUGUAACUUUGUUUGAUAAAAUUAUCUUUCAUUGAAUUGAAAAGCUAUUGGGUUUGUUGAUCACUAACCAUACAAAUUAUUUCUUCAAACGGGAAGUGAUCCCACUGUUUGUAUACGCUCACCAAGGCAUACAGUCAUUGUCUUUUUGCUGCUACGUACUCCAACAUUUUCUAGGCUUACUUAGCUUCUCUGCUCUCAUUAGGCAAACCAAAUUUAAAAGGUUUCCAUUUCAGGGUUCCAAAACCUUGCUGCUGCAUUUGACUUAAAUGAAACCUGCCACUAGAGCUAACUUAUUGCACAUUUGGAAGGAAAGAAACAACAGAAUUUUCAAUGACAAGUAUAGACCUUUUGUAAAUUUUCUGAUCUUACUGAGUAAAAAAUGUGACACAAGUAAAGUGCCUUACAAAUAGUACGUAGAUGCACACAGAUUUUUAUAAUUAGUCCACUUUUACGGUAUAGUGUUAUUUCUUUACAAGGAGACGUCACAAAGGCAUCUCUGUGUCUCUAAACAAGUGGUGCCUGAUAGUAUUUCUUAUGUUAAUUCACCCAUGUUAUAGCUUGCUGUAGCAUUAUUGUCCUUUAACUGGUUAAGGUAUUAUAACCUUGACAAGAAAUCAGAGGUUUGGAUUCCCACUCCCACAUAUUCUUUACUCAAAAGAAGAAGACAAAAAGGAAAGAAAGGAAAACUAAACUAUAGGGCAGAAAAGAUCAACAACAAUAAAUUGAAAUUACAGAACCAUGACAAUGCAACCUCCGAAAAAGAUCAUAAACAGAAAACGCUCAAAUGAAGAACAGAUUAUGUAUUUUCACUCCUUUUAAUUCAAAAUUAAGUAAAUAACGGUGCUAAAUUAAUCACAUUUCAUAGGAUUAUUAGAGACUGUCUCUUACUUCCUGGCUAGAUAUUUUAUGAUUGAUUUUUCUUUGAUGAAAGUAUCUGUUUUUUGUCAACUGCGGUAAAAGAUGUCAGAUUUUCAGUGUUACAAUGUGAGUUUUGGCCCAAGAUAGACUAUUGGAAUUGUGUAUAGUUGCCUAAAAUUCACUACAUUGUGGAAUGUUAUUGCAACGUCCUGUUUCUACUUGGAUGUAAUGUGUGCAGACGACGAUUGUGGUGCUUCCAUGUCACUUUGAGGAUUAGUGGAAGAUUUCAAAUUUAUUGAAGAUGUAUGCAUGUAUACUAUUUGAAUCUGAAAAAAAAAAAAGCCUUUAGGAUUUGCAGCAUGUUGCUUAAAAUGACUAGCACACCAUCACUAAUUAAAUGGAAAAGUGACAACUACAUAUUAUCUGCUAAAGAGCAAUAGAAAAAACAGUAAGCAUGGUUGCUAUAUCAAGUUUAGUCAUUGUCUUGAUGAUGUUUGGACCAAAGUUGAAUUGUCUUUACUUAUGGAAUUUAUUUGUCUGAAUAGCAAGAUGUGCAUAAUAGCAUUAUUUGUUUCACUGAUAUUUGAACCAUAAUGAAAAUCGCUUGAAUUGUGGACUUUUUCCAUCCAAAUUCUGAGAUGUAGGCAUCAUUAGCAUUCUAUGUUUCAUUCAACAACAAAAUAUUGUGGCUUGAUUAUGACCUCGUUAAGUUCUUAUUCUUUUGGUUUAGGUUCUACUGCAGCUAGACCCUUUUCUCAAUGAACUUACCAGCAUGUUUGAGCGUAGUACCGAGAAGGGUUCAGUGUGGGUUACUCUAAAGCGAUGUAUGUGCAUAUCAGUGUAUUUUUAAAAUUAAUUUCAUAUAUUUUUGUGGUAAUUUUUAGGAGUCUGAUUAGGUUCAAACUCUAUUGUCUCUGAUUGAUGUAGCAUCAUUGAAGUCCAAGGUGCAGAGAAAUAAAAUGACCACUGCUGGUCAACCUAUUGAGUAUAGGUGCCUCAUCCGUGCUACAGAUGGGAAGAAGACAAUUUCAACUUCCGUAAGUAUUGACUCAUCUUUUAAGCUUGUUUCCCCUUCCCUUUUCUAUCUUUUCUGAAUUGAAAACUUCGCAUAAGAAUUCAAGUUUUUGUAGUAAACUCUAAAUUUACUCGGGCUGAAGCAAGUCUCACUGAAUUGAAGAGUGCUGUGUUUAUACAUCGUUUCUUUUUACUCUAUUUAUGUUCUACUUUAAUUUUGUAUUACAACUCAAUGCAACACAGGAGUGAUGGUGAAGUAAUAUAUGGAUUCUACCCCCUUUUCAUCGUCACUCACUGCUUUAUGAAUUAGUUUUUUCUUCUGCUUGAGCUUUGAAUUAUCUUUUACUCAGUUCAUUGUUUUUAGCAAACAGAAGAACCAAACCCCUUUUGUAGGACUUCAAUCAGCAUAUAUCCCUUUCACAUUCUUCAGAUCUUAUUAUCUGUUUUAACUUUCUUGAAUCUGAAACAUUUGUAACAACUUCUGCUGAACUGGCUAGGUUGGUGCAAAAGAUCAUCUGAGAUUUCAAGCUUCGUAUUCAACCAUUCUUAAAGCCCACAUGACUGCUCUUAAAAAGAGAGAGAGAAAGGACAAGAAGAAGGCAGCAGAGGCCGAGAAGGGUCUGAAGAAAAAACCCAGGAAAGUAUAAAAGCAGGGCUCUUUUUUGCUUCUGUAGGUGGCUCAAAUCAUUGUAACUUCUUUCUCUUCGUUACCCUUGUUUUUCAUUCCUUUAACUUGAUGAGUGUUAUGCUUCCCCCAUAUUUCUAGCAAAACGCAGAGGAAAGGGGAGGUAGGAUUUUGGAGCUUCAGGAACUGAAAAAUAUUCGAUCUUGUCAUUUGUUUAGCCUUUUUUUCCCUUAAAAAGAUUUAAAUUAUACAUGUGAUUUUACUGUGGAAUUGUCUGUAAGUUUUACAUUCUCUCUUCCUUGAAGCUAUAAAACAACUUGACCGUCCUUUUAAGGUGCAAUCACAAAGUUGAUAUUGUUUGUGAUACACGAGCCAGGCUUCACUACAAUGACGAAACAAAGGUAAAAGAACAGUAAACAAACCUAUUCGACUAGGUUUCAUAUUUUAGAUUAACGUGACCUUUGUUUUACUCUCUAAAGGUUACUUUUUAUUUCAUUCAGCUGUGACUAAUUGGUGAUGAUAAGAUAAACAUUGUAUAUGUGCAGUUUAUAUCUUUUCAAUCUGCCAAUGUUUCUUUCGUACUAAAAAUUUAACUGUAAGUAUAUUAAUGUAACCUUUCAAACUUUUAGUAUAGUACCAAAUAUAUAGAUGUUUCAAGUUCAUUGAUUAACCAUUUAUUAGUAUUACAUUUGAAAUUUUGCCUAUUUAUAAGUUGAUCAAAUUAGCCUCUGAUUUACACUAUUUAUUACACAGGUCUAAACUUCUUCGAAGGUUGGAUAACUAAAAUUGAUUAGAACUUUCGAAGAAAGUCUUAAUUGGGAGUUUAAGUUUAAUUGUUUAUAUAAAUUUGUGGGUUGAAGUGAUAAAAUUACAAAUUUUGGAUAAUCAUAGUUUAUUUGAUACCAUUAUUAAUUUAUGGGUGUUUUUUUAAGGAAAAAUUGUAUUAGUUUUUCACUCAAACUUUUAUGUAUAAAAUAAAAUUAAUUUUAUAUUAGAUCUACAAACGCUUUUGUUUUUAAGAAAAGUUGGUGCCUAUUUGAUCCCUCGAAGUUUAAAAUAAUUCUAAAUGACUACUCAGCAUGUUGAAUGGUCGAACGAGUGGAUAACUUUUAUUAUUAUAUUUUAUAUUACUUGACUUAUUUUUAAACUUUAUUUUAUAAAACUUUUUCUAUAACUUUCUUUCUCCCUCUCUUCAUCUUCCUCUUCUCCAAACAUUUUCGUUCAGGAGGUCAAAGGUUCUAACCACAUCAUUAAUUAGAAAGUCAAAUUGCAAAGCUUCUAUGAGUGGAAGAUUACGAAAAGAACAAAAACGAAAACAAAGGGGAAGAAAUUGGGAGUGGAAUUUGGAUAUGAAUGGAGCAAGAGGGAAGGUGAUGUAAGAAGGAAGGAAUUCUUGAAAGAGCAGAGCCAUUUCUGGAAGUUGCAAUUCUAUCAGUAUUAUUUUCUUUUUGAUGAUGAUUCAAGAAAGGAGGAAAAAAAGUAACAAAAAAAAAAAAUAAAUAAAAUAGUAUAAUUACAAAAUUACUCUAAAUUUGUCACCUCAACAUACCAUUUUUUUCAUCAACCAAAUGAAUUUGAGGGAUCAUUUAUAACCAUUAUAACCAUUUUUUAUAUCUCUAAGUACUAGAGUACAUCUUUUGUAACUUCAAAAACUAAAUAGAAACUAAUUUCAAAAAACUUCAAAAACUAAAUAGAAACUAAUUUCAGAAACUAAAUAGAAAGAAACUAAUUUCAAGUACUCAAUGUCUACUUCAAAAGUUGCGAAACUAAAAAAAAAUUUGAAGUUGCGAAACUAAAUUUUUUUUUUGCAAAUUCUAGUGAUCAAACUAUAUCAUCGUUUUGAAUAACAUAAUUAGUAUUUUCAUUUUAGAAAAAACAACUUUGCCAUUGAACUUGUAUUUUUCUUUAAACUGAUAUGCUAGAUUUCAAAGUUGUUAGGGAAGAUAAUGGAGUUGAGAGCUCCUCUUUGGGCCAAGGAAUUUGUGAGCUCCACAAUUAAAAAAAUUAAUUUCAUGCUUGACUAUACAAACUCUACUACUUGCCCAUGCCUCUAAGAUUUAUGGUCAUUGGGACUAAGUCGCUUCCAAUCACCAGAAAGACUUUGAGAUCACAUAACUAAGAACAUUAUAAAAAGUGACAAAAUCUCAUGUUAUGUACAUCAGUCCACCAAGAUCCUACAACAUAACAUAUCAAAUUUAGCAUCUCAGAAAACAAAAAUUGACAGCAGAAAAAGACACAUCAGGUUGGUUUACAGAAAAGCAGAAGGAUUCAGAAUUCCUCAUCAUCAGACUUUACUUAAUCGAUUUCACCAUAAUCAGACUUUAGAAAUCAAUUUCACCAUAAUCAGAGUCUAGGUAAUCGGUUUCAUCAUAAUCAUCUGAUGCAACAUUCUGUUUCUGAUUCUGUGCCUUCUUAGGCAUAUACUUAUCAGGAUUAUCCCACCAUGUUGGAGUGCUAAGAAUAGCUUUCUCCAGCCAAUAUUGAUCAUAUUUCUUCUUUUUCAUGAGGCUUUGGUAAAACUUUCCCCAGUUGUACAUCGCUCGCUUCAAACGCACACUCUUGCUUCCUCCAAAUAGAUACUUUAUGUAAUCCUUCGCUAAUCGCGAUAGCUCUUCCCCACUGAGUAUAUAAAUGUACUGCCCACCACAAACAAGAAAACAUAAGCCAAGCUUUGUAACUAAUUAACUUGUCCCAAGUACACAACCAACAAUCAUGUUUAAAAAAUUUCCUCAUUUAGUACAUAUUCAAUGUCAAGAUAUGUAUUCAAAUAAACAUGAUUUUCAUGGUACAUACUCUUAUUCCUUUCCAGCUUUCUGAGUUAUGAAUAUUGUGUUUUCUCUUAACUUGACAACAGAGAGAGCAAAAGGAGAAAAGGUUGCGGUUUUUACAGCAUUACCAUCCAAUUUCGUGAAGGUUGACUUUGUUGGCUCACAUCUAGAGUUUAACUUUACUAGUCCUGAAUAUAUGAAGGCCAGUUAUUUUCUUCAUCAAAGGCUUUAUGGAGUCAAAACAGUAGAUCUAGUAGUUAACUAUAAAUAUCAAGUCUAGGAAAUCUCCUUGUUAUCAGGCCCUACAUCGAAAUAUGUACUAUUAAGCUAACUCGAGACUUUUUUUACCAGUGAAUUCCUCUACUUUCUGUUUGGUUAGUUGUAACUUUUUAAGACUGAUUGAAAUGCCAUUUCCAAUAGAAAAUGUUAAAUGAGUAUAUUACUACGAAAACUAAGCCGAGGGUCGCCAGAAUGACUUGCAGUAUUUCAUCCAUAAUUCCUGUGAGACUAUAAUCCUCAGAUCCACUAGAGCUAUCCUCGCCACCAUCACCGCUGUCGCCACCACCACUGCCGCCGCCGCCACCUGGAGGUCUUUUGCCACCAUCUCCACCAUCAUAGAACUCUUUCUUUUCAAUUUGUUGUCGCAAGACAUCUUCUACUGAUCGUCCCUUAAAACUUUCAACAACUUUGUCCAAACCUUUCCAUGGAGAACCCUGCUAGAAACAAAGUACUAUUACUAUAUCUAGAUUAACAGAUACCUCUUAAACAAAUAGAAACUCGUCAAACUCCAAGGUUAUCAUUUGCACAUUUGAAAUUCAAAAAUAGGGACAUGAACAUAAUAGUGGUUAAAUGAAUAAACGCUCCAAAUCCUCCUACCAUUGUGUAUUGAAUAUCAAGCAACUUGAACCAAAAAAGGAAAUUAGGGGGGGAAAACAAACUUGCUCACUUUCUGGAAAAGUGAAUGAACAACAAUAAUUCCUAGCAUGAGGAACAUUCAUGAAAUAAAGAGUGAAAAAGAUGGUUGACACUUGAUAUCAAACCAAACACAUGUUCUUGUUAAAUGUUCCAAUCUUCAUAAGGAGUAACCUUAAUGGUUUAUGAAAAAAAAGAUUACAAUGGCUGACUUUUGCAAAGUAAGCAUAUUGAUGAAUAUUCAACACUCGUGGGAAAACAGAACUAACAGUGCCAUUCUAAAUUCCUCAAGUUUGAAAAAUUCCAGCAAUUAAAAUGUACUUCAUGACCAUCCACCGUUGCUUAGUGGAACAGAAAAUGACACACGAGAAAUUCAAGAAGCAUGUUACACAAUCUGAAGUCUCAGAGAAGCGUAGUUCCACCAAUCCUUCAAUCAUUCGGAGAACAUUAGAAACCAUAUUAUGAACUUUUUUUCCCUUUUAACACGUCAAAGAUAACAAUUUAAAAUAAAAAAGGAAAGGAAAAAGAAGAAAGAAGAAAGAAGAAAGAAGAAACCCAAGCAGAGUAUUAUAGGUAGAGCAAAGCAUCAGAAAAUAAAAUUUACUAAUAGUUAUAUCAGAAAGAAACAUAUAGAAGAAUAGAGCCGAAUAGACAAUCUAAUGAUCACAAACGAACAAUUAAGAAAUGCUCUCACCCCAUCAUCACUGCCCUUUCCCUUGCUACCGUAUAAGGAAACAAUUGGUGUAUGCUGAUAUUUUAAUCCAACCCUCCGAUGUUCAUACUUCAAAACUGGUAGACCCUGCUUGAAAUAAGAUGCAUUGGCACUUAGAUUUACAACAGCACGUCGUGACUGAUUAGCAUGGAAUGAUGGAUAUAUUGACUUAGAAACAAGGCAUAUUGAUUUAUUGGCACAAAUAGAAUUCUGUGUAGCAGUUAUCUGCAUGCUGCUCAUCCUUUGAUAAACACCCUAUGGUCAUAUGCCACACUCCAGCACCCUGACAUCCAAGUUCUCAUAUCAUGUAUGAAUCAUAACAAUUACCAGACAUAACCAGAUAAAAUAGCUAUUCAUAAUCGCAUAGAGCCAUAUUUUUGUAAUAUCUACCCUAAAUUCAAAAGCUUAAGUAGAGGCUAUACAAGUGUAAUUUUAAUCAGUUGAUCAUUCCAAAAGUACCCAGUUAUCGAAUUGGUCGAAUCGAUGAAAGAAAAGAGAAUAGAAAGGAAAAGAAAAGGCUUAGAAACCAGAGACUGAGACUGAGAGAGAGAGAGAGAGAGAGAGAGAGAUAACCUGGGCGGAAGAUGAGGGAAUGUGGUGGGUAGUGGUGCGUGUCGGCGAGUGAAUGACGGUGGAAUGGGGGUGUGGCGGUGGAGGUUGUUGCGGAGAAGGAAGAAGGGAUAAUGAGCAUCGGUAGGUGGCAAUGGACUGAUAGAGAAAUGGGCUUUUUAGGUUAUGAGAGAGUAAUAAUUGGGCUAACUCACAACUAUGCUCAAUUUCACCAAUUCCCUUCCUUCUUUCAACACUAACUUUAAAUUAACCAAACUUAGUUGUUGUAGAUUCACUUCUUCAAAUAAGGAUCAAAAUAUUUACUCAAUAUACUAAAAUUUUACAACUUUCUAUAUUCCAACAUCUGUAUCAUACAUUAAUAUAAAUUUAGAUUAAGAGUAAAAUGUACCUUUCAUCUCUUAAAUUUGAAUUUCAUAUCUAUUUGGUCCCUAAAGUCUCAAAAUAAACAUUUUGGUUCUCACGUUUGUUAAAUACUUCUAAAUGGUUCCUCAAUUAACUUUAGAAUAUUAGUUAUAUUUGAUGAUGCGUAAAUUAUUUUUUGGAAAAUAAAAUAUUUAAAAGCUUUAAAAUAUACUUAUAACUUUACUCUUUUAUCUUUUUAUUUAACUUGUUGGUAAAAAGAGAAAAUACAUUUUUUUUAUUUAAUAUGUAAGUUAAAAAAAUAUGACAAAAAAUUAAUAAAAAAUAUGUAUCUUCUUUAAUUUAUUUAAUAGGUAAAUUCAUUGAUCUAGAUGGUUGAGUAAAAAAAUAUAGAUAUAUACACUCGCACUCCAACAACAUAGGGGUGUGGAUGAUAGGUAUAAGUAUCACUAAGUUAAUUCGUCAAUACCACUUUGCUAUCUCAUUCUUUUAUAUCUUAUAAAGAUGAUGUCUUUAUCACAACCACAUUUAUCUUAUUAAUAAAUACACUACGAGAAUUUUAGUUUCUUCCAUAAAUUUUUUCAUUUGUAAAAAAAUAUUAUAUGAAAAAAUGACUCUGGUGUAGCUUCGUCAAUACUUCAUAGUAUGUAUAUAUAUAUAUAUAUUUUGCCAACAACCACCUAAUUACAUUCUCUUGUGUUAUAAAAGUUAAACAUGGACGUAAUUUUAUAACAUUUGAAGAAAAUUAUUGUUUUUGAAAGAGUUAGGUUGAUAUAGUCUUGUUUUUUCAACCGAAUUGUUGGGUUUAAUAAGUGAAAUUAAUUGGUUGGGUUUAAUAAGUGAAAUUAAUUUUCGAAUUAUUUUUUCUGGAUAUCAAUUAUUCAAUACUCUCAUCUAUGUUAUUUAAUUAGUAGUUACUUAGAUAUGUGCAUAAGGUAAUGAAAGAAAAUUUUCAUCAUGUUAAUAUCUUUAUUUGGAUGUUAGUUUGACAAAUUAAUUGGAUUUUAACAUGUAUAUGAUUUGAUAUGUUGUAACAUGUGACACUAGCGAAAAUGCAAUCCCAUGUAUAUGAUUUAAAAUGAGAUUUUUUUUACAAUGAUGAGUGACAAGAGAAAUACUAAAUAUUCAAAUCUUUCAUAAAAUAUAACAAAAUAAAAAAAUAAAAAAAGCAAACAAAAGGUUUUGGUCGGAACUCGUCAUUGUAAUUAUUCAUCUCUACCAAAUGAUUUCUUCUUUUUAAAUGUUCAAAUCAUCCUAAAAUGUUAUCUUACAACUAGGAGAAUUUAGGACAUUAGGAGACGGAGGGUUGUAAUGCAAAUCAAAUAGUUAUCCAUCAAUCCAAAUCAUAGUAACAAAAUAUUACAUCAACAACAAUAUAACCCUUUGAAUGGUUGAAAAACUACUAUCAUACUUGCCAAAUUUUACCAUAAAGAUUAUAGAAAAUGGAAAUCAAAUUUUACCGUAACGACUAUACGAAUGGGAAGAUUUCCAUUUCUUAUUUUAUCUCAGUGAGUUACUGCAGUUGGUUGAUUACAGAAACAUCUACGUCCCCUCAUGCAUUAUCUGUUACUAUAUAUACUGAUGUAAAUUUAACCCCAAGUUUACAUGAAGUUUAAGGGUUUAUUACAAUAAAACUCCCAGUUUGGGGUUGGUUUGUGUAUUUUUUUUCAUAGAUUAUUAUUUUAUGGAUUUUUAUUAUUGAUUCUUCCCAAUGAAAUUUGUAAAGUUGGCCGAAUCAAACCACAAAUUUCCAAGAAUAGAAGAGUGGAACUUUUCAAACAAUAACUUUGAAUUUGUGGAAGAAAAAGUGGAAACUGACUUACUAAUUCUUCGUGUGAUAUUAAUGGGUGCAUGUCUUCAAGGCAUGCAAGCCAAGUCAACCCCACCUUCCAAAACUACAUUAUUUGCAUACAUUUUUUGGAAAAUAAAAUCAUUUUCUAUCUUACCUUCAAAUAAAAUCUCCCUUCAAAUAUUGUUUAAAUAAGUUAUUUGUUAUUUUAAGUUAUGAAACAGAUGGAUGUUAAGCAAUUGAUUAGUUAUUAGAGAGAGAAAAAUGGCAUUAAAGUCUUUUUUAAUUUCCACCUCCUCUUAUAUAUAUAUAUGAAUUUUUACCACAAUAAUUUGUAGUUAAUUUCUGCAUUUGCUCAAUUUAUUUUGGGUUUUUUUAAUAACAAACUACUAAAAAUAGAAUAAUUUUGAAAACGGAAAAAACUGACUUCAAUGUAAAAUGUCAAAGUUACCUAAAUCAACAUGCGAAAAAUCGACCACACAUGCGUCGUGUAGAUAUUGACACACGAUCUCAUACAUACAAUGCAUUGAGAUAACCCGAGAUGAAGGACAUAAGUGUAGAUUUACACAAUCGUGUACUUCAUUUUAAACAAUGACUUUCAAAUUUAAACGAUCUUUAGAUCAUGAUACACGAUAUCUCGAGCCUUACUUGCAACAAGAUGCUCGAAAAUGAAAGAAUUUUGCCUUUAAUUCAUUCGAUCUCAAGUAUACAAUGCUCCAAGAUGCUACUAGGGAUGAAAGAAUUCUUCCUUUCGUUAUUAAUGGAUUUUGGGUCUUAGUUGCACCCGAGAUGACCUGAGAUUAAUAAAUCAUAAAAAAGAUAUAAAUCGCAAGGGUAUACAUAGAGUUUAUGAAAAAAUAAUCGAACAACGUGAACUUUUUUUUAUUAUUUUGUUACACAUAUCGUAAAUAUUAUUUAACACUUAUGUUAUAUUUAUGUAAAUUUAUCAAUGAUUUUUGUGCAUAACUUUAUUAGAUUAAAAUUAAAAUGUAUAAGUUAAUGUAGGCUUUUACAACCACAUUUUCUGAUAAAAUUAGUAAAUGAAUUAGGAAGAAUUGAACUAAUCAGUAAAAAUUGCCCACACUUAUUUAAGUUUAUAUAUAUUAUAGAUAAAAAAUUUAAAUACAAUAGUUAUAUUGCAAAAUGGAAGUUAUUGAAGCAUCUAGAGAUGAUCUUCUAAAUUAAUUUUAUAUAUGAUAAUAUAUUUAAGAGAAAAAAAAGUUUAUUUCUUUAAUGUCCAAAUACUAACAUCAUCAUUUCAUAACCAACCAUCAUUUUUUUCCAUAUUGAUCUAGAAAAGUCAUUUUUGGGUGUCCAUUCUUUUUCAAAUGAGAACCCAUAUUAUAAUUGAAGAAUUUUUUGAUUGUUUAAUAAUUAUCACUUUGACUUUACCUUCGGGGGCUUUGAUUUGUCAUGAAAUUAAUUAUCUAUUGAUGGAUGAAAAAAUUUGUCGACUCAUUUGUUAUUCAUGUGAACAAAAACUAAACACGUUUCCAAAAGAAAUUGGAAAUUAGAGUUUAGAUAAAAAUCCAUAUAUAAAACUCGUAGUACUUUGAUAAAUGUAUUUUAUAUAUGAUGCUAAUUAUAAAUUAAAUGUCAAAUGAUAUUUUGACUUUUUAAUGCGUACACAAAUCAAAUUAAUCUAAAUUUAAAGUGUGUUAAAUGAAUAAUUUAGAGGUGUGUUAAAGGACUAAUUACUAGUUUGAAUCUCCACUUUUAUUAUUAAGAAAAAAAUUUACGUGUGCUACUUCUACUUCUACCCAUGUCGUUAUGUCGUCUAGGUAGUAUGUGUGUAAGAAUAAUUUGAUAGCCCGAAUAAUUCAGACUAUCUAAUCUAGUUGAAUUAUUUUAAAUUUUGGGUUGGAUUGGGUCGGGUCUUGAGUUGAGAUUUGAAAAAUUCGGUUCAACCAAAUGCAAUCAAAACUAACGAUAUUAUAUAUACUUUUAAUAUUUUUUAAUAACAAGAUACUUGAAAUAUUUUUUUAUUUUUUUAUUUUAGUUUAUAUUUGACUCUUCCCUUAUGUUUUAAAACUUUUUGUUAAAUAUUAUUAUUAAUGUUGUACUUUAUGGAUUUUUUUUUUUUUUUGAAUGUGUGGAUUUAUAUGGAUACAUUGAUGUCACAACGUUUUUGAAAUUUAACAAAUAAAUAUUUAUAGAAAUGGAAAAAAAAUUAUAUAUACCAACAUGAUAACCCAACCGAAUUCAACCCAUAUUUAUAAGGUUGGUUUGGGUUGGAAAUGCUUCUUGGGUUAUUGAGGUUGCUAACCCCAACCAACCCGAAAAUUCAGGUUGGUCCCAAAAUACUCUCAACCCAACCUGUUUACAUAUUUACUAAGUGGUUGCUCAAUAAAAAAUUAAGCAAAUAAUUUUUUUACAAAAGAAAUUGUUCUUAAUCUUGUUGGAUCCGACAACGAACACGAUGUCAACCCAUAUUGUGGUAAAAAAAUAUCUGACAAGAGGGGUAGUUGUGGAAGCAAGCAGAAAAAUAAUAAUAUCAUAAACUAAGAAUAAUUCAGUUUGAUGUAAAAUCACACCUACGUUUGGGAGUAGUGUGUCGUGGAAUGAAAAUUCACUAUAUAAAGAGUUUAACAAUUACAAUGAAAGUAGUUAUAUGACAAACUUCAUAUUUACGGACUCCCGUAAUAGCUUGCUCUUCAAAUGUUUCAACCUAAUUAGGCUCUCCCUAAGUUUGAGCUCCAUUCACUUCCAUGAUAUGCUUCUUCAAUCUUUGUAUGAGAUUAUCUAAAUACAAAAUGUUUAGACUCCCCCUACAAAUGAUGAGAUCCCCUUCACAUUCACUAUAUACGUAGGCUUCCCUAAAUACAAUAUAGUUAUCGAACUCUUCCCAAGUACUAGCUAUCGAACCAAAAAUCUCAGCAACAAGCACACAAUAAUUUAUGCUAUAAAUACAUGAAGAUUGAGGCUUAGACAAAUCCUAAACUCACAGCAUUCAAGCAAACUUUUCUAAUGAGACGACUAAUCCUAAACAUAAUAGAGUAAACAUAUAUAUAUAUAGACGUAUAUAUAUAUUUAGUCCAUAAAAUAGUAAUAUAGAAAGAAUAAAUAUUAUUUGAAGAAGAAUAAAGGCCAAAAAUAUGUUGAAAAAUGAAUGCUUCACAAAAUUAUAUAUCUCCAAAAUGAAUCUUUUAUGGAUGGAGCAUGAUAUGAACUUAAGUGCAUAUAUAUAUAUAUAACUCAAAUACGUGUUGACUACUCCAAUAAUUGAGACAACAAAGAUGACCAAAAUAUAAAGUUGACUCCAAACACACACACAAACCAAACCAAAUCCAAUCUGAUCCAAGUCAAAGUCCUUAAAAAUUAAGUUUACAUAAGAAAAAAAACCUUCCCACACACACCAAAUUUAAUUUUCCAUCCUUAUAAAUACCCUCAUCUCUCCCCUUGAUCUCCUAAAACAACAAACUAAUCAAACAGAAAAUGGAAGGACGUGGUGUAGGUGUAGCCAUGCAAAAAACACUGCUCCUAACGGCCCUAGCUCUGAUCGGAAUCAUCGCCGGAGCUGCAGCACAGAACUGUGGAUGCGCGGCGGGGCUGUGCUGCAGUAGGUUCGGAUUCUGCGGGAACGGCGAGGAUUUCUGUGGGACCGGAUGCAGAGAAGGGCCUUGCAACAUUCCCCCACUUACUCCAAGUGUGAACGAUGUGAAUGUGGCAGAAUUUGUGACGGAGGAGUUCUUCAACGGCAUAAUUAACGAGGCGGACGCGGGUUGCGCCGGACGGGGAUUCUACAGCAGAGCUACUUUCUUAGAAGCUCUCCAGUCGUUUGAUAGAUUUGGAAGAAUUGGAUCGGUUGAGGAUUCUAAAAGAGAAAUCGCUGCCUUCUUUGCUCAUGUUACUCACGAGACUGGACGUAAGUUUUUCCAAAUUCUUUUCUCUUCUUUUUUGGUUGUUGUUGUUGUUUUUCGUAUAUGUUCAUAACUAUUAACUUCUUGAAUUUUAAAAAAAUUGGUUAGUUUUUUUAAUAUUAAGUUUAUCAGAACUACUUCUCUUUUGUUUUUGUUUUAUUGUUAAAAAAAUUAAAAGAAAAUGGAAUCAAAAUUUUUAAUAAAAUCCUACCCAUUCAAAUUCAAAAUAAAUCGAAAAUUUUAAUUUAUAAAAAUGUCGAAUUGGUUAAAGACAAAGUAAUUAGAUACCGGUAUAUUGCAUAAAGUUGGUAACUUGAUUUAUAUUGUACAACAGAUUUAUGCUUCAUAGAAGAAAUAGAUGGAGCAACAAGAGACUAUUGCGAUGAGGAAAACACUCAGUAUCCAUGCAACCCAAGCAAAGGGUAUUUCGGUAGAGGACCAAUUCAACUAUCUUGGAACUUCAACUAUGGCCCUGCAGGGGAGAACAUCGGAUUUGAUGGCCUCAACAACCCGGAAAUUGUUGCCACCAACCCGGUGGUGUCAUUCAAGACGGCCUUGUGGUAUUGGAUGAACUUCGUGAGGCCGGUCAUCAACCAGGGCUUCGGCGCCACCAUUCGUGCCAUCAAUGGUGCCCUCGAAUGCGACGGCGCUAACACCGCCACUGUUCAACGACGAAUUCAGUUUUAUAAUCAAUAUUGUAAUCAACUCAACGUUGCCCCUGGAAAUAAUUUGACUUGUUAGAUUUUGAUUUUAGUUUACUUUCCUUUUCUUGUUCUAUUUUAAGCUUUCUACCAAUAAAUUUUUCUAUCAUCCAUUCCUAUAAUUCAUAUAUGUUUUCAAGUAAUUUUAUAACUUUUUUCACAUAUAUACCUACAUAUACAUACAUAUAUAUAUAUAUAUAUAUUAAACAAGUUAUUACUUAAUUUUUACUUCUUUCUCUAUCAAUUUCUAUGGGCGUUUUCCUAUUAAAUAUACUGUAUAAGCUCUCUUUUUUUAUGUAUGAAAAAUGAUAAAAUUUACUAGAAGAUUUUGAAAUUGAAUCUCAACAAGAAAACAAAAAAAGAAUCAAACCUCUCUGCUCACAUGAUUACUUUCUAGUUUGUAAUGUUGUUGAUGCACUCUUGCAUAAGAGUCCAAAUGAAGAAUUUGCAGAAUUUUUUACUUCCAUAAGUUGUUGUAUAUAUGGGCCUCAAACCUGGGUUUCAUCAUUCGGAUUGACCAUGGAGAGACAGACGUCUUAUCAGAGGAGAUGGGAAAAGAGUUGUUGUCAUUGUGCUUCCAUAUGGGGCGGUCGGGACCUCCAUCAUCAAAAGGAAAAGCAAUUAAUUAUAUCUGUCUACUUUUAACUAGGGAAAGUAAUAUUGGAGUUUUUCACGAGGACUUGAUUCACAUAGCUAGAACGAUAAUUUUUCUAGAGGAACUAAAGUUAAUUAGGGCUAGAAAAUAAUAUUGGAGUUCCAGCGCUAAUUGAACGUUUGAUUUUGUUGUGGGUUUUAGACACUAUGGAUAUUCUAUGAAGGAAUCUUCCGAACUCUUACCUCAAUUCAAACUGGUGCCCGUUUUAUAAGAUGUACACAAUGACGAAAUGGAACAACUGUUCCUUUACUGCACCAUUAAAAGAUUUUAUGGGGCAACAGACAGAAUGACAUUGCAAUACCAACAACAUGAACUCUUUAUGUCAGAACAUUUGCUCUCUAGCAAACAAACGGGAGGAAUAUCAUCAUCUUCAAUAUCUCAGUGGCUUUAAUGAGAACUGUUUAGCUAGAAAGAAAUAGCAGAAUAUUCAGCAAUAAAUAAGCUAUCAGACAUUUGCAAACUCAUUGGAUAUUGAACAGUAGACACCCCUUCUCAAAGAUUAAUUUCCACCAUUGCUAUCAACAUUAGUUCUUUCUUAUUUUGAUGGUCUUUGUUUUUUUUUUUUCCUACUUUUCUUAGCCUCUUUUUUUGACCUCAUCUUGUAUAUACUUUCGUGCGAUAAUUAUAAUUAUAACAAUUUUAGAAAUAAUAAUUAAGUAUAUAUAACAACCUUUUAAAAAAUUGUAAAUAUAACAAAAUUUGUUAAAGUUUAUCAAUGAUGAUCAUGUAGCAAAGUUUAUUAGUGAUAGACCAUGUUGCUCUUAUGAGAUAGAAUAAUAUUUGCAAUCUGUUUUAUCAUUGAUAAACUUGGAUAGAUUUUAUUAUAUUUUUAAAAGAUUGUUAUAUAUUUAAUUAUUUUAAAUCUAAAUGCUAUAUUUUUCACUAUUUCUACUAUUAUUGAAUAUUAUUUGACAAAAGAUGAUAGUUGUACUAAAGGAUAUACCCAUCUAAUGAGGAUGUCGGGAUGCACAUACAGACUCAUUUUGUAUCUUUUUCUAAAAAUAACUUUAGUUCAUGGUAUUUUGAUUUGAAGUUGUUAAGUAUUUAAUUUUAAAAUAAGUUAUUUUAAAAAAAUGGAUAGGUUUGACAAACACUCUUCAAAGUUUAUUUCAAACCUUUUUUAUGAAAAGAAGUAUAUUAUUCAACCAUUAAAGUAUAAUGACACAUCAUGGAAUUAAAAGUUGAGGAGUGUUAUCUUUUCAAGAAAAAAUGAAAAAAAAGAAGAAAGGGAAAAGUUGAGUGUAAUUCUAAGUCUGACUUUCAAGGGAAGCGGCCUACGCUUAGCUUUGUUUGAAUAUAUUUUAGUUUGAAAUGCUGAAUUUUCAUUGAAAGAUCAAACCUUAAUAACUCUUUCUCAGUAGAGACGUCUGCAUGGCAUCAUAAUCAAUUAUUACCCCAAAGUUGACCCUAUUUUCUUUUAGGAUACAUAUAUUUUGAUUUCAUUUGAUAUACAUAAUAAUAAUUUCUUGAAGUUCUUGGCAUUCUAGUUCUUCUGCAAAAUCCGCCAUUAACGACGUAUACAUAUUGCUAAGGGACAAUUGAGUUGUUGUUCAAGUUCAAGUUCAAGUUCAAGUUGAAGCUAAGUUGAAAACAUUAUAUAUGGCAGAAAAUCAGGCUUAUUAUUAUGAUCGGAUUUCCCACAUCCUUUCUGAAAAAAUGGUAUAUAUAUAUAUAUGCUUUUUAACUGUAAUUUUCUCUUCUCUUUCACCUUCUCUUUCUCAUUUUGUUACACAUGUAAUUAACUUUAUCUUCAACAUUAUCCUUUGCUUCCCAUAUCAUUUUGGACUACUACACAACAUUCUACCACUAAUUAAUUCCGACUUUAUUUUGUAUACUUCUAUCUUCUGUUCACUUUAGGUACAUCAAACAUCUAUUAUUUUAGUUAUUUUUAUAAUAGGAACCAAAAUGAACGUCGAGAGAAUAUUAAAAAAAAAACAAUUCAAACAGAUGUAUUUUAUUUUAUUUUUUUCCUAAUUUGUGCAGUUGAAAGAAAAGGAAAUGAAAUGGAGCGUAAGCAAUUUAAAAUUCCAAGAAGAAACAAUCAAAAGGGAAGUGAAAUUGAAGGUGGAAGAAUUAAAUAAGCUUCAUCCAUCUCUAGACAAACUCUCUUUUGCAAAUAAUGCCUAUAGGGUCAUCAAACCCAAAUCAACUUCAUGCUUAUCAGUUGGAGAAUUUGAUAACAAGGUAACUUAAUUGAAUUAAUUUCUCUAAUAUAUUUAUUUUGUAACACAAUUUUCAGAUUUAAUAAUACAUAAAAAAACAAACUAAGAACUAGAUUUAAAAUUUAGAGACUUAGACAUUGGAAAGUAUUCCGACUAAAAUUGAACAAACUCUAUAAAGUUUAAGAAUUCAAAUGAUAUUUUAACCUAAUCUAAAACUACUAACAUGGUUUCACUAGUCCUCCAUCUCACUUCCGCCAUGCUUGGAACUAGGCUAUGACUACGUUUCGUUGACCGCCUCGGCAAUCUGCUGGCGAGGCACCCUACUUCAGCAAAACUUUCAGAGCUCUACCAGGGUUUAGGGUUUAGAACUAAUAUACUAAUAUACUAAUAUAUUGUGAACUAGAAUUAAUACUAACUUAUACUAAUGUUAUAAACAGAAAUUGAAGUUCCUAAUGCAACAUGGAAGCAAAAAUAUAGCCAGUGAGAAGAAGUUAUUAAGGGAGAUCAGUUCAAGCAGGAAGAAGGAAAUUAGAUCAACAACAGUUGAAGAACUUGAUGUUCCUGUACAGAUCAUUUAAAAUCAUCAAUGCCUUCAAACAUUUUGUCCUAAUUUUUCUUUUCAAAUGGUUUAAUAGUAUUAAUUAUAAUUUUCUUGGUACAAUCAAAAUUACAGAUUAAGAAGAAGAAUGAGGAAAUUGAGAAUUCCCAUUUGUAUUUAUACACAACAGAUUUUGAAGGGAUUAAUAAAGAGAUGAAAAGGCUUGAAAUGGUGAAAGAGAAGGCUGUGGCCAAUGCUGCUGUUGGUGGAAAGCUUUGGAGCUCUUUGGGAACCAAAAAGGAUAUCCAACAGAAAGUUAAUGUAAAAAGAAAAAAGAAAGUUUGGAUUUGAAUUCUGUGAAAAGGGAAAUUUAUUAUUAUUGUUGAGUUUAAUUAUGGUUUUUAAUUGCAGGUCAUGUAUGAGGAAUUAGAUGAGCUGAGGUUAAAGCAAAUUGAAACUCGAAAUGAAACCAAGUAUGGGGAGAAAAAGUUGAGGAUUAUACAAAAACAAAUCUUGUAUUUACACAAACAAUUGGAAAUAAUAUAUCCAUAGUGUGUGUAUUAUUUAUAUUUAGGGUGUGGAAUUUGCCCUUACAAAGUUUAUUCAUCGUUACUUUCAAUUUUAUCAAAUUACACCGCUAACUUUGAGCCUUUAAUUAGUUUUUGUAAUUUGAAACAAUCUUAACAACGAUUCAUUUAAUAUACCCUCAUGUAUGCAUUUAAUGAUAAGGAUGUGUGCUGUAUAAAGAUUAUUCCAAAUAAAAAUGACAUCAUUUUUUUUUUUAAUUGGGGAGUUUUGAACAAACUUAUAAGCUAGCAAAAUUUAAAUUCGUUCAAUGAUUAUCAUCGAUAAAUAUAAAAUUUUGUUAUAUUUUGGUUCAUUUUAAUUAUAUUUAAAAUUAUUUCAAAGUUAUUGUUCACACGAGGUUUUCGAAUAAACAUGUUUCAUGGAGUUAAACUUGUGUUGAUGUUGAUUAUGAUGUGAUGCAGUUUGACCUCUCGUAUUUGAUCCUCUAAUUAUAUUCUCUUUCAGUUGGAUGUUUACACUUGAUUUAAGGAAACAGAGCACGUGAUGUUCUUAAAGUGAAGCACGUAUUAUUCUUGAAGUUGGAGUCUUAGAAGAUAGUUUGUAUCUUUGUAACUUCAAAGGAACUUCAAUCUUUAGGGGUGGUCAGCUUCUGGAGUUAGCAAAUCUUUUGAUUCAUAGGAGAAUUCUCUCUAGAUCUUUUAGAGUAAAAUCUUUAUGUUUCCCACAAAUUAAGAGAACUCCUCUAUUUAUAGAAUUAUCUGGCAAGUUUUAUAAGUUUGGGUUUAGUUGGUCAAUGGACCAAACCCAUGGGUUGAAUCAUGUGAAUUUUAGUCAUAUUUAGUAUUUGGACUAAAUUAAAGAAUAAUUUACAUAAAUGUAACAAAACCCAAAAAAUAUUUACGAUCCGUGUUAUAAAAAACAAAAGCCCAUGAAGCUGGUAAUAUAUUUUCAUAAUUUCCAUAUUUCCCCUUUUGAAUGAUUCAUCGCUUCUCUUUCAUCUUCUUCUUUGCAAAUGAUUCAUUUUCUCUUUCAGAUUUCUUCAUCUCUUCUUCUAGAUUUUCUUUCUUAUAUCUUUAAACGAUUUAUUCUUCUGUUUAAAUCUCCUAUUUUAUAUUCAUCAUUUUUGACAAGAUUCUUUUAAGCUACUUCACCUUCCUCAUAUUUGAGAAUAUCAAGACCGUUUAAAUAUCAUUUUGACCGGAUCUAGAUGAUCGUUUAUCAUUGUCAACACAAUCGUUUAAAUUUGAAGUCAGUUUUCAUUGUUUAAAAAGAACUACACGAUUGUGUUGAUAUGAUCUAAACACGAUUACUUACCAUAGUUAACACGUUCAUUUAGCAUCAUCUACAUGAUCGUUAAAAUUGAACAUUUUUAACGAUUACUUACAUUGGACUACACAAUCGAUUACCAUAAUCAACACGAUCAUUUUUCAUGAUCAACACAAUCGUUUAGCAUGGUCAACACGAUCGUUAAAUUUAAAGUCUUUUUUCUCAACAUUAAGAAAUGAACUACAGAAUCGUGUAUCAUGUCUGCAGUACACAAUCAUUUAGAAGAAGAUUACUUGUGCGAAUGUGAUCGAUUAAUCACAUAUUGAUCGUGACAUUUUUUGUAUAUUUUUCGUUGUGGGCCAAUGACCUUUUUUUCUUUUCAGAAUUGCUUUAUACCAUAUAAAUAUUUUAUCGGUUUGUUAUAUUUUUAAAAAAAUCCCUAAAUUAAACUUACUUUUUGUCUCAAUUGAACAUUAAUUCAAGUAAAUAAUAUUUAAUUGAACUAAAAUAAUUAAUUUGAUCGAAUAGUCAUAACGAAAACAUGUGACAUCAUCAGAAUUAGCCAAUUUAUAUCUUCACUCUCAAUUUGGGACACAUAUCAAUUUUUAAUUAGUUUCAAAUUUAAUUAUUGGUAUUUUCUUCAUUAAUUUGGUAAAUAACGUAACAAUUUGGGAUUUAUCCAAAAAAGUUUUUUAUUCAAAUAGUAAUAUAGAUAAUUCGUGCAUUAACUAAGAUUUUAUUAUAUAGAAAUGGGUGAGUUUAAGGUUCAAACAAUGCUUUUUGAUACAACUGUAAGUGGAUGAUUUAGUAUAGUUUGAACCGAUAGAAAAAGUUAAUAACAUUCAGUUUAUGGUCCAAAUUUGGUUGAAGAGUUUGAAUAUUUAUAGUAAAAAUCAAUAUAAAUUUGUAGAGUUGAAGAUAGAGAUCGAUUUAGAGGCUGGAUUCCCCUACCCUAUAUGUUAUCAUUUUUGCAAUGAUAAUCUUACCACUUUAAAUAACUUUUAAGGCUAGAUUAUAAAUACAUAUAUACAUGCACACAUGUACAUGUAUAUAUAUAUAUAUAUAUGCAUAAACAUUUGUACUUUAUGUAAAAAGAUACCCUAACUUGUCAAAUAAAAAAGAAAGCAACGUAGAAAGAAGAAAAUAAAAACAAGUAACAAUUUGAAAUUAGCUUCCAAAAACCAUAUUGUGAUCCAAUAACAAAACCAGAGGAGGGAGAAUCAUCACAACGAUGGCGAAGAAAUUGAACUUAACAAAAUUAGAAGGAACAGAGUAGUGUUAAAAGUAAGAUUAAAGGCAAAGAAACAGAGAGAUGGGUAUGAACAAUAAAAAGCUUCAAUCAAGAACAUUUCACUGAUCGAAGUGGACGAAAGCAAGAGAGAGCCGAGGAGAAAGAGGAAGAAGGAGCCUGGCAAAUUUUGACCUCAGUUUCUUCUUCAUAAAUGGUGUACAGAGUAAUUUGAAUAUGGGGUCUCGAAGCGCAGCUGAAGCGCGGCGGCGCAAUCGCUGAAAAUCGGGUUAGCGGUGUGGAUGGUUGGGAGGAAGGAGUUAGGGUGGUGGUGUUGUUGUUGGCCAUUUCCUGUGCGAUGGGAUAUAUGAGCCUUAAACUCAUCCUAUGGCUUUUCUUAUUUUGGGCUACCUAUGAGUUUUUGGCUAACACUACUUUGGAGUUAUAUAUAUAGAGUCUGAUCCCUUCGAAAUUAGGAUCUUUCUUUUAUCUUUCUCUCUCUCGUUUAAUAAUCACAUUUUUAAACUUUACUAUUUUAUAAGUGUUACUCUAGUUACUGAUUUUAUUACAACUAAAACUUGAAGAACGUGUCUUAUAGUACGUCAACCAUUCUGUUUCGUUUAAUGUACAAUUUGGUUUUUUCCUUAUUUGUUAAAGUGUGUAUUGUAAAUUUGUAGGCACGUUUUCCUGUACUAGUAGAUAAUAAGUGUGUGUCUAUGAAUAUUGUAGAUCAAUGUGAGUGAAGUUGAAGCCACCUCCCACUUGGAGGAACCCAAAUAUGUGUGCAGUGAGAGAAUCUCGUAUUCUAAGUUUGGGAGAGCUUAUUCAUAAAAAUAAUGGAAGCUCACACCUAAGGAGAGGUAAGUACAUUGUUUUGGAAGGGGUUCUCAAAUGUAACAAGCUUUGGAGAUGUUUUAUUACGCUUUGGAGAGGUUUUCAAUUGAUUACAGAGAAAGAGUUUCUCAAUUUUUAGAGGUUGAAAAAUAUCACGUCAAUAAUUACGAACAAAUAAGGUGUCAAUGCAAGAGAUUUGUGAAUUCAAAUUGGGACUCAUUAGAAGGUGUGGAGCGACAUCUAUAUUAACCACUGAAAUAGCCUCCUCAUAUAUAGACUGAGUGUAUCAUGGAGAGUUCGUGAACUUGCACAAAUGUAUGCAAAGACUUGAUGAAGGAACAAGUAGAAGUAAUAAUCACUUUGAUAAAGGAACUAGUAACUCAUUUUGAGUAUCAUGCAUGAUUUACAAGCUGGCAUUAAACACGAAGAAGAGAUGGAGGAAUGUUUGAAGAAUGAAAUGUCGUUUAUCAGUAGGGUAGAUUUAGAAGAAGAUAAAACAAACGUCGUAUUUCAGGAUCAGUUACUAAACCAAGCAAGUUGUGAGCUAUACUCGAUUGUUUAGAAUUUUCGUCCCUAAAUUUUUUGGUUACGAUGAUUACAUUAAACACUUGUAGUCAUGGUUACUGUCCGAUUUAAUAGUGUGCUUUUUUGUAGAGUCGUCUCAACCCUCUUCACUCCUGUUUCGAGGAGGCGACAACACUCCGAAAAUAUUAAAUUGAAGAGGUACAUACAGUAGAAUGGGAGGAUCCCCCAUUUCAAUCCCCCAAGAGGGGACAAACCUAUCUCGCUACAUGCCCCUUGUUUCAGCGGCACAAUCGAUGUGUUGUCAUGAGACACAUUUUCGCUUCAGGCCCUGAAGUGGGCUGAUGUACCACAAGAGUUCGUCAAGGGCGGCCUAGGGGUAAGUUUGUAAAUUUUUCAACACACACAUAUAUAUAUAUGUUGAACCUACAUAUGUAGAAGAACAAUUCUCAAGUACAUUUUUUUUGUAGCAAUAGUUCGUGUUCGAUCUCCAAGAUCCAGCACUUAACCGGUUUGUUAAGCAUCGAAUGCUCUGUGUGUGGAAAAAAUUCAGGGGAGACAACCAUCGACACUUCAAGAUGUACAACGACCUUGAAGAAGCACAUGGAAGCCCAUCACACAGAUUGGCCAAUCGCAUGCUAGAUUGACACUUUCUUUGUGACCAUUACAUGAACUUAACAGUUUCAGAUGAUUUAUAUCGUCUACCUUAUAAUCAAUUAACAGUAAUUCAUUUAAUUUUUGUUUGGAUAUAAUGUUUUACACUUUGUCUGAUUGUAGGAGCAAUCAAGUGCUUGUAAGGCUGCUAGAGCAAAGCAGCCUUACAACCACAGGAGCAGAUCCAAGUCGUUUCUUCAGUGAUAAGUCGAGCUCAUUGAAGAUCAUGAUCGUCCAAUAAACCGUGUCAAGUACUUAUUUUGAGAGAUGCACGCCAGUAGGACUGGCGAGUUCGUUUCAUCGAUAGCAGAAAACACACUGUAAGUUCACAAACUUUUUAUUUGAAUUAUGAUGAUCUCUCCUAGCCCCAACUUGUAUAUUGUGCAGAAUCAAAUAUUGGAACUUCAGUCCUAGCUCAUUCCAGAGGGUUCUCAACCACUAUCUGAGGACGAGAUGUGCGAGACUGUUUUCGGUAGACGACCGAGCUACUCAAAAGGUUUUGGUUGGGGCCCCAAACUCAAGUCCAAGAAGACUUCUGUUUUCGCUUCUUCCUCCUCUUACAACCACCAAUCACACAUUGCGGAAGUUAGCCAACUAAAGAACAACCUUGAAAAUGCUAAUUGCAUGAUUAAAGAAUAAAAACUAAGGAUAGACAAAUGGAAGAAACAAUGCGAAAAAUGGAAGAGAUGAGGAAGAAUGAUCGAGGAUAUUAGUCAGCAACAUAGAUGGCUGUGAACACUUGGGGUAAGUACUUUUCAACAUUUAAUUUGUUUGAUUUUACAUCUAAGAUAUUCUUAACUGUACUUUUAUGUUAUUUGUAGGUUUUGCAAUUUUUAUAUGGCGUUCGCAACUACUGGAUAUCUAGAAGAUAGGUGUAGGCUUUGUUUUUUUACUUUAAUGUAAUUGUUUUUAAACGUUUUGAACAUAUUAUUUGUACAUUUUGAGCAUAUAUAUCAUACUCGGUUUAUUAUAAAUUGUAAUUUCUUAAUUUUGAUAAUUUAUUCUACAUUUUGUUUCUUGCAAAACGAGAGAACCAAGAACAAUAUUGAACAAUAAAUAAAAACAAAAUAAAAAAAUAAUUAAUUAAAAUAAAAAGUCUUGUCCAUGCCUAUCGUUUUCUUAUUCUUUUUUCUUUUCGAAUUUGACCUUUUGUCUCACAGGUACAUACAUGUGCUAGUUGAGCUAAACUAAUGUUGAUCAACUUUUAUAAAUUUUUAAAACCAUAAAUUACAAACCUUCAAUUCAACUCAUUAAAGUUGAACAUAAUAACUAAUUUAAUUUUGAUAAGUCACUUAUUUCAAUCUAACUUUUUAAAUAGUAAUAUUGUAUUAUUGAUGAAUAGAAAGUAAUAAUUGAAAAAAAAAAUAGUAAUGAUUUAAGAAUAUUAUUGAUGAAUAUUAUGUUUUUCAAACCCGUUAACGAGGGUCCGAAUUUCAUGCUUUGUGGAAAAUAGUUUUUUUUUCUUUUAUGGGCAAUUCCAUCAAGAUAGCAAUUUUUUUAUGGGUCUUGCCCAUGAUCUUAUCCUAAACCCAAAAUUAUAUAAAAAAAAAAGUUUGAUAGGCAAUGUUGAUCAAGAUAUCAUUUUUUUGGUCUUUGUCCAUAAAAAAACCAUAUACCCAUCAAGAAAACUUUAAACUCCUUAACAUAUCCAAAACAAUUAUAUUAACUUUUUUUAUGAUAGUCAUUGCAAAUCAAGAAAAUUCACUCAUUGAUGGGCCUCGUCCAUAAAAAAACCUAACUAACUUAACAGAUAACUAAUAUAUUAUCCUUAAUAUUUAUUGUCCAUCGAAAAAUAGUUUUGUUGGCGUUUGUGGAUCAUAACAAAACUACGAGAACUUUUCCCAUCAAGAAAAUCAAGAAUUCACUUUUUUUUAAUGUUUUUUUCGUAUUUCUUUAACAAAAUGAGGAGACUUUUCUUGACGUAAAUGUCCGUCAAGAUAAACAUUGUACCCAAAAAAAACAUUUUUUUUUAAUGAUCAUUUUCCAUGAGCAUCAAGAAAUCAAAAUUUGCAUGUGUCAAGUAAAACCAAAUUUAUAGUAGGGUCAGUUCAAUAGUAAAGAGUAAGAGAUAAAAGUCAUUGACGUUUGAGAUUGUAACUAUGGCUAAGUUUUCCAUAUAUUGGUGGAUAUAGACUAAAUAACAACUUGCUUUUCAGGUUAAAUGUUCAAAAUCCUUUCAAAAUCAGAACAAAUAAAUCCUCAUCUAAUACAUUAACCACUCAAGGGAAGGAAAACCUAUAAUCCCAUAUGUUCUCAUUAUCUUCCAAAAUGGAAUAUUGAAUUCAACACAAAAGAGUUUUCAAAACCAACUACAACAUCAUUUCCAUCCCUGUGACAAUAUAUAGAUCAAAUGUGUGACGGGUUCAAUAGACUUGCCAAUUUUUUAAUCUCGUCAAUCACAUCUUUUCCACGAUAAUUAACAUCCUCUAAAUAGUAUAUCAAAACCACCAUAUUUUCCACAUUGGACUCAAUGGCAAUUUAAUUGAUAGAAAUCAAACUCUUGAACAUUCCAACAAUAGCUUGGACUUUCAACAACUCUAUAAUCUAAUAGUUCGUUCAUGUUAAAUUUUCUUGAAACCAAAAUACGUUAAGAGAAUCACAAAUAACCUACUAAUUACCAUCCAUCCAAAUUCAAACUUGGAAUGUUAUAAAUAAAUAUAAAUGUGAUUUUAUUCAAUAAUCUAGAGAUUUAGAAAUAUUUUAUGAAAGAAUUGAAAGAAUUUGAGCACUCUCUUAAUUAAGAUUGUAAUGAUCAAAAUUUAGAAAAACUCAGCUGUCUUUGUUGUACGGAAAAGGAAGGUUAUGGCAGGAAUAUUUGGGAGCCCUAUUGCCAAUUUUACGGUUUUGGCAUUUUCCCCAAAAUACUUUAAAUUCUUUUAGUAUUUCACAUCACAUUUUCAUUCAAUUUCAAAUAAUAUAAAUAAAAACAUUACCAAAUAAUUACUCCAUAAAUAGAUGUAUUAAACUAGCUAGUAUAAGUUAAAAUGUGUGUUGUUACGUAGUAAUAGAAUGGAAGAUCCAACCUUCGACUUCGAGAAAUGUCAUAAUAACUACUAAUUAGUGUCGAUCUAAUUAAGUUUCCUAGUAUUUAAUUAUAUAGUUAAACUAUGUAUGAGUCAUUUGACAUACAAUUGAGUAUUGAGUGAAUAAUUGCGAAAUUUGUAGCUUCCAUUCACCUUUGUACUGAAUACUAUUUUAUAUAUUUUAUGGACACAACAAUAAAUAACGAUUUAUUGGUAAUUACAUGCUAAAAAAUCACUCUAUUUUAAACUUUUUUUAAUAAACUAAAGACAUGCAAGAUUUUAUAUGCAUAUGCACGUGUUUUUUAAUAAAUAUUUGGUUUUUGUUUCUUUAAUUUUUAAAUUGAAAUUCUCAAAAUUUACUAGUUCCAAUUCAACAAUUAGAAAAAUCGAUUUUAUCGAUUUUAGUGGUUUUUUUCAAUUUUUUUUCUUGCACCUCUAAUUGAUGGAUAGAGAGGAUAACAAUCGGAGCGGAUAAAAGACGAUGAUUGGUAGACAAAAAAAUAAUAACCAAUAAACAAAGAUCGACAAUUUUAAAAAAAAAAACCUCACAUUUGAGUGACAAACAUUUUUAAAAUCGUUAAUAUGAUAGCACUAAAUUAAGUUUGAAUUUUUGAUGAAUUUCAUUGAAAGUGGUCGGUUAGGCUAAGGUAAAAUUUUUAUUAAAAGAAAAAGAAUCUAACAAGAUCAAAUCAAUUUCAUUCUCUUACAAAAGAAUUAAAACUAUUUGACAAACUAUCCAAAACAACAUUUAGAAAAUUUUCAAAUAAAUUUUAGUAAUUUUUUCUAUAGAAAACAAAUAUUAGAAGAGUGUAGAAUUGUGCCACUUGGAGGGCUUACCGACACAACAAAGACUCUCAUGCACAGCAUUUUUAUUAUUUAACAUAUAUAUAUAUAUAUAUAUAUAUAUAUAUAUUAUCAUUUAAAAGAUAAUAGAAACAAAUUAAGGAGAAAAAAAGAAGAAAAUAGAAAGUGGAUAAAAGAGGGGAUUGAAUUGGAUGGAAAAACUUUAAGCAUUAAUUAGAAUGGCAUAGUUAAUACGGCAAAUGGGAUGUUGAUGUUAGGGAUAAAUUUACAAUAUGAACUUUUAUAAGUGGUUGAUGUGUUGACAGACGUAACGCUUUGGCCGUCACACCCAUUGUUCUCAAUGACGCAUACCCAACAAAACAACCCAUGUUUUCUUCCUCUAAUAAUUAUUUCUUUCCUCUCUAUUUCAUUCUCUUUUAUCUUUCAUUUCAAACUUCAUCACUCAAUUUCCAUUCAUAUGUUACUCUUCAGGAGAAAUAUUAUACCUUUUUUUCUUUUUUGUGUGUAUAUGAGAGGAGGGGCCAAUAGCAAUGUGCAUUUUCUCUCCAAUUGUCCUCUCUGUCUUUGUUCCUCCACGGGUUUCAAACAUUUCCAUUUGUAUUGAUUAGAGAUUCAAAUGUGUCUUGUGAAUGACCUAUCGUUUUAAAUAAUAUGUACUUGGUGAGCAAGGUAAUUAAGUGUGCUUUCUAGCUUCUUGUAUAUGUUAGAGAAUUUGUACGUUCGUAAUUUUUUCUAAGAAUAAUCAAUAUAUUGAUGAAGAAUUUUCAGUCAGGAUGGUGGAAUUUUUUCCCUCCCUGACGUCCAAGUUUUGACCGUAUGGAAUAAAGAAUAAUGUGAAUUAAUUUGCUAAAGUUUUUUAAGACAUUGAAAGCAAUAUCAUGAUAAUAGAGCUUUCGUAUUUUCCCUUGCAAUAGUUAUUGUAUUAACCUCCACCAACAAUCUAUAUUAUUCUUGUGGAUGAUGCUAAUACUAGACCGAAUGCUAUAUAAUCGACUUAAAAUAAAAAUAAACCACCUCUAAGAAUACAUCAGUAUUGUUUCGUAUGAGAUAAUUUGAAUAAUCUCAUUCUCAAACUCUUCUAGCUUCUAUAAUGUUUUCACUCUCUAACUUAAAUAUCAAAAUGUGCACCACGUCAACGUAUAAUUUUUUAUUUUUUUAGUUUCUUUUAAUAUGUGUCACAUUCUUCUCCCCUUUAAACAAACUUACCGUUGUUGAUGCCACGUAUAAAGGUUAGAAGUGUUUUUUCCCUAUCUAAAUAUGGGCACGAACAUAUCUUAAAAAAUUAAAAGAAAAAGCAAUAGUAUUAUACGACCUCCAUUUUAAACUAUGGGUUUGCAUGUUGAAAGUGUAGCUUGAUGAUAAUUAGUAUGCAAUAUUUCUCCCGAGUUUGAAAGUUGAAAUCGUCAAUACCUCUACAGCUUGUUGCACUAUAAGCCUCUUUGUAUUGGUAUGAUAUAUAUUCUCUACACUACACAUAAAUUCUCGUGAUUUUAAAUUUUGACUUACACAUAUAUCUAUGAUCGAUUCUUUGGUCAAAUUCUCUUAACAAUCAUUUCCUCCAAUAAAAAGUACUAUUGAGAAACUUCUCUCAAACAAUAUCAUCUAUCAUUCAUCUCAUUUGACUUAACCGCCAUAUGUCAAAUCUUCUUUCGGAGCACAACGUCAACCAAUUAAGCUCAAACAUAGAUCUUCGUGCUUUGACUAUAUAUUGUUGAGGCUCACAACUAAUUUAUUCAUCAUUCCAUAGCUGAUGUACUUUCAAUAUCUAUUCUUGUAGGGGAACAAUGAACCUCUACAUAUUUUUUCAAUGAUAUGAAACCUUUGUAUAAGACUUUAAUUGGUUGCAUCUUUAAGAAUAAUAAUGUGCAUUGUUUUUAGGGUUUGUGGCCUACUCAAGAAGCCUUAUUCAAUAAAAUGUUAAUGAUGCAAUAACUAGAGUGUAUUAAAAUAACUAAUUUUCUAAAGUCUAGUAAUUGUACAUUGAAGUGAAAAAUUUUAAACCAUCAACACCUUUUGAAAUGGUACUUGAUAUAUCUUAUUCAUUAAGUUAUGUUCGUUGUCUUUAAUCAUCAAUAAUUAUAUAUGCAUGCUACUAAGAAGUGGGCAGUAAUAUCAUUUCAAAAUAUCAGUUAUUGCUUCAACAAUAGCAAUUUGCCUAAUUUUUUAAUCACAUACAUGAUUGCCUAAUUUUUUAAUCACAUACAUGACGUUUUGAUGAGUGAUAGAUAGCAUCAUAUUCAUAAUAGAAUAUAAUAUAUCAAUUGCUUGAAUAAUAACAAUUUAUCCAACUGUAUCAAUUAUGAUUUACCUUUUCAGCAAUAGACAAGAACAACAAUAUGCACACUGCAUGCAUAUGUGCAUCCAUUAAUUAGAUUCUAACUCAUUUAAAUACAAACCAACUUAAAUCCAAUCCAACAUGUACCAUUUGCACACCAACUUGGUUUAAUUCAAUGUUUGAUCUUUCACGAAUCAUGUUAGUAUUUUCUAACGCGUUUUAGACAAGAUUGGCCGUCAAUCAUGAAAGAAACAAAGAGAAGAAUCUAAAAAAACGUAAAGAGUGUAAAAGUUUGCAUUAAUUAGAAUUUGCACUUAUAAGGAAAAGUGUUUGUUUGGAAGAAGGGAUGUUGAAAGGUUAAUGCCCUGGAUUGAAGGGCAAAAAGAUUGUAGAGAUUUAUAUGACAAAAAGAUGUGUGUUGGAGGGUUGCUCUAAUGCAAUCAUUCACGUGGAUUAUCUAUUAUUCAUGUAACUCUAAUGGGCCCUCUCCCUUUGUCCUUGUACUUUUUGAUUUUUCAAAUUUUUCUUUUUUUAAAGAAAAAUCUAUGUACGAUUUUAUUGCUCCGACCAACAAGUAGGUGUAUGUUUUGAAUUAAUACACAAGUAAAUUUAAACGUAGUUUAGUAGAUAAGACACUUAUUAUCAAUAUAAUGGCUGUUGGUUCAAUGGAUUAGUUAAUUAUUCGUCACUUAUGAAAGGUCCUUAGAUAGAAAGAGAAACUGUGCAGAAGUAGAGUGGAAAAUUGGAUGAGAGAAAGAAAAAGCAAAAAUUGAAAAGGGGAUUUUUGUUUGUAGGUCAAAACACACAUUGGGCAGUGUCAUUUUAGAUGCAAUUAAUACUAAAAGCAAAGAUGGUAGGGGCGGCACAUGGGGUUAAAACUCAAAAGGAGUUUUCUAGUCUCUACUUUGACUUGGACUAACUAAGCAAUUUCAGCCCACCCAUGCAUAUCCUAAUAUAAUCUAAUAAUACUUUAUAACCUAAAUUUAUUCUCAAUACUUUUCUUCCUUCAUUAAAGCAUCAUAAUUUGUCUCAUUUAAUGCCAUAUAUAUAUAUAUAUAUGAUGGCUCAAACCCUAUUUUGUUUAUGUAUUGUAACUCGAGAGUUGAUUGAAGUUUGUUGACGUUGGAAAGAACUCUCGGAAAAGAAACUAAUAUGAAUUUAACUCAACUAACUAUUAUAUAAUAUUAUAUAUGUUUUUCUAUUAAAAAGUUUAAAAAGAAAUAUGGUUAAUUUUUAUAAAUAUAAUAAACUAAUUUAGGAUCGUGAAGAAAAACCGUUGGAAUAUUUGAUAGUCAAACCUUAUUAAAUUUGAUAGUAUGAGCAAGAGAGGAGUAGCCCAUCUAUAUUAUAUGUAGUGUGAGUUUUUUUGGUUUUUCAAAUGUAAGACUCUUAAAAUCUCCAACAAAUAUAAAUGAUCGCAUAUAAAAAAAUUAGUUCAAUCUAAAUGAUCGUGUACUAAAGAAUCUUUAAAAACAUCGUUUAGAUUUGAGUUGUCAAAAUUAAACAAUCAAAUCUAAACCAUGUUGUACCAAAUAUAAACAAUUGUGUACUAAAAAUUAUUUGAAAAAUAUGGUUGAGAUUUGGCUACCCAAAUUUUAAAAUAUUAAAUCUAAAUGAUUGUGUACCUUUAAAAAAAUGUUUAGAUUUUGCCCUAACUUUAUAAUCGGUGUAAGAAAAAAUAUUCAAAUCUAAACGACCGUUUGUUUACCAAAUAUGUUAGGCGGCAUGGGUGGGGUAUUUUUUUAUCGUAGGUGUACAAGAUUUUCUCGUUUUCGAAAUUGUUCUAUAUGGUGUAAAUAUUUCGUCGUUUUGUUAUAUUUUUUUAUAAAAAAAGAACCCAAAUCUUAAUCCAACUACUAGAUGAAAUCUAUAUAUAUUUAUGGAGUGAGAACAAAAAGAAAAUCAAAAUCAAUAUAAAAAAAAUGGAACAAAGAAAAAAACAAGAAACAUUAGAAUUUACAUGAAAAUUACCCAGAAAUAAUGAAAAUAACUACAAAAACUUGUGGAGUAAACAAUAUUACAUUACACGUAAGUCUACUUUCCCUUCAAUUAUUGUAAAAAUUAAAUGAAUAAAAUAUUUUAAAAUUUUGUUAAAUAUACUCUUACUUGAGUAGAUAAAUACACGAGGUAUAUAUACAAAUUUUGUUAUAGUUAAAAUUUUGUCAUAGCUAGCAAAUCUAAAAAUGUGGUUGAUGCUAUGGUAGAGGUUGUGUAUCGAACGGGUAUCAUUUUUGCUUAGUUGUUUACGACGAUUUAACUUCAAUAUCAUGUCUUUUUUAUUAAUAAUCAAGAAGUGCAUUAAGCUUAUAAUGGAAACUUUUAUUUUCAUGAUUAGUUGAAACUUUAAUUAUGAUGAUGAGUUUGUUAGUUGUUAAGUCCUCGUUUGAUUUUUACUUUUUCUUUUUUCGAUGCAAUUUUCAUAUCGUUGAAAUUGAUUUUGAACGAUGAGGACAAUUCAGUACGUGGACUUCAAAAUGACAAUUAGUGACUCACAAUUAGUGACUCUAACUAUUUUCAUAUAAAAUUUUAUUAAAACAUAAAAGACUAAAUUUUAAAUUUUAAAAUUUUAAUAUCGUGUUAUUACACCUAUUUUUGAAGAUACUAAAAAUAUAGUAACUAAAUUCUAAUUUCUGAUUUUUUUUAAUUUAUAAGAAUCAAAUUUAUAAUUUCAGGUAAUUCACUAAUAGACUACUAUUAAUAUAUAAGUGACUUUAAUCGACUAAUAGAAGUUGAUGGAUAUCUAUUUCGACAAAAAUGGUUAUAUUUUGUAGAUGUAUUCCAUAUUUUUACUAUUUACAACACUUCCCCUUUUUAAUUUUACCAAUUUAAAUUGAGGCUAUUUCAAUAUUUCCCACAUUUGUUAGUUUUGCAUUUUAUUUAAAAUAAAACCCAAUAAAAGCAAUAGCUUUUGCGAGAUCCUUAAUCAAUCCUGACCGUUGAGAAAGAAGACGUGGAAGCACCAUAGCCAUGCGCUCUCUCUAUAAAAUGCCAUCGUCGUGCUUUCAUCUCCACAACCAAAAAUCCUCUUCCACAAAAACAGAUAUCGUAUCGCCUUCUUCGUAAUCCUCUUCAUUCAACAUUCGAAACCCUAAAUUUCAUAAAGAUGGCAGCCACUUCUCGAUUGGCCAGGUUUAUCAGCGAAGCUUGCCCACCUCAAUUCGUCUCUGUCAUGAGGCGAAGAAGCCCCAGAGUUUUAGACACCAUUAACGAAGAAGACCAAAGAGAAGCCUUAGUUUCCUCUUCCUCCUUCAAGAUCGACAAAUUCUCUGUUCCUUCACCGCCAUCUCCCGAUUCUUCCGCUGCCGCCAUUAAUUCCAAAUACUUUCUCGAUCAGGUCCCUGUACCCCUGGGGCCUUUCUCCAUUUUCGAGCAUUGAGAAAUGGAUUUUUAGUUUCGAUGAGUACACUCAGAAUCCGUUUCUUUUUUCCUUUUUACCUUUUCUGCGCCCAUCGGGUCGGAUUCAUUCUGGCCGGAAAUGGCGUUGUAGAUAUGAAGUCGACGACGUAGUGGCUGACGCCGGUUAAGAGAUGGGUUUUUUCUUUGGUUUUUUUUUUUCUUUUUUUUUUUUGAUGGGGUUAGUGAAUUUCCGAAUGCGUUUGUAAUGUGUGAGUUUGAUGUUUAUAUAAAAUGAAAAAACUGCGCUGCCCUUCUAAUAAUUAACUUUUCAGCUAAUCCUCAAAAUCAUAAAUAACAAUAAUGAUCAAAUUAAAUUAAGUUUAUUUUUAUUAGGACAUUAACUUAUAAUAUAUAUUAGAAAAAUUGUUUUGAGAAUAUAGCAAAUAUAAUCCACCGUUUUGGAAUUUUGGAGCAAAAUUCACUUAUAAAAUUACUCUUCAAAUUUGUUGUUAUUCUUAAUAACUCAUUUAUCUUCUCAAACUAAUCUUCAAUUUAUUUUUCUUUAUUUUUUUCUCUUUUCCAAUUAUUUAUUUAUUUAUUUAUUCUCUCACUUUUAUUAUUAUUUAUUUAUUCUUAACUUUUUAAGACCUUAAUUAUAAAAAUAAUUUAUUUUUCAUGUCUUAAUGUUGAUUUUAGGUCUUAAUCAUGAUUUUAGAAUAUAGAUAAUACAAUAGAGUCAUUUACCUUCACCUUCAUUUGUGGUUUUUUCCUACUCGAUGUGUAAAAUUUUAUGUACUUAAUUAUAAUAUUAUUAAGUGUAUGAAUAAUAUAACUAAUUUUGUCAUAUUCGCAAUAUGACAAAAUACAACUAUUAGACGGUAAUCAUAAGGUUAGAAAAUGUACUAACAUUUGCCCUAUUAUCAUAUAUAUUUUUUUUUUUGCUAUUUUUGCUUUUUGCUAUUUUUGCAAGAGCCUCCAUUGUUAAUGCAUAUCAGUAAAGUUUGCAAAUGUAUAUAUAUUAGCAAAUGUAUAUAUAUCAUAAUAGUAUAUCAAGUGUAUAAGUAGAACUUCAAGCAUAUCAAAUAUAUUUAAUCAAUCAAAUGUAUAACUGAAGAAUACUAAAUGUAUGCAUCAGGCGUAUCAAACAUAUCAUGUACAUCAAACGUAUCAAAUUUGUUGAAUGUGCCAAUGAAGAAUAACAAGUUUAUUAGCAAUGUAUCAAAUGUAUCAAACUUAUAAAUGAAGUUUUAAGUCUAUCAAACUAAUCAAGUGUAUCAAGGUCUAAGGGGUAUCAAGUGUAUCAAGAAUAAUCAAGUGAAACGAAGAGUAUUAUGUAUAUCAAAGUAUUUCAGUUGUGUAUAAAAAAGUAUCGAGUGUAUUAAGGAGUAUAGGUGAUCAAGUAUAUCCAUCAAAUGUAUCAUGUGUAUCAAGAGGUAUUAGGUGUAUCAAAUGUAUCAGACGUGUACAAUGUGUAUCAAAUGUAUAUUAGUAAUGAAGCAUUUGUGAAAUUUUACAGAUGUGUUGGUUGGACUUUGAUUUUGUCAUUUUCACAAAUAAUAAAAUAUGUGUGUUAUGGAUUUAAUUAUUAUAACUUGUUUUGUCAUUUAUGCAAGUGUCCUUAUAUAUUAUAUAAUAAAAGAUAAUUUAUGUAUUAAUUUCUUACAAAUAUGGAUGAAUGUUAGAAGUUUUUUAAUAAGUAUUUUCCUUUUCUAAAUUAUAUCGAUUCUCAACCUAAGAUUGAUUGGGAUUUGAGAAAUUUUGUAUGAGUCUGAAUAAAAUUGAAACUAUAUUGCAAAAUUUUAUUUUUAUUUCUUUAAUACUUAGUUUAAUUCAUAUUUUGGUGUCUAAACUUUGCUCGUGAUUAUGGCGCAUUGUCAUCCUAGCUUAUACCCCACUUUUCUCAAUUCAUAUGCAUUUUUUAAGGGUUUGACAUAUUUUGUGAUUCGAAGUAAUAAAUAAAAGUUGAGAGUUUGGAAGAGAUCAUGUGAGAGGUUUAAGUUUUGGAGAGAAAUGGAAUAAAGUUUGGAGAGAUUUCAGUUAAAGUAUAUGUUCCGAAAGAGGACAAAAUACAAAGUUUAAGGAUCAAAAUAGGAUUUAAACCAAAAUGUUGUAAUAUUUGUCUGACGUGAAUAGUAAAAAUGAGACACAAAAGAUGAGCAUGAAAAUGAUAUAAACAAGUAUUCCCUAAAAACUUAAAUUAGUUAUAAGAGAAAGGUUGGCAAUCCCGACGUUGGUAUAAAGUAAUUUAAUAAAAAAAAAUACAAAACAUCUUCCAACACCGUUAUACAUAGCGUCGGGAGAAGUUUAUAAUUUUUUAAAAAAUAUAUUUAACUUCUCUCCCAACGCUAUUAUGCAUGGCGUCGGGAAAAGUUUAUAAUUUUUUAAAUAUAUUUAUAUUUAACUUUUUCCGACAUCGUUAUGCAUGACAUCAGAAAUUUUUUAUAUUUUUUAAAAAUAUAUUUAUAUUUAACUUCUCUUGACACCAUGCAUAAUGACGUUGGGAAUGCCCAACAUAUUUUCGACGUGUUUAAUCAUGCGUCGGACAUUCCCCUUUAAAUACCAUUUUCAGAUCUGUGUUAGUCAGAAAUGAGGAAAAGGGAGAUCGAAAAUGAGGGAGACGAAUGAAGGGUUUGAAGGCCAAAAGAGGAAGAAGAAGGUCCACCGCCGCUAGUCGUACACCGCCCGUUGCUUACGAUCGACGCUUGUGAGCUGUCAUCCAUCUCUCGCCAGUUAGUGUUUGUUUUUUUAAUUUUUUUUCUUUGUUUUGGUUUAAAUUUGAGAAAAAAAAUACUAAAUACAUAUGCUUUGUGAUUUUCAAGGCCUUCUCUUGUAUGUUUUUCUCCGUGUCAUCGUCCACUACUGCCCUUCUACCGUCGCCUUCGCCCACCCCUCGCUGGUAAGUCUUUAUUUAUAUAUAUAUAUAUAUGGUUUGAGGUUGAGAAAAAAUAUUAAACAUGUGUGUUACUGUUUUUGGGUUUCCUCUAACUUUUGCUAUUUUUCUAUCCAUUUUCUUUUAAUUUUCCAUUUAUUUUCAAUUCUGGGUUUCUUCUAGGUUGUAGUAUUUUUUUGAAAAAAUAGAGGAUCUCCCGACGCACGAAAUGUAGAGUUGAAAGAUCCUUGACAUCUCCUUAUGCUUAAAUAAGGCAUCGAGAGAUGUCAAAUGUAGCGUCGAGAGAUCCUCUUUCAACUUAUUUUUUUCGAGUUGAAUCCCAACACGAAUUUGGAAUUUGGAACUUUCUAAGAGUCGUUGUUUAAUGCAUUUAUUGUAUUACAUAGAAUUUGGUAGUUCUGCUGUUCUGGGCGUUUAUAUAUAUAAAUAAUAUACUCUUUAGAGGGUGUUGAGUGAUGAAUCCCCUUUUGGCCUUUUGUUCAUAUGAUUUUUUGAGUAAUAACAGUUUGGGAAAGAUAUACUUUCUUUGAGUCGUCACAGUUAAUGCCAAUCAUUGAAAAUUAUGGUAAAAUGAAAGUUAGGUCGCUCGAAAAUGGAGAUGGUAGGAUUAUUGCACUCCAAAUUUCUUAUCAAACAUGGCUUCCAAGACCCAACCCUCUACCUUCUGCUUCUUUCAUCGUUGCAAUUUCUUAAUUAUUUCUUCUUAACAUAACUUCCACCAUUCAAAACUAUACUUUUUUUAAAAAGCUUUCCAAAUAAAAUUUGGAGAAAAUUGUACCAACCUAUGAAUUAUAAUCGCACCAUUAACUUCCAAUUUGCUCCAUUUAUACCGAUUUCAGUUACUAAACCUUUAGAUACGUUAGAACAUUUAUAAAAUAUAACAAACUUUUAAAAUCUUAUAUUUUAAUGUCUACUAUUAAUAUAUUUUAAAUUUAUACUAUACUUUAUAAAUAUUGUGAUUGAUUUUGUUAUAUUUGAAACAUUCUUUUUAGUAACAUGCAUGAAUUUAACUAACAUAACCAUUGAAAAUAUUUACAAAUAUAACAAAAGAUAAAAGUGCUAUUUAUGUUUAUUAGAUAAAUAUAGAUAAUAGUUUCACGGUUUAUCGUAGAUGGAUGAUGAUUUAUUUUGCUAUAUUUGUAAAUGUUAUAUUUUUAUACAAUUAUUUACCAUAAAAUGUGUUUAUAAAUUAAUUAAUACUAUUUUAUAUUCAACCUAAUAUUAAUAUCUAAUUGUUUAAAUCCGAAGUUUUGUUAAUAAGGUUUUGAUAUUAUAUUAUUAUACAAGAAAAAAAGGACAAUUUUGUAACAUAGGAUUCUUUAUUAAUUUAUUUUUCUCUAAUUAUAUUAUUAGUGUGUAGUGUAUUGGAUAAAGUGCCUAAUUAGUUUUUUAAAAAAUCAAUAUAAAAAGUAAUUGAACAAAAGUCUUCCCAUGAUUAGCAGUUAAAUAUUUACUUAAUUAGUGUUGACUUGAAAAAUCUAUGUUGCAAUUCUAAAACAUCCUAUUAUUUUGGUUAUUAUAAUUAAUAUGAAUUAUUUAUGCUUUAAUUGUUCAAUUUGAAGAAUUAUCAAUUAUUUUAUCAAUAAUUCAGUCAUGUUUGCUCCAAUAUCUUUAAACUUCUUAAAAAAUUAAAGUUAAUUGGUGAGCAUGGACAUUAAUUUAUUAAAAUUUGAAUACCAAUAACUUAUAAUAUAACAACUCAUGAUUUAAUAAAAUAUAUAAAGCUACCAUUUCAACCAAAUUAAUAAAUUUAAAUCACUUUUUGUUUUAUAAUAUGAGACAUUUGAGGUAAAAAAAAUACUAAUAAUACAGGGAAGAAUUUCAUUUUUAAGCAUUCAGAGUAUAAGAAAAAGUCAAAUGACUGAGCUUCAAUGUUAUGCACUAUAUCUUACCUCCAAAAUCCAUAAAAAUGAGAGAAAUUGCGUUAGAUGCAAAAUUAUUUUAAAAAAUAGAGCUCGUGUCACCUCAUUUAUGUAUAUAAAAACUAUUUGUGGUUGGAAUACAUUGUUAAUUAUUUGUGUCUCUUCAUGAAAUGAGUGAAUGUAUCAUUUCAUGAAAAGUACUAAUAAUUAAAUUAUAGAAAAAGACAUGACUUUUCGAAUGAUGAUGAAUAAGUCUAUAAAUAAGGUCAUUUUUUAUUUCGUUGAAGAGAAUAUCUUUUAUAUAUAAUCUUUUGUCUUCUUCAAAAAGAAUUUUUCUCCAUUGUCCACAAUCUUGAUGUUCUGUAGAUCCACAAAGUUUCGUUCGUUGAUCUUCUACACAGGGUGCUACUCUUAGAAGAAAUGUGUUAUGUUCUAUCUUGGAAAAUAAUUAGCUCUUAAAACGCAAGCACUGGGAUGAGUAGAUUUGUCUUAAAUAGACAACGUAAAUUUGUUAGGCUCAGAUCUAUGAUACAUAUAUGAUUUUUCGUUUAUUGUGAUGAUAAUAUUGAUAACAAUAUCUUAAGACAAAUUUAGUGCAUGUUAGUUAAAAAAAAUAAUUGGUUAUGUCUUUUUAUAUAUAUAUAUAUAUAUAAAAUAAAGAGGAAUUGAAUGUUUCUUUUUAUAUACCGAUGUUUAUGUACGGUUGAUUUCAAAGGAAACAUAAUGGUUUUAUAGAUUUUCUUCACAGUGGUUUCAUAUAGGUCAACAAAGUUUAAUCACAAUAAUUACAUAACUAAAAUUUCAAAUAUGUAAUUUUAUGUCUUACUCCAAAAGUCACUUCAUACGACUAAGUGGAGGUGUGUCGCCUAGUUGCCUAUCGUGCAUCUCCUAGUGAGAUGUCACGUUGAACGCCUAGUAAGUAAAACAAUUCAUAGACUACAGUUCGUAAACGAUAAAGUAGAACACUUCAUUAAUGAACAACUAUAAGGGUACAUUUGAUCAUUGGUACGCAAGUCCUCCAAAAGAGACGAAUACAGACUCAAGAAUGACUCGACUUUAUUUGCCUAACCUCUACAUGUUAUGUAGAAUAACAGUAGCCAUUACCAAAAUGAUGCGAGUACAACACAUGUAAGGAGAUCAAGGUUGCAAGAUAUUUUAUCACUAAAAAGUAAAUAGAUUUUGUCGCAUUGUCACAAUUAUAGGAAUAGGUGUUUUAGCAAAUGCAAUUUAGUAUUACACAAUUUAUCACUUCGUAUGCCUCUCGCAUACUGAAUGGUCAUUUCGCAAAAUCAUCAUGCGUAUUCAAUUACAUUCUUGUACUCUUUCCUCGGCUCAAGCGUUUCCUCGACGAAGUAAGUAAACUCAACGCAUAUAGUGAGUUCCAUCAAUUCCCUUACGCAUAAUAUGUCUUCCAAUGAUAAAUCACACAGCAAGCAAAAUGCAUCUCAUAUCAGAUCACGUAGUAAGUAUUAAGCAUCCUAUUCAAGAUCACAUGACAUGAAUAUGACAUUUUUUUUCCAAAUCACACAACAAGAAUAAAACAUCUUAUUCCAGAUCACACAACAAGGAUGAGGUAUCAUAUCAUUGUGAGUACAAAUGUCAACUUACUUCAAAACAAAACGUUAAUUAAAUCUCUCUAAUUAAAUCUCUUAUACUUUUAUUUUCAAUUUGCCUACCAACAUGCAUGAAGAAAUUGUUUUUAGUAUUAAAUUUGAUUAAUACAAGACAAAUUGAUUAGACAAAAAUAUUUUAAAUUAAUGUCAUUUUUUAGGACAUUUUAAAUUUAAAAUAUAUUUAAUUUUUUAGCACAACAAAACAAAUCAUGACUAAUCUAUUUGAACCACAAUUUUUUUUAGUUACCAAAACUAAGCUCUUAUUGGUAUUUUUUUUUUUUUGUAGUCUUUUUUGUUAUUAUUACGGAAGAUCUAACUCUAACUUUGAAGUCUAUAGUUAGGUUAGUUUAAGAAGAAACUGUUUUAGAAAUAAAAGAAAAUUUAUUUUAUAAAAUCUAAAAUUUUGGUGUUAACCAUUUAUAUAUAAAGUGUUUAUUCUUUUAUUUAUCAAGUAUAAAAAUUCCAUUCUCUAAAUCUCUCCAUCUCUCUCUUGAGUAUUUCUAUUUUAUCUAUUUAUUCCAUGAUGGUUUUGUUUAUUUAAUGAUAAAGAAAGAUAAUAUAUAAAAAUAUAGGUAUCCUUUUCAAAUCCAAGAUAGGUAAGAUUUAACAAAUAUUUCCUUACAUAAUUUAGGCCAAUAAUGUUUAAUCAUAUUUCAUUUUUCUUUAAUAAAAAAGUUUAUAAAUCUCAUUAUAAAAAAAGAACAAUAAUAAAAAUAAAAAUAGAGUAGUAGAAUGAAGGGGAUUUGACUUUUCUUGUUAAAAAAAAGACCUAACUUUUCAUUACAUAUUUUUCUCAAACCCCUUCCGUCCCUUCCUUUCUCCAUCCAAUUCGAUUCCUUCUUCUUCUGAUUUUACUCAAUUCAUUCAUUCAUCAGUCAAUCACUUUCCUUUUUUUUACAAUACUCUUUUGACGAAAUUUCCCCACUUUGAUUCUCCCCAUUUUUAUCUUCUUUCUUUUUGAUUCUUGGGUUUGUUUCCUGUUACGAAUCCAGCUUCUUUUUCUAUAUGGUCCGUCGAUUCUCCCCGAAUUCAAUGGCUUCUUUCUUUCAUCCGACGGUUUCUAUAAUCAACACUUUCGUUUUCCCUCAUCAUUGAUGAUUUCCGUUUUCUUCCACUAAUCUUUCUUGCCCUUUCCCUGAUUUUGAUUCUUGUACUUGGGGGAGAGAGAGAAUCUUAUUUAAUUUAACAAGGGAAUUUUUCUUUUUUUAAAGGAGAAAUAUGAGGAUGGUGAAGUCUCAGAUAUGGCAACCCUGUAAGAAGAAGAGGUCUUGAUCGGAAGGAUCUAGAAAAAGAUAUAGACAUAGGGUCGGGCAGCGAGAGAGAGAGAGAGAGAAAGGGGUUAUCGGAAAUGGACGGCGGGGGUGUGAGGUUGAAGGCGGCGAGUUCGAGCAAUGGUGGAAGAACCCGCGUGGGAAAAUACGAAUUGGGUAAAACCCUUGGGGAGGGUAACUUUGCCAAGGUUAAGUUUGCUCGGAAUUCAGAGACCGGGGAGAACGUGGCGAUCAAAAUUCUUGAUAAGGAGAAAGUUCUUAAGCAUAAGAUGAUCAGUCAGGUAUUUUACUUUUCAAUUUUCAAUUUUCCUUGAAAGGUAGGUUUCUUUUACUUGUCUGAGCUUUAUUGUUUGUCGAAUCUAAUGUUUGGCUGACGAGAAAAUGGAGGAGGAAGGAGAUAAUAGUGAGUACUGUGCGGUCUCUUCUUUUUGUUUACGAAAGUUUGAAGAAGUCAAAAGUUCGUAUGGGAACUUGUGCUUUUUGUCUUUUUCUGACGGACUGACAAGUUGGGUAAUUGUUUACUGUUUCUCAUUUUGGAUCUUAAAGAAUUUGAAUUAUAACCAAGUAAUGGAUUGAAUAUUGAGCGCGAAGACCAAUUCAUUUGAAAGAACAUGGGUAUGGUGUAAUCUGAGUUUGGACUUUGGACUUGGGACUUCUGUUUAAAUAUCAAAUUACGACCCACGUUUUAUUUGAUUGGAAUUGUAUAGGAUAUCACCUACCUACUUAUUGUGAUUGUUCCAACCAGACGAUCCAUAUAUCACUGUGUGAUUUUACAUAAUGUGCAUUAUUUUUUUCAUAGUUUUGAAUUCUUAAUAUCAAAAAACUUGGAGAAGACGGCUAAAAAAAAGUACCCCCACUUCACUUUUUGGUCAUCUUUAGACAUACUGGAUAUUCAAUAUAAUCACGAGUCCACUACUAUGUUGAAAAUCAAACUACUCCCAUCCUUGUAGACUCUAUAGUAGUAUUUUAGCAUAAUAUUAUAACUGGGGUUUUUCAAUGUAGUUAAAAUCAAUCUUACCUUGGUUGGCUGCCAUUCAUGGAAAUACAUCCAAACUUCCAUACCUGCACAUAAGCUAUCCCAGAAGUGAAAGCAUUUAGUGAGAUGAAAACUUUUGAAUGUCACAACCAUCAUAAAUUUCCCUAGUGUCCAAUAAGGGCUAAUGUCAAUAACAAAGGGUUUAGAGGAAUGGGUUCAAACCAUGAUCUCUGCAUUCACCUACUUACUAUUAGGAAGAAACUGUUACAUUGCCACUGGUGUUGUUCAAUGCAUGCAUGGACUUAUGCUUUUACACGACAUGCUUUCAUUUCAGACUCUUGGAACUGGAAGCCUUCUAGUGGAAGGUUUUUGGACCUUUCUUUAAAAAAAUUGAGUCAUAGGAAUUACAAAUAAGCUCUUGAUUAUUUAUUAUUAUUUUUAUUUAUUCUUCUGUUUGCUUUAUGCAGAUUAAACGUGAGAUAUCAACCAUGAAAUUAAUUAGGCAUCCAAAUGUCAUCCGUAUGAUUGAGGUUAGACUUGCGCCUUGUUGUUUGAACUAUAUUGUUAUUGUUCAUCCACCCUAAUGCUCUCAUUUUAAUUUAUAAGGUUAUUUUACGCUAUGACUGUUACUCCGUGUGCAUUUUUCAUUUGAGAUGACAUCUAGCAGAUCUUUUGUGUAGGUGAUGGCUAGCAAGACCAAAAUAUAUAUUGUGUUGGAGUUUGUCACUGGUGGGGAACUAUUUGACAAGAUUGUAAGAUUGUGAUUGCUUCAGUAUUCGACCUUCUUACAUGUGAACAAUCUUUGGAAUGGCACCUUACUCUUUUUUCCCCUGUUUUCUUGUGUACUAUUUUGGGACCAGGUUAGUAGAGGCAGGAUGAAGGAAGAUGAAACAAGAAAGUAUUUUCAGCAACUUAUUAAUGCUGUGGAUUAUUGUCAUAGCAGAGGUGUUUUUCACAGAGAUCUAAAGGUUUAUUUUUUCAUAAUAUUUAUAAGAACCUCUUAACCAACUCAAGAGAUUGAAAGCAAAAUUUCUUAAAUGAUACUAUUUUCAAAUGUUAACAAAAUUUACAAUCUCAGCCGGAGAAUUUGCUGCUUGAUGCUAAUGGCGUUCUUAAAGUUUCAGAUUUUGGUUUGAGUGCACUGCCUCAGCAAGUUCGGGUGAGUUUGGCAAUGUCAUAUUUAUUAUAUGGUAACUAUAAUUUUGUGAUCUUAUUUGAAGUCCAAAAGAAGAGUCACUAGCACUAAAAAAGCUGCCUUCUACGAUCCAUUCAGCCUUCACUUAACAAAGUGCAACUAUUAGAAAUGUUUACUUUUCAAUUUCUGUACGGACCCAUCUUUCCUUAAUUCAAGGAUCGUAUUGGUAACUGAUUUUCAAUGCUUCAGGAAGAUGGAUUACUGCACACAACAUGUGGGACUCCAAAUUAUGUUGCUCCGGAGGUAUAUUAUAUAAUUAUAUUCUAUUAAAUUUUGGUUCACUUUUAUGUUUGUUUGCAUACAACUAAUCCACUUAAACGUACAUUUUAGGUGAUCAAUAAUAAAGGCUAUGACGGCGCAAAGGCUGACUUGUGGUCAUGUGGUGUAAUUCUUUUUGUUUUGAUGGCUGGUUAUCUACCCUUUGAAGAUUCCAACCUGGUUGCGUUGUACAAGAAGGCAAGUCUCUCUUUCCUGAACCUCUAUGAGCAACGUGAAGAAGAAAGGGAGAAGAAAAAAAAUAAUGCUUGUCACUUAUUUUCAUUAAAACUUUAUACCUUAAUUGUUUUCCCAUUUUGCAAAGGUUGAGUCAGUGCCCAUUGUAGCUCCUAAAAAAGCUUAAAGCCUCUCCUCUUCAUCUGCGUACUUACCUUCUUCAUCUCAAGUGUCCUCAGCUUGUUCCGGUCCAAGAGGUCCUUCCAAAAAGCAUAAAAACUCAAAGAAACCCCGCUUCCAUUUAAGUCGUUUCCGAAGCAUUUUGUUAGAAGGAGGCCUAAGGAUCUCUUAAAAAAGACUCUUGUAAAGACAAAGAUGUUGUCAUCCCAAAUUCCUCAAAAUUCUGAUUUUUAAUGGAAAAAGACACUCAAGGCCAAGCUUCUUCAUCUUCAAUUAGGGCAGAUAUCCUGAAUUAAUAAAAGAGUUCCUUAAGGGCAGGUUUAAUUUUAGAUCAAAACCCCAAUUCUUUGGAGGUUAAUUGUACACGAAUCCAAGCUCCUCUUUCAACCGGAUCAGCCCCUCAAAGAUCCAGCCUUCCACAUUUUAAACAUUAUUUUUUUUCCCUACCUUCCUCAAAGGUAAAAUUUUUUUUAGAGGCUUCCCUUGCCAAUCUCUGUGCCUCCUUCUAAAAAGAAACGUGAUUCAGAUUUUGACUCUCCUUUUAGUGUGAGCAGCGUCGAAGAUGAUCAUUUGGGGAAGCUAAAUGAGUUAGAGGACCUUUCUUUGAAGGACCCCUUAGAAACUGAUCUAAACGACUUGUUUCAGAAUGAAGAAGAUUUGAAUGAUGGAAACCAGACCUUUGGAAACCUCUCUCAACCCAUGCGUUGUGAAAUUCCAGCCCAUUUAAAGUCGAUAGUAGAAAAAUGCAAAUUAUUUUUCAUUUGAGAUCUGAUUUCAGGCACCUUUUGGUCCAAUAAUUAAGUACUUUGUAAGGUUUGAAGGCUGCAGAUAAAGUGUUGGGAUUCAAGUCUCUUGAACACUCAAUUCAGAACUUCUAAUUGAUGCUGUUAAUUGAUGAAGUUUUUUCAUAUUCAAGAAAGAGCAAAACUUUCUAAUUGAUGCUGUUAGCUUAAAGUUUUUAGCUUUUUGGAUGUUUUUGUCUUCAUCAUCAUGAGGGCAAAGAUCUCUGGAACAAUUUACUUGGGUUGGAUAGUUUUGAAGCAAUCAAUUGCCUCUUCUUGGUUUUCCCUUCUCCUUUCAAUUGCAUGUGGAAUUCAAAAUUUUGGUCUGAAGUGGGUGCUCUUCAUCAACGUGUUUAUGUUUUCUUUGUAUUAAGCUCUUUACUAAUGUCUUAACUCUUUGUUGCUUUGGUUCUUUGGUUGUUUCUUCUUUGUGAUUGUUUGUUGGUCGUUUUCCCUUUUGUUUUUCCCAGGUUCAUCUUUUUCUUAGUUUGUUUGGUAUAUUACUCUUGUACUUUGAGCAUUAGUCUAAUUUCUUAUUAAUAAAGUGGUUUGUCUCCGUUUCAAAAAAAAAAAAAGAAAACAAGAAUAUAAAUGCUUACUCAAGUACUUUUAGGAUUCACCCAAACUACUUUUACCUAUCUGUUUUGUCCUUAGUCAGUUAGUCACCCUAAUUUGAUGAAUGCUUAGUAUGGGAUUGUUGGUAAAUAUGCUUUUGCUAAAAUGACCUAUAAUAGGUAGAAAAUUAGAGUUCAGUAAAUUUCAGGUUUAAACCUCAACAAGUUGUUUACUAUGGAUUAGAGUCUUAUAACUGGACAACUGCUCUUUUACUCUCAUAAUCCUGCACUCGUCCGUUAUUGGUUAAGUGUUUAUCCGGGAUAAACAAUUGCUUUGAUAACUACAUUGACUAUUUCCUUAUCUAGGUAUUGAUCCAUCUAUAUAUUUAUAUAUAUGCAUGUGUGUAUAUGACUGAUCUUUUUACUUUUAAUUGCCUUUUGUUCUGAUUCUCAGUACUUGAGUAGUAUUCUUUUUUAGAUAACUAUGACGUGAAACAAUUCAAGUUUAUAGUGUUCCCCAACUAUAUGUUGAGUUUCUCAAUUGUACGUUCUUCAAUGGUUCAAUGUUAAGUUUUACGUUCAUUCUAUCAUCAGAUACACAAGGCUGACUUCACUUGUCCACCAUGGUUCUCUACUAACGCAAAGAAACUUAUCAAAAGAAUUCUGGAUCCCAAUCCCUCAACGGUGUGUUCUUGGUCCUUUCUCAAUCUGGUUAGAGUGCUUUUUGUUUUUAUCAGCCUGGGUUUUUUUUUCAAAGGUGAAAAGACUCCAAAACCAUUCUAGUUAAUUACGACAGAGAAUUUCUAAGAAGCAUAGAUAUGGGCAUGAGACAAAUAUAAUGAUACUGACUGAGCAAGGACACAUUUAUUAAAAAUUGGAAUAUAAAUUUGAUUUUGAUCAUAUAUAAAUUAUUUUUACACAAUAAUAAAAUUUAAGUCCAUUAGUUCAUGUAUUUUUGUACUUUAAAAAUUAGUUUAAUAUCUGUAUCUAUGUAUUAUACGUACGUAAUAAGUGUUUGACCCAUUUUCACUUUGUACAACUAGUGGUUGACACACUACUAUAUUAUGCCUACAAGUGUCUAAUACGUGUCCCAACAACAAUUUUUGGAGUGUCUGACAUGUAUUAAAAUUUAGACAUAUUAGUCCAAACUUAAGCAUUCGUACUUCUGAGAUGAAUUUGGAGGAGUAGCAAAUAUAAUAUGGAUGUGAAUCAACUGAUCAACUGAGCAAGUGUAAGAAUUGUAUUCCAGUAUACAUUUUUGUCGUGAACCCUUCAGCUUUGAUUAGAAAUAAUAUUAAUUUACUAAUAAAUUGGAGUAAGCAUGAGACUUUUAUUCCAAUUUACCUGCUUGUUGUCUUUCAGCUUUGAAUUUGUAUUGAAAUUGGCCAUAUUGAUGAUGUUCUUAUGUAUGUUGAGAAUGAGAAUGUGUUUCACUAGAGCUGAUUAUUAUUUAAUAACGAACCUAGUCUCAUUAAUUAGCAUUUGAUAUACCAGCUUGAUUUUUGCAACAGAGAAUUACUAUUCCAGAGGUAAUUGAGAAUGAAUGGUUUAGAAAAGGUUACAAGCCGCCUACUUUUGAACAAGCUGAUAUAAGUCUUGAUGAUGUGGACGCUAUCUUCAACGAAACAGGGGUAAGCAAAGUACAUUUGGGUAUUUCUAAUCCAACAUUUAAGCAUGAUCUUCACAAGACCCUUGGCAUUCAGGAUUCGGGUAGUCUUGUUGUGGAAAGGAAAGAGGAAGGAUCUAAAUCCCCUCUUACGAUGAACGCAUUUGAGCUUAUAUCUAAAUCUCAAGGACUCAACCUCAGUUCUCUUUUUGAGAAACAAAUGGUAUGUUUCACUCUAGUACUUCAUUGUGGCAUUUCUUAAAUGAGAUCAAAUUAAUUGUAUCUCUUCAAUGGCUUAGUUUUUGCUUCUAGCAAUAAAAGUUUGUUAAAUUGCAAUAUAUUAGUCGAGCUAUCCAUAGCCUACCAACUCUUUGGAUUUCUUCACAAACAUAAGUUGAUGAAAAUUGUGGUAACAGGGAAUUGUUAAACGGGAAACAAGGUUCACAUCCAAUCGACCUGCGAAAGAGAUCCUUUCAAAAAUUGAGGAAACUGCAUUGCCUUUGGGUUUUGAUGUGAAGAAAAACAACUACAAGGUAAGUACUGUUCCUUUUGAAGUUGAUGAUGAUAAAUUUGGGGAAAGAAUGCAAGUUGUGUAGAAUUGUCUCCUGAGUCUAUAUCAUAAUCUGGUGCAUUUCUUGUAGAUGAAACUUCAAGGUGAAAAAACAGGUCGUAAAGGCCAUUUAUCAGUGGCAACAGAGGUGCUUUACUUCUUACUUUUUUUUUUAAUAUUCUAGAAGUGUCUAUUUUAUGCCAAUUAGUUGAUCCAUGAUGGUAUUAUUUUCAGAUUUAUGAGGUUGCUCCAUCACUGUACAUGGUUGAGCUCCGCAAGGCUGGAGGAGAUACAUUAGAAUUUCACAAGGUAGUAUCAUCAUUAAUGUACUUGUGGUAUCUAAGGACUAAAACAUCUGUCUAUCAGUAUCUAUUACUGCCUAUCUUUGACAGAAUUGGAAGUUUUGUUAUAUUUUGGUUCAUUUUGCUAUAUUUUGGUUCAUUUUGCUAUAUUUGAAAUGCCCUUUUUUAGUACCCCGAUACUUUGAAGUCUGUAGAAGGAAACUGUUUAACUGGCUUGAGUGCAUCGGAAUUAGAUUCCAAAUCAUGUUGGUUUUCUUGCUUGCGUAAUGCUAUUGUUUUUAACUUUCAAAUGUAAUAUGCCAUUAUUUUUCAGUUUUAUAAGAGUCUCAAGACUGGGCUGAAAGAUAUUGUCUGGAGACAUGAAGAGGAUCUGGAUGGAGAUACUGGUUCGUAAUUUGCUCAUAAACGAUUCUUUGGUGCUUUUUCUUUUGCUCUUCUAGCUUUCUCUCUUAGGGUAUUGCAAAUGGAAAGAUAACCAGGAUCAGUGCCCAAUACACACACGCACAUCAGCCACUUGGGAGUAAAUACAAAACCAAAGACAAAAGUGAAAAUACCUUCCAAUGAGUUCCCCCCCUCAAAUCAUCCUCUAAUUUCUCUCUUUCUAAAUGAUCCACUAGAUAAUAAAACUCCCCUCUACAAAGCUUCCUUCUUCACCUUGCAGCUAUUAUUAGGAGGUGCAAAAAAAAAAAAAAACUUAGCUCAACUAGCACAAGUGUGUGUUGAAGACAAAGAGGAUUUAUACUAAAAGAAUAAUUCACUUGAUAGUGUGAGGGAGUUGAUGCAUACUAACAGCAGCACCCUGCUGUUGGGGCUUGUUUUUAAGUUUUGUAACAUAUUAAUGGUUUUGGUUGUGCUCGAAGAAAAGGAAAAUAAAAAAAUAAAACAUCUCUCUCUCUCUAUUGCAGGUGCUAGUGUCUCACAGUCGUCAAGGUAAUUGUUUUCUUCUCUAGAAGUUGUUUUAUAUUGGUUGAAGUUUGAGAGAGUGAUAAUACAGUCAACUUCUUGUACCUUGAUUUUAAACUCAAAUGGUAUUUUGCUGUCAUUUGAUUGAACCACGAACUUCUUUUGUUACUGACAGCAGCAUAUUCGAGUCUGUAUUGUGGUUUCGUCCAUUACGUCAUAAAUAACUAAAAUAUUGUUUCUAUACGUGAAUAUUGUCAUUGCAAAAUAAUAAUUUUAUCUUUUAUACAUUACUUAUUCACUAUACCACCUCUAAAUAUCCGAAAUUUGAGCUUGUGAAGUGGAUUUCUUAAUGAUGGGAGUUUGGAUUAACUUUUAAAGUAGUUUUGAGUUAAGGUUCGCUUGAACAUUGGUUGAGUUCGAUCAAACUUGAGUACAAAUUACAUUCUCAGUUUGUUUUUCUUCACUUCUAAAACUUACUUACAUGAAACUACUGGAGUAAGAAGAAACGAAAGAAUCUGAGGCAACUGCUACUUGUAUGUCUGAAGCAAAGUAAGGAUGAACAUGUAAUUAAUGGAGCAAAAAUUACAAGAUGAUAAUGAAUUCAUACAAAGGAAAGUUGUACUCUUUAACGAUGUGGUUGAAAAGAUGUUGUACUGCAUUGGAUGCUGGUAAUGCAGAAAAGAAAAGAAACAAAAGAAUUGAGCUGUUGUCUGGGGAGGGAUUUCCCUGCAAUUAAGCUAAUUAGGUGUUAACUAAUUUCCAGAAGUGUAGGCCUUAAUCCUCAUAUCAGAAGUUUAUUUUGUGUGAGAUGUACUGUCUUUUUGUCUAUCAUUUGAUGGUGACAGUUUGUUUUGAUAACUGGGAGUUGGAGUUUUGAUCUCCGAGCACCUGUGUCUGCCCCGAAGGCUCGGGCCCUAAACUCUCUUGUGUUCACAGUUUGAAAAUAACAAUUUCAAAAUUCACGUCUUUCUCAAAUUGGAAAGUAUCUCAUAUUCUCCUGGUUUGCUCCUUAGAGUCUUGAAGUUUUCCUCGUAGUGGUUUGGUGAAUAUAUCAAAUACUUGUUACAGCACAAACUUGGUACCUAUACGGCCACAAACGACUUUUUCUUUGAUAUAUAUCUAUAUGACAUUGGCAUUAGCGCAUAAAUGUGGAUGUUUUAGCAUUUGAGAGGGAAAUUGAAAGAAGGUAUCGAGAGAGUAUGGAUCCCUUAGAUCGUAAUCUGUAAUCUAGGUGAGGUCUGCCAUAAUCUUGUAUUAAGCUUUAGUGAUCGAUGGUUGCUAUUAUGGUUUGUUUCUUGGAACUCUUAUGUUAUGCAAUUUGCUGGAUGUGAAUGUAUGAUCCUGGUGUGCUUCUUCUAGACAUAAAUCAAGUUUUCUUUUCUGAAAAAUAAAAAUUAGGCAUACAAAGACUCAGUGGGGGCACUUUAUAGACAUCAUUUGUUCAUACAAUUAAACAUUUCAAGGAAUUGACACAGUCGAUAGAGUUGGUUGACAGCAAACAAUGGUUACGUCAACAAAAUUCAUUUGAGGGUUCGGGUUUCUUUAAAAAUAUAGCAAACAAUGGUUACGUCAACAAAAUUCAUUUGAGGGUUCGGGUUUCUUUAAAAAUAUGGGGGAGGGGAGUUUUGUCUAAACCCUUCCAUCUUUAUUGACAAUCCACUCUCAUUGUUAUCCAUCUCCAACAAGUGCCCCGACUGACUCCGACAGUUGAAAUCAACUAUCGACUCACUGCUCGUAGGCAACCAUAGUUUUCAUCCAAUGUGAAUGAUGCAUCAUUGGUUGACAUGGGAAACAAGAUCAUGGGAAACAAAACAAAUGUAGAAUGAAUUGAAUAAAUGUUACAUGAAUAAAACACCAUCAGAGGCUAUACAAACAAAUCUCUACACAAAACUCAUGGAUAUAAUGGCAAUGUGAAACCUUCUAAGAUCCAACCGUUAAGUCAAGUUUUCUUGGAGUUUAUUUUGAAGUUUAUAUUAUUUGUAUUAUGUACUACGUAUGUUAUAUGAACGUAUGACAUAAUAUAUUACGGAGUUUAUUUCUUAAUUUCGCUUUCAUUUUCAAAUAUGUACUAGUUUGUUUUAAGUAAUUUGACGACGCCAUCUAUUUUUGGUUUAUACUCUAAUUUAUCACGUGUUAGCAAACUUAAGAUCACUAUUAUAUAAUAUGAGUAAAAACAAAAUGUAAAUGCGUGUAUGAUAAAGUGUGUUGAAUAUAUAUUCUAAUAUGAGAUAUAUAUUAGGUAAGAUAGCCUAAAAUUUGAACUUGUUAUAAUUAUAUUUGAUACAGACCUUGUUUAUGUUUGAUAUAAUCACACACACAUAUAUUUGAAAAUAAGCUUCAUAUAUAUCUUGAUGGUCACAGAAUGCAUAUGAAAAAUGGAGCCCUUUGUGAUGGAGAUUGUGAAAAAAGGGAACGAAGAAAUUCUCACAAAAUACAAAUGUUAAUACUCGGGGAUUGUAAUUAUUAUUAAAAAGUUUUGAAUGAAAGAUUAAAUUUAGGGAAUUAACCUAUUAUAUAAUUGCUGUUUAAAAUAAAUAAAUAAAUAUAUAUGUCUAAAUAAGAAAACCAAUGUUAGAAAUGUUUAGGAAAUUAGCCUAUUAUAUAAUUAAUAUUUGAAAAUUUGUCAAAAAAAUUAAAGAAAAACAAUAUUUUGAAUGAUUUUAUUUUUUUCAAAAAGCCCUUUAAUAUUUUAUAAAUAUUUUAAAAAUUAGUAAUAUUUCGUAACUAUGUUUUUUAAUUUCUUAAUAUUUUGAAAUAAAAAUGUUCAAAUAUAGCAAAAUAUUGAAAAUAGAAAAACAAUCCAAAAUUGUAUGUGAAUUAUUAAAUUUUUUUUUCUUAUAUUUUUUGUAAAUAGUUUUAAUUAUUUUCAUGGUUAUGUAUGAUCAAAUUGUAUAUCUUUUAUGAAUUUAGUUUUUAAAUAUCAUCAACUUUAUCAUCUCUCAUCACUAAUUUUCAAAAUAUUUAAUACUUUCCUUACUAAUAUCAUUUUCUUAAUAUUUUACUUUGUUUUUGUUAAUUAGUAAUUUUGAUGGAUUUUCAUUUAAUUAUAUGGAUAUUUGAAGUUGAUAAAUUUUUUUCAAGGUUUUGUUUAUUUUCUUAAAUAUUUCUUAGUCGAAAAUGGAUCACUUUUAGUUGAGAUAUUAAGUAUAAUAGAAAAAUGUAAAAUAUAUAUAGUAGAUAUACGUGGUCUUAGUUCACUUUUGAUGUGUUUACAAAUUUAUAGAAAAAAUGUAAAUAUUUAACGCAUAUAUUGUUAUACGUUGUUUUCUGUCUUGUCUAUUAUUACUUUUAUUUAUAAGUACAAUAACUUCUAGUUUUUGGGGAUUUUUUUUAAAAAUAAUGUAAAAUUUGAAACAUAUUUCAAAAAUAGGGUAGUUGCAAAACUAUUUUCAAAAAUAGGUGUUUUGAGGUGAAGUCGUGGACGGGGUACACGACUUCCAUGCAGUGGCCCCCACAUACUUUAUUUUUCCUUAUUUUUAUAUUUAUAUUACACUGGGCCCCACAUUUUUUAAUUUUCUCAUUAUUUAUAUACGUGGGUCCCACACACUUCACUUUUUCUUUAUAUACAUACUCACAUAUAAUAUAAUAUAUAUAUUAUACAUUUAAAUUCUAAAAAUAUCUUUCUUUAUUAAAUUAAUUUAUUUUUAUUUUUUUCUUUAUAUAUAUUUAAAUAUCACACUCUUCAAUCUUCAAUUUUUCUUAUUAAAUUCAUUUUUCUAAUUUAAUUUAAUUCUUUCUUAAUCAAAAUUAUACAUAUAUUUUUUUUCCAAUUUUCAAUUUUUUUAAAAAAAUCUCAUAUAUUAACAAAACAUGUUAUUAAAAAUAUAUUAAACAAAUUAAAAGAGUAAUAAUAAUAAUUGAGAUAAGUUAAAAUUACUAAAAAAAAAUAAUAAUAAUAACACUUGAAGCCACAAACAUUGAUAAUUGAAUAAAAAGAAAUUCAUGUUUAUGGUAAAAGGAAAAAAACAAGAAUUAGUUCGAUUACAAAUUAAAUUUAAAAACUUAAUGGAUAAUUUUGAAUUGCAAAUUUAUUGUUAUUAUUAUUUUUAGAGUACGUUUCAACUUCUUUCAAUUACUAUUAUUAUUUUUAUUUGUUUAAUGUAUUUUUUAAUAACAUAUUUGGUUAAUAUAUGUGUUUUUUUAAACAGAAAAUUAGAAAAAAGAUAUAUAUAAUUUUGGUUAAGAAAUAAUUAAAUUAAAUUAGAAAAGAUGAAUUAAUAAGAAAAUUUGAAGAUUGAGAUAUUAAAUAAAUAAAUAAAUAUAUAUAUAUAUAUAUAAAUUAUUAUUAUUAUUACUCUUUUAAUUUGUUUAAUAUAUUUUUAAUAACAUGUUUUGUUAAUAUAUGAGAUUUUUUUUAAAAAAAUUGAAAAUUGGAAAAAAAAUAUAUGUAUAAUUUUGAUUAAGAAAGAAUUAAAUUAAAUUAGAAAAAUGAAUUUAAUAAGAAAAAUUGAAGAUUGAAGAUUGUGAUAUUUAAAUAUAUAUAAAGAAAAAAAUAAAAAAAUAAAUUAAUUUAAUAAAGAAAGAUAUUUUUAGAAUUUGAAUGUAUAAUAUAUAUAUUAUAUUAUAUGUGAGUAUGUAUAUAUAAAUAAUGAGAAAAAAUGAAGUGUGUGGGACCCACGUAUAUAAAUAAUGAGAAAAUUAAAAAAUGUGGGGCCUAGUGUAGUAUAAAUAUAAAAAUAAGGAAAAAAUAGAGUAUGUGGGGGCCACUGCAUGGAAGUCGUGUACCCCGUCCACGACUUCACCUCAAAACACCUAUUUUUGAAAAUAGUUUUGCAACUACCCUAUUUUUGAAAUAUGUUUCAAAUUUUACAUUAUUUUUAAAAAAAAUCCAGUUUUUGGAGACAUUUUCUUUAUUUUUGUAGUUUUUGAAAAAAAACUAGUUUGAUAAGUUCAUAACCAUGAUAAGCUUCCUUUUCAUGCUUCUUUUGGUAUUAAUGAUUUUUGUAUACUAGUGUAUGUUGUAUCUAUUGAGAUCUAAUCAAUUUGCUGGUGUAUUCAGUCUCUAUAUAUCAUUUCUCUCACUAAGUGAAAUUUAUAUUAUGUGAUAGUGACCUACAAUAAACAUUUGGAUCAUGACCCGUUCAAGUAAGUGCCACAUUACCAUGUCCUAACUUUCAUUUGAAGAAUUUAUACUCUAAGAAAGUUUUGCAACAUUCAUUAAGUGUCAAAUGAAAUGAUAUAACUUUUAUAAACAACAAAAGCGAAAUUAACUUAAUAUUAAUUGAUACAAUGAUUUUUUUUCACGAUCUUUUAUAUUUGGAACAACUAUAGUUUGAAUUUUUUUAAAUAGACAUUUUAUAUAUGUGCGGUAUACGAUUUUGAACCAAGUUACAAUUUGAAAAAAAAUAAAAGAAAAAUAUAAGAAGAAGAGAAAGAAAAGAAAGACGAUGAAAAGGGAGGACAAAUUUGAAAUAUUUAAAAAAAUGACAAGUUUUAUGGACUUUUUCAUUUUGUUACACAAUUCGUAAAUAUUUUGCUGGUUUGUUAUAUUUAUGAAAAUUAACCUAAAUAUUUUGUUAUUUUUUAAUAAGUAAAUUUGUGUACUAUUUAUAUUAUAUUUAUAUUAGUGCCAUUUUGAUAUUUAUUUCUCAUGAUUUGUAGAUUUUUUUACGAUCAAAUAAAAAUAUUCAUUCACCCCUUCUAUCGAUAUGAAAUCCAUGUAAACGUGAAAAUAUCAAUAGAAAUAACGAUACAAUGAUGUAAAUUUGAAUUGUGGUUUUAACUUAAAAUUUUGGUUUUUAUUUUGGGUGCUAAGAAAUUUGAUGUAAAAAUUAGAUUAAUCAAUUUUUUUUUUAAUUUUCUUUUAAGUUUAAAGGUAUUUAGGAAACUUUUAAACAAUUUAUGAUAUUUUUGAAGUAUUUUAACUGUGGUUUUAACUUAAAACUUUUAACUAUUGGUUCAAUAUGAAAAAGUCAACCCAACUAAAUUUUUUUGAGUUGGAUCGAGUUUGGUUAGUAGGUUGUUUUUCUUUUCUUUUAAUCUCUUCAUAAUUUAGCAAGUGAACAAAUUAUCAAGGUGUAAAAUGACAUAAAUAUAUAUAUAAUUGAGUUGAGCUGGAUCAACCUAACUCCUUACUUGCACAACCGAGUCAAAUUAUUUUUUCUUCAAUUUUAUAUCUCAAACUAACCUAAUUCAACACAAACGGGAUAAUCUCGACUUGUUAGGUUAUGGAUUUUUUUUUUUUUAACAAAGCUUACCAUAAAGUUGAGUAGUAUUUUUUUAAAAAAAAUAUUUAGAAAAAAAAAGAAGUUUUGUAGUAGAAUAGGAUAAAAUAGAAGUGAUAGAAAUUGCACAUAUAAUAAAAUUCACGUGAAAAUUGUAAGUUUAAAUAAGAGGGAAAAGGGGUUUUUAAGUUACGAAAAUGGCACUAAGUAUCACUUAACGCCUCACCAAUUGGAUUAUAAAAGCAAUGAUUUAAAGCGAAGUUUCGUUUUUAUUUAUUUAUUUUUGUUUCUUCAGCCGUUUUGUUCCUCAAAAAUCCCAAAACAACACCAAAUCAAUUCGUAGGAAUGAGGGAAGAGGUAAUCAGCUCAGCUGGAACUGUUGAUCCAACUCCGGCAGCCAGGUACUCUUCCGCUUCUUCUUCUUCUUCUUCUUCUUCUUCUUCUUCUUUCUCUUCACUUUCUACUCUUCUCCUUUUCAUCAUUUCUUCUUCUUCUUCUUCUUCGACUCUCUCUUCUUUGGUCAACCUAGGGUUUUACAAUUUUUCUUCUUUUCCCCUGAUUUGAGGUCUCAAAUUCUUCAACUUACUCUUCAUUCUCCCACACCUACAUGGAUUCCAUAUUUCUUUUUGGGAACACGGGAAUGGAGGGUUGAAUUUACGGUUUUCAGGCGGGUUAAUUUACCGAAUAGGUUAUGCGGCAGAGGAUCUACUGUGUUUUGCUCCUAAUGUGAGGUGUUUGCGAAAGGGUUAUAUGGGUUUCUUUUCUUACAUGAUUAGCAGCAGCUUGGAAUUUUUAGCUUCUCUCUCUCUCUCUAUAUAUAUAUAUAUAUUCUUCUGGAGUUGUAUUUGAUGUUGAGUUAUAAUUCAACAAAAUUCGAGGUGUAUACCUGAUAAAUUAUCUCAAUGGAUAAUGAUCGAAUGGUUAGAAUUGUAAGAUAAAGCUUGAUAAUUUGAAUUCACAUUUGUCUUCUUAAGUUCUUGUUGCUCUAUGAUUCUUAUCAGUUCUGCUGGAGCCUCAUCACCUGCUGUUCCAACAAACAUUGGAAGUGUUGAUGGGUCAAUUCGUGGGCUUGGUUCAAAAGCUGCGUCUUUAUCUUAUGUUGGUUCACAACCACCUCAGCCUUCCUUGAGCACUGGUGUUGGUGGUUCUGCUUUUGGCAUGUCGAGAUACUCUUGUAGACCAUGGGAAAGGGGAGAUUUGUUAAGGCGUUUGGCUACCUUUAAGCCUGGAAAUUGGUUUGGAAAACCUAAGGUUAUAAUGUUUAUGAUUAUUUAUAAAUCCUGCAGUGCAUGUGUGAAAAUUUGCAUGUAUUUUAAUAACUACUGUACGUAUUGGUCCCUUUGUACAUAACUCAGUUUUAUAAUUUUCAACUCGUAAUUUUAACUUGGGUUCAAUAUAGAAAUUCUGUCCUAGAACUAGCUUGGUUAGAGGAUCAAACUUUUUGUUACUUCUCGCUUAAACAGGAAACUGUUUGUUCUCUUGGUUUUUGGUACCGUUUACGUAAAAUCUGAACUUCAAAGGAAAAUAAGUUAUUUAUUCAUUUUUCACAGAAAACAGACCAUCGACGUGUUUUUAUUAUUUAUUUGGUGCGUGUCUUUGUCUCUUAUUAAAUUAGUGUCCUUUUGACCCACAUUGUUCAUUCACAUCUAUAUUUUUGUUUGUUGUGUUGUCUAAAGAGAGGAGACUAAGAUACCUCCAGUUUUCUGUAAUUUGGCAGGAAUAUUGAGCAGAUUUUAGUAUUUCUUUGCUGCCUUAUUCUUGGAAGUAUUGACAAUUAAUAUAAUUCUUUUCAUGUAUUAGUCCAAUCCUGGUCACUUCUUUCACUUGUUACUUCAUACGUAGUCGAUCUCUUAAUCUCGAACUCAAAUUUAAAUUAAGGAAACAUCUAUGGCUGUAGUUGGUUUAUAGGUGAAAGUGGAACUAAUGUAAAGCAAUGUUAUAGGUUGUCAAUUUUGUAAAAAAUAAGAAUAGUUUUUUUUAAAUUGAUUAAAACUUUGGGAAUCAUAAGGCUUUCACAUCUCAUUUCAUUUUCGUACAACUCUAUUUUUAUCUCUUAACCACUCAAAGUAAUAAUGAAAUAGAUUGUAGUGGUAAUGAAUUUUGAAACUUAGGAAUAUUAUUCUUUCUUGAUAUUUUGCAGGUAGUCAAUUCACUUGCAUGUGCACAGAGAGGUUGGAUGAAUGUUGAUGUUGAUAAAAUCGAAUGUGAAUCUUGUGGUGCCAGUUUGAGCUUUGAAUUGCUACAGUCGUGGACUUCUGCAGAAGGUAAGAUUCAUUAAUGGAGAGCCAUUAUUGAAAUAUAUAGUGUUAUCAUAUCUAUAGGUGCCCACCCACCCACACACGCACACAAACACAAAAGAAAAAAGUAUUUCAAAUGCCUGGAUGAACCUGUAGACAUAUACUGAGGUUAAUUGAUAGUUGAUAGUUCACUAAUUAACUUGUGAAUUCUGACUGCUGAUAACAAUGACCCUUGGUUCUCUUCCUUUUUGGGUGUUAAUAAAGUUCAACUUGCCGAGUUUACAAAGCAGCUGGAUUCUGGGCACAAAGUUUCUUGUCCUUGGAGAGGAAAUAGCUGCCCUGAAAGUUUGGUGCAGUUCCCUCCAACACCUCAGUCUGCUUUAGUUGGAGGAUUUAAGGAUCGAUGUGAUGGGCUUCUGCAGUUUCAAUCUUUGCCUUCUAUUGCUGCUUCUGCAAUUGAACAAAUGCGUAUUUUUCGGGGUGCACAGCUUGAUCGUCUAUUGGCACAAUCCCCAAAUUUCACCAUGGGCGAAAUAAAUGUAAAGCCAGAGGGUACACGUGAGCUUCUUGACAGCUCUCAAGAUGGAGCAUUCUAUUUGUAUUCUCAAGUAGGCCUCUUUAUUUAUAAUUAAUUUUUGGUCAAUAUUCUAAAUCCUAUUUAUUCUUCAGCUGAUAAUUUAUCAUUUGUAAUUAUGUUUAUUUUUUUCAUUUUCCAGGCACAGAAAAUUAUUAGCCUUUGUGGAUGGGAACCGAGGUGGCAUUUGGAUGUUCAAGACUGUGAAGAGCAUUCUGCACAAUCAGCUCGAAAUGGAUGUUCUUUUGCUCCAACAGAGGCUCAGUUGCAUCUUUCGCAUGAUGCUGCUCGAAGUAAGAAAGCACUCUCUACUUCCAUAAAAAAGGACACUGGAAAGGGUAAAUUGGUGGUUAAGGACUCUAGAAAUGAAUUUAGAUCACCUAUACUAGAUUGUAGCAUAUGUGGUGCUACUGUUAGGAUAUUGGACUUCUUAACAAUUUCUCGACCUGCCAAUUUUGCGCCCAACAACAUUGACAUUCCUUCCACAAGUAAGAAAAUGGGACUGACACGUGGAGUAAGUGCAGCAAGUGGAAUCAAUGGAUGGGUGACUGCUGAUGAUGCUGAUAAAGAACGUAUUGAAGACCGUGAUGAAGUAGCAACAACGAACGAGGCAACCUUACUGCCAAACACGGAUGUUGAUUUGAAUCUGACAAUGGCAGGGGGCUUAAAUGUUUCCCAAUCCGAAAAGAAUACAACCACUGAACAUAUUCCCAAUGGGGAUCUGGGAAGGGAUCUAAUGAUUGGGCAACCUUCAGGCAGUGAGGUUGGUGAUCGUGCUGCAUCAUAUGAAUCAAGAGGUCCGAGCUCCCGCAAACGCAGUUUGGAUAAAGAUGGGAGUUCAAAUGACAGGGCACUAGUGAGGAUGCAUCAAGCCGAUAGUGUUGAAGGAACUGUUAUAGAUGAUGAAGUAACAGAUGAUAGACAAUAUUCAGCCGGACCUUCAAAACGUACUCGUGAUUCCGAAUUUUUUGAUACCUUCUGCUCAUAUCAAAGAGAUUCAGCCGGUGCUGGUCCAAGUCAUUCCAUGGGUUUAGACCUGUCAAUGGAUGGGGAAAAAUUUAAUUCAUUUCAGCAAGGAGGUGAUCAAUAUACUGGAAUUCAAUCAGCUAGGGAUUCAACCCGUGCGUCAUCUGUUAUUGCAAUGGACACAGUGUGCCAUACUGCUGAUGAGGAUUCUAUGGAAAGUGUUGAAAAUUAUCCUGGUGAUGUUGAUGAUGUUCAUUUUCCAUCUUCCAGUACACAUGGGAAUUUAGACAAUAAUGAAACGUCAGAACUGAUUUAUAGCAAUCAAGCUCAGCAGAGCAUUUUUCUUCGACCGGCAUCUGAGGUUCCCGGUGAAAUGGGUGUCAGUAGUACAAAUGAUGGUGAAGAAAUAUUCAAUGCUGAUACUGUUACUACUCAGGCAAGGGAUGUGUUUAGUUUUGGAAUAAGUGGUGGAAGCGUUGGGAUGUGUGCUAGCCAUGAGGCUGAAAUUCAUGGGGCUGAUGCAUCGGUUCAUAGGACAGAUAGUGUUGUUGGUGAUGUUGAACCCAGAAUAGAGGACGCAGAGAAUCAGGGACAAACUGGUGAAUCUGCCCCUGAUCCUGGAUUAAUGGACGACAUCAUCAGGGAAGAUCCUCAUGGUGAUAGCCAAGAGAUGUUUUCUCGGCCGGUAGAAAGAGCUGAUAGUGGAUCAAAAAUUGAUGGUUCUGCUAAAGAUGAUUCUGUUGAAAGCGGUGGAAAGACAAGUCAAAGUUGCAAGACAGUCCUAGUGAAUAGCAGUCACAAUGCUGAUGCACGACCUACUCAUGGACAAAAUAAGAUUGAGGAUCCAAAUUUGGGUAUAUUUUUAGAAUUCAGCAUAAUAGAAUCCGGUCUCUUAAAAUCUGGCUUAGCAAAUUGACUUUAUGAAACGUGUUAUUCCAAUUUUCUUCUCUUAGUGAUGUGGAACUGUCUUUUUCAGUGCCGCAAAAAGGGGAAAGCAAUUAUGAAAUAGAGUUUGAUCCGAUAGUACAUCACAAUCAAUUUUGCCCAUGGGUAAAUGGAAAUGUUGCUGCUGCUGGCAGUACAAGUAGUAGCUCCAAUGCAGAUGCAGUUGCUCUUAGUGGCUGGCAGCUGACGUUAGAUGCACUUGAUGCUUUGCAAUCCCUUGGGCGUACGGGAGUUCAGACGUUGCAAUCUGAGUCAGCAGCAUCUCUUUACAAGGUUGGUUUCUUUUUAUUAUAUAUUUAGUAUUUAUAUUAAAUUUAUUAAUAUAAUUAGAUUAUUAUUAGGAGAUAUUAUUCUAGAGAUAUUAUUUGAUAUUAUUUCCUUAAGUGUAUUUCUCUAUGGUUAUAUAUAGGCUUGUAUCUCUACUAAAUAAUAAAUGAAAUAUAGAUUUAUUCCAUAAAAUCAACAUGGUAUCAGAGCUCUAGGGUUUUCGCCUUAUUGAAUUCUAGCCUCCACAUCCCGUUUGAUCUCUGCCUCCGUUGAUCAUUCAUCAACGGAGGCAGAAUCAUCUCUCAUUAGCCAUCAACGGAGGCAAAAUCAUCUCCCAUUAGCCGAAGCCACCCCUUAGAUCUGCAAAUCUGCCGUUGUCGUUGCACCUUCCCUUUGCCACUCAUUGCUGUUCAAAUCUGCCACUAUCCAAACCCCAGAAACCCCAUUAGUUUUUCACUAGCGUCCGCGGCGGCCAUCUCCUUCAUAGUUCUUCGUCCGACCUCUUGUUUUUCUGUUAGCCAAGCAGCCGAUUGAACCUCUGCCAGUUGAAGCCGAACGCCUCUGCCAGUUGAAGCCGAACGCCCAGCCGAAGAGUUUCGGUUUUGUCCAUCGUCCAAGAAGCUCCGCUCGCCGCUGUGUUUCGUUGUCGUUGCUCCAUCUUUUUAUGUUGUCUCGACAAAACCCAUGAAACCCCAUGUCCUCAGAUCCUCGCAUCCGCCUCCAAUUUGUUCCAGACCUGUCUGAUUUCGUUCAGACCCAUUCUUCAUGUCUGCCUUUGAAGUUUAGAUCGAAGCCCAGAUCCAACGACGCCUCCAUUCUGUUUUUGUUCAGAUCCGCUAAGCCUCUCUGCUCCAUUCAGUUCAGUUUCCGUUCUGUUCGCCCCAGAUUUCCCGUUUAAUCUGAUUCUGACUUGCUCUAGUUUAGUUCGUUCAGUUCCAUCUGAUCCGACAAAACACUUCUGUCCAAUUCCGACCUUGUUUUCGUCCAGCUUUGAUUCUACUUUGCUUCAGUUUUGCUCUUUCAUUUUGCCCCUCGAAGUUCUUGUUUCGUUCUUCCUAGGUUCUGUUAUAGAUCUCUAUACGAGGAUCUAUGUUUCUAUCCCAGAAGUUUUUCGUGGGUUUGUUCUAACCUAGAAGUUCUUUGUGUGUUUGUUCUUCGGGUUUUUUAUUCUAUUCUAGAUAUAUUGUUUCUUUUCUUAGUUCUUAGCAAACUCAAGUUUGUGAUUUCAACCUUGAGUUUGAGGGAGGGUAUUAAUAUAAUUAGAUUAUUAUUAGGAGAUAUAAUUCUAGAGAUAUUAUUUGAUAUUAUUUCCUUAAGUGUAUUUCUCUAUGGUUAUAUAUAGGCUUGUAUCUCUACUAAAUAAUAAAUGAAAUAUAGAUUUAUUCCAUAAAAUCAACAAAAUUAAUCAUUGAAAAUGAUGGAAUAUCUUGUUUCUCUUUUUGCAUUCAAUCAUCACUACACGAAUUCUGGUUUCUAUGUGAGGAAAUCAAUCCGUUUGCUUGUCUGACAUUAGCAUUGUAACAAUGCGUCAACAGUUAUGGAAAGAAAUUUAUGGCUGGAGGGCACUUUUUUUUUUUUUUGUUCCUGUCUAAAAACGAGGUUUCUUCACCUUACAGAAGCAAGGUGGUGUUAGAACUUGGAACAAAAAAAAUUGGCUCUUUUGACUAAUAUGCAGCUCACAGACAUGAACAGUUUAUAAGAGACUGAUUGAUUGAGUUGAGAAAGUGACUGGGUCAAUCAUUCACAGUUCAGCAGUUAGCCUUGGCUCACUUAUUGUGUAUCGGGUCAACAAAGUUUAUAUGGGGAGAUCUUAUGUAUAAGAAGUCAUAUCACAGGAUAAAUAUUCACAGGUCAAGUUCUUCGGAUGAGAACUUAAUCACAAAAGCUUUAAUAAUAUCCACAAGGAUAUCAAAAUACAGCUCCCUCUAUCUGCUUCAUUCCUGUGAUGGUGCACUCUUUCAAAAAGGAAUUAUAAGCUCUAUGAGACCACGUCUUCCUGAAUUACUUCUUUGCUGGAACUGGAAGCUUUUAGAAUAUUUUUAUCUUCACUUUUAGCGAUUACAUAGCCCUUCCCGUGGACAUAUACGAUGGGACGAUUUCUUAAAAGACAACGAAAUGCUAUAGCUUCUAUUCAUUUAAUAUAUUAAUUUUCCUCUUUGAGCUUGUGGAUUGAAGGGAAAUUAGAAUCUUUAACAACAGAAAGACACCGUAUCACUUUGCUCCUUUUAACUCUCUUUCCUCGUCUUUUAAAAAAUUAAUAUACGCAAUUGUAUAUAUUAUAUAUAUAUAUAUAUAAUGGCUCUAUCUUUGUUAUACACUUAUAUUUUUCAACAACUAUGCUUUCUGAUUCACAGUUGGCCAAUUGGAAGUGUGUUCUCUAAUUUUCUCUGGCUUGGGGCUCAUGAAAUUAUUUCUUUAUCUUAAAAAGUAUAGCAAUUCCCUGUUUACCAAAAGUAUAGCAAUUCUCUGAAGAACUUAGUAAUGUAAUUAGAGAUAUUAUAAGGUAUAUUAUAUAAUUGGUUAGAGGUGGUUAUGGAGGUUGUUUAUUUAUAGAGGGAGUUAGAUAUUUGGUGAGUGAAUAGCGCUUGGGAAAGAUGCUAAGAGGGCUGGUGCAAGUAUAUUUUAGUUUCCUAUAUUUUCGGUGUUGGGAUACCUCGCUGAGCUCUAAAAAAGUCAGUAGUGGUCAGAGGGAUAAGCAGCAGGUAGUGGUCAGAGGAGACAUUAACUGUCCACCGAAGAGAAAAGGCAAAGUUGUACAGUUGAGGAAUAUUUUGUGAAUGGUGUUGCUCAAGGAUUAGAUUGGAUUCUAUUAUUGUCAGUUUCUGUCUUUUACUUCGUAUUUCUUAGUAUCUUGCAGGAUAUCUUAUUUGGAUCGAAAAUAGAACCAUAUUUGAAUGUUAAAUCACUGAAUACAUUAUCCUCUACAUUAAUUCGAAUGUGGUCUUGCAGGAUGAUCAUCAUGGUAAGAAACUGCUGCGACAGCACUCAGCAAGCAGAAGCCAGGGAAACCUUGAGACAUGAGCGACCAAUUUGAAAGUAUUCACAAACCCAAAUUUGUCAUCUCUAAACUUGAUGAAUUAUCUGCUGAGUAUCAUGUUUUUUCUUGUCAGCAACCUGCUAGUUUACUGCUGAUGAAAGGGCCAAGAAAUACAGUGUCUUGAGCGUGAAACGAAACCAGGCAAUGUGAGGAUGAUUCUGAGUUUAGUCUCCAUUUCUUUUUUCCAAUGCUAAGUAAUAAUUUUCUCAGCACCUGUUUGGUGCAAGUACUAGAACCACUACUCAAAAGAUGGUUAUGCUUGUGUUCCAUUUGGAGAAUACUAGAGUUAACUCUUCAUCUCUGUUGCUACAAAAUUAUUGGUUUUGCAGUUUUUUUUAGUAUUAGCAACUCUCUAUUAUGUCCGGCGGUUGUAAUUGUAAACACUUAUCAUUGUCUUUCAUGAAGGUUGUUUUCCUGAGUCAAUCAUGGAUUUCUUUUCCAGAUAUUGUAGUUUUUUUUUUCACUAGAAAUGUUGUAGUUGACAGAUAUAAUAUUGGAAGAAGAAUAUAGUAGUUUUGUUAAGAUCAUUAAUCCAUUGGUUGUUGCCAUUAUAAUCACUACUUUGGUGAAUCAAUGUUAAUUAUAAUGUCUGUAAAUGACAUUAAAAUUAUGUUUAAAGUGUUUUUCGACCUUUUGUGUGAAACUUGUGGGGACUGGACAUUGCUUUUUAAGGGCUUAUUGGAUUUAGUUUCUCUUUGUUUUGUUCUAUUUUAUAUUUUACCGUAGCGUUGAAGUCCCGGCGGUAAAUGCAAUCUAACCCUUUUAUUUUUACUCUUCAUUUUGCCAUAUCUUAGUGUAUUUAGAUGUUAGUUUAAUCUAUAUCUCUAAAAUUUUUAAUAUUUUAAAAUUUUGCAUUUUGUAUUAUUUCGUUUUUGAGUUUUUGUUAAUAGCACAUAUGAAACCAAUUAUAAUUUUACCAUGAAUAAUUUUGUUCACUUUAGAAAAAAAUUUGUUCACUAAGAGGUGCUUUAGACCUACUUGGUGAAAUUGAUAAGUCUGAAUUUAAUAUUUUAGAAGGGAAUCCUCUCAAUUCAUUGUUUGUCACAGUAAUAGUAUUUAAGGAGUACGAAAUAAAUAAAUAAUAAAUUACGAAAUCAUUGAUGAUGUAUUAAUUAGUGAAAUCUGAAAUAGAGGGAAUUCCUCGGGAGAUGAUAAAACUUGAAAAACUUUGAGAGGACAAAGUUAUUCGAAUCUUCCAUAAAAGACUGGAAUGAGUUAAACUCAAAUUUUACAUUUCAAAUACAAACUUGUCAACUCCAUUUAGUGAUUCAAACAUGAAUUUUUUGUAUGAAUGAUCAUCCAAUGCGCUUUGAUUUUGUGGUCUCCUUAUGAAUUAUAACCUUUUGUCUAUGUCAUGGGCCCUAUUCAGGAUUCAAAUUCACUUCACGAUAGCGAUUGUACCUCCAACCCGAUGUGGACGAUAUAUCUUUAGCCUGAUGUGGACGAUAUAUCUUUAGCCCGAUGUAAACAUUAAAACUUGAGGACAGUUAGAAUUUGACUCAAAGUUUCAAAACCAUUUUUUGAUAGCGAUAAUCCUUUUUGCUUGAUCGUUUUGACUAACUCCUAACUCGAUUCAAUGACACAAACACGAUAAUAAAUGUCAUUUGCCAACAUGGGAUUAGUUAACUGAGUAUUUAUAUGUUUCCGAGGAUAAGAGAUUUUGGUUCAAAUCUCCUACGUCCAAUUUUUACAUAUAAAAACAUUUUCAAAUAAAAUAAAAUAAAUGUUGUUUAGAACUAUUUGAGUUUAAUUAUAUCUGAACAUGGAUGAAUAUUAGGACCUGAUUGUUUGCUUAACACUGCCCCGAUUAAAUCUAAAUUGAAAUAUGCAUUAAACCCAAAUAAGUGUAAACACAUUUAUAUUGCACUUGCAUUAAUAAAUUGAGUCAGAAAUUAGUCAAAAUGAUUAGGUGGGGAGGGUCGUCGACAUCAGGAAAUGGUUUUUGGAACUUCGCAUCAGGUUCCAAUCAUCCUCAUGUUUUAAUGUCUACAUUGAGUUAGAGAUAUGUCAUCUGCAGGUUCAAUCACGAAUUGCAAUGUGAAUUUGAAUCCUAAAUGGGUCCACGAUGUAAACAAAAUGUUAGUAAUUCAUAACUUGGACAUGAGUCACCGUUGGAUGAAAAAAUUAUAAAAGAAAAUAUAAUAUUAUUUUAUUCUUAAAAACAUCUCCACAUUAAUUAAUUAAUUAAUGAACGUGGAUGUCCCUUCUUAUACUCAUUUGGUUGAUUAAUGGGUUUAGACCGUUACGGUACCCAAAUUUUGGAAGGAGAGAGGAGAGGCAAACAUAGGUAUGUUCGUAUCUCCACAUGUGCACCAUGUUCGUCGAUCAAGCAAGGUAAAAUACGUUUUUCAACCCAUUUACUCUAUUAUGUAUAUUGUCUUCCCCUAAUUCCUAAAAAAUAUCAUAACAUUACUUUUGUACUUUCUAAAGGUUCCCGAGCAAAAUUGUGUCUGUCGUUGAUUGAUUUUAUUUUUGUUUUAUCCUGGAGCCAUCUAUUCAUAUCAUUUCUGUUUUGCAACAGGUUGAUUCAAUAUUGUUCCUGCAAUUGCUUAUUGUUGUUGCUGUUGCUGCUACUAUUUCUAAUUAUUUAUUAUUCAUUGCUACUGUAACAUUAAGACCGACGUGAAUAGAAGAUCUAUGUUGAAACAAUCUCAACAAUUUUAAGACGAUUCGAUCUGCUGAGAUGGUCGGACAAUUCCAAUCUGAUUUGAUGCCUUCCGAUAUCAAUUGCCCGUUUCGAUUUGAAGGAGCACACUUCAAAAGGUGGAAACAAAAAAAGUUAUGUUUUCUCACAUUCAAAGAGGUGGCUAUCACAUGUACUACGGAAAAGCUGAAAGUCCCAUAAACAGAUCCUACACAGGAACAAAUUAAGGAACUCACCACGUGGACAUAAACCAAUUUUAUCUGUAAGAAUUUAAUUCUUAAUGGCCUAACUGAAAAGUUAUAUGAUUAUUACAAUACGUUGUCAACUGCAAAAGAGGUAUGAGACGCAUUACAAAAGAAAAUGACACGGAGGAAGCGAGGUCGAAAAUAUAAUGAGGUUAAGGAUAAGAAUAUCCUUCUAGGAGAUCAUCACACAACCAAGGUAGCUGGUGUUGGAGAAGUAGAAUUAAAAUUCACAUCUGGCAAGACGCUUGUGCUAAAUGAAGUUUUGCAUACUCCAGAAAUUCGAAAGAAUUUGGUUUAUGAAUAUCUCCUCAACAAGGUUGGCUUCACUCAAACCAUAGGAUCAUACUUGUUUACCUUAACAAAAAAUAAUAUAUUUGUAGGAAAGGGUUACGCUACUGAUGAAAUGUUCAAAUUGACUUUGGAAAUUAAUAAGAAUUUAUCUUCUACUUACAUGUUGUCUUCUUUUAAUGUUAUGCUAGACUUUGUCAUGUUAAUAAAAGACUAAUUAACAACAUAAAUAGGUUAAAUCUUAUACCUAAGUUAUCUAUGCAUGAAUUUGAGAAAUGUGCAUGUUGUAAUCAAGCUAAGAUAACAAAAACCUCGCAUAAGUCUGUAACUAGAGUAACACAACUUUUAGAAUUAAUAAAUUUUGACUCGUGUGAAUUUGAUGGCACAUUAACUAGGAACAGUCAAAGGUAUGUAAUAACCUUUAUAGAUGAUUGUUUCGACUACACUUUUAUUUAUCUGCUUAAAAAUAAAAGUGACGUCUUUGACAUGUUUAACAAAAGAAUUAAGAGACUUCAUAGUGAUAGAGGAAUUGAAUAUGACUCAAUUUCCUUCAAUGAGUUUUAUAACUCAAAAGGAAUAAUACACGAAACUACUGCACCUUAUUCUCCUGAAAUAAAUGGAAAAGCAAAAAGAAAGAAUAUAACACUAACGGAGUUAGCAGUUGCUAUCUUACUUGAAUCAAGAGCAACACCAUCUUGGUGGGGUGAAAUAAUUAAGACUGUUAAUUAUGUUCUUAAAUAGGAUUCCCAAACAGUAAAUCUUCACCAUACGAAGUUCUUAAGAAUAAAACACCAAACCUGUCUUAUCUUAGAACUUGGGAUUGUCUAGCAUAUGUUAGAAUACCAUAUCCAAAGAGAAGAAAAUUAGCCAGUAGAGCAGGAAUGUGUUUUCAUAGGAUAUGAUGAAAACAAUAAAGCCUAUAGGUUCUAUGACUUAGAAAACAAAGUAAUCAUAGAAUCAAAUGACGUAGAUUUUUUCGAUGAUAGAUUUCCUUUUAAAUCUAGAAAUGUAGUGGGGGCUUAAAUAGUUAAACUAGUGGGGGGCUCAAGUUCAAGUAGUCUACCUUCAAUUAGAAUCCAAACCUAAGAAAAGGAAGUAGAUUCUAAACCUAGAAGAAGCAAGAAAGCUCGAACCAUAAAGGACUUUGGAGAAGACUUUGAAAUGUAUAACAUAGAAGAUCCAAAAGAUCUAACAUACGCCUUAUCCUCAGUAGAUGCAAACUUAUGACAAGAAGCUAUCAACAAUGAAAUGGACUCUCUUGAAUCCAAUGGAACUUGGCACCUAGUUGACUUACCCUCUAGCUGCAAAGCAAUAGACUGUAAAUGAGUUUUAAGGAAGAAACUCAAACCUGAUGAAUCGGUGGAUAAGUAUAAGGCUAGAUUAGUAGCUAAAAGUUUUAGGCAAGAGGGAAAACAUAGAUUUUUUUUAUACUUUUUCCACGGUUACUAGAAUCACCUCAAUUAGAGUAUUGAUAUUUAUAGUUGUCCUGAACAAUCUCUUAAUCAAUAAGAUGGAUGUCAAAACUACUUUCUUAAAGGGUGAUUUAAAAGAAGAGAUUUAUAUGAAACAACCUGAAGAUUUCAUAGUUCACGAUCAAGAAUCCAAAGUUUGUAAACUAGAUAAAUCCCUCUAUGGCCUAAAACUUGCUCCUAAGCAAUGACACGAAAAGUUUGACAACUUAAUCAUGUCCAAAGGAUUCAAAGUAAAUGAGAGUGACAAAUGUAUCUACUAUAAGACUAAAAAUAGGUUAUGUACUAUCAUAUGCUUAUACGUAGAUGACAUGUUAAUCUUUGGAUCAAACUUGCACAUUAUAAAUGAUGUAAAAUCUAUGUUGAGUGCAGAUUUUGACAUGAAAGACUUAGGAAAAACUGAUGUAAUCCUAGGUAUCAAGAUUACAAAAACUGAAAAUGGAAUUUUCUUAUAUCAAUCUCAUUACAUAGAAAAGAUUCUAAAAAAGUAUAACUACUUCAAUAGUAAACCAACUUGUACACCUUAUAACUCUAGUGUUAAAUUAUUCAAAAAUACUAGUGACAACGUUAACUAAUCUGUGUAUGCUAGCAUUAUAGGUAGUCUAAGGUAUGCUGCUAAUUACACUAGAUUAGACAUAGCUUACGUUGUAGGAUUACUAUGUAGAUUUACCAGUAGACAUAGCCAGAACACUGGAAUGCUAUAGAACGAGUAAUGAGAUAUCUUAAGAAGACACAAGAUCUAAGAUUACAGUAAUGAGAUAUACUUGAAGGUUACAACGAUGCUAAUUGGAACUCCCUCUCAGAUGGCCCAAAGGCUAGUAGUGGCAUAUUUUUAAUAUAGCAAGAGAAGCUAUUGCUUAGAAAUUCAAUAAAUAGAUAGUUUUAGCCUAGUCAAUGAUGGAGUUAGAGAUGAUAGCACUAGCUACUGCUAGUGAAGAAGCAAGCUGGCUUCGAAGCUUGCUAUAAGAGAUUUCCACCUGGGAAAAACUGGUACAAGUCAUACUAAUCCAUUGUGAUAGUACUGCAGCUAUCACAAAAGUUCAGAAUCGUUAUUAUAACGGUGUAAGAGACGACAUAUACGUUGUAAGCAUAGUACCAUAAGAGAAUUUCUCACUACUGGUGCAGUGAUAAUGGAUUAUGUACAGUCUGAUGACAACUUGGCUGAUCCUUUAACGAAAGGACUAGCAAGAGAGAGAGUUUUUAAAACCUUAGAAAGAAUGAGACUCAAGCCUAUUGAAAAAUGAAUUACUGUGAGCUAAACCCAACUUGUAAGACUGAAGAUCCCAAGAAACAAGUUCAAUGGGCAAUAACUUAUCACAGUAAUAUAACGAGAAUCAUGCUAAAUUAGGAGUUCCAUUCUUAUGAUUCAGUGAUUAGCAUGACAUCUUGGAGCGUAUGAGGAGGUUGAACUUUGUUUUAAUUGAAAACUAUACUUGAUAUCAAGUAGGGUACCUAGCUACAAGAGUACUAUUGAUAGAUUCACCUUUGUAAAUGUGGAAGUGAGAGUCGCUUCCUAUGGAAUUCUGGACAGAUUCCUAGAGCAUUCACUAAACUGGGAUAUACAUGCAAGGCCAUAAAAAGCAUGGGCUAGUUUAGAACUUCACUGAAAUAAUAUUGUGUGUGCUAGCAUUAGAAGUAAAGUUCAAAACUACGAAUUACUUUACGAUAUUUUAAACUAUUGUCACUACGUAAAGAUUCAAGUCAUCAGACACCUUUACUUACACAUAAUAUCAUAGAAACAGACACUAGGAGUGUAAGAAUAUGAGUUGAACCCAAAUAACACGGACUACCCAACCCAUAUUAUAAGUGUUGGGUUGGGUUAAGUUAAAAUAUGAGUUGAAUUGGGUUAAAAAAAUUGACUUUUUUGGAUUGGAGUGUUGAAAUAUUCGGUUCAACCCAACCCAACCCAACUCAAAUUAAUAUAGUAUAAUAUAUAUAUAUAUAUAUAUAUAUAUAUAGAAAAAAAAAUUAGGUAUAUAAACUUUGAAUUUAUUGUAUGAGAUUUUGAAUUAUGUAUGUAUGAGAUUUUGAAUUAUGUAUGUUUGAAAUUUAAAUGCAACAAUUUUGAACUUUUAUAACCAUUAGAACUAGAAAUGAAAAAAAAAAAAAAAAAAAAACUAUACAACCAGACAAUUCAACCCAGCCUAACCCAUAUUUUACGGGUUGAGUUAAGUUGGAUUAGAAACUAAAUUCGGGUUUGGUUGAGAAUGUCUCUCAACCUAACCCAAUUUCACCUCUCACAGACAACUCGAUAGAAAUGUUUUAAAAAAACUUUCAAUUGGGGGAUUGAUAGUAAACAAAUUUCAAGUGGGGGAUUAAUGGAUGAAAAUUCUAUAAAAGGAAAUAUAAUAUUAUUUUAUUCUUAAAAGCAUUUCCACAUUGAUUAAUUUUGAUUGUGGAUGUCCUUUCUUAUACUCAUUGGUUGAUUAAUGGGUUUGGUCUCGUAGGGCACCUAAAUUUUGGAAGGAGGGUGGAGAUAGGAAAAUGUAGGUAUGUUUGUAUCUCAAUGCCUCGAGGUAAAAUAAUAUCGCUCUCACAAACUAUUAUAUAUAUCGUUUUCCCUUCAUUCCUAUAAAAUAUCAAAACAUUACUUUAGUAUUCUCACUGAAGGUUCUCGAGCAAAAUUGUGUAUGUCGUUGAGUGAUUUUAUUUUGCUAGUUAAUUUCCAUGCAAAGUCAACGAGUGGAGAGUAGAACUACGAAACGUCUUAAAGAUAGCGUGUUCUCCCAUCUACCGAGGCUAUUUUUUGUUUGCACAGUCGAGAGUAGAACUACGAAACGUCUUAAAGAUAGCGUGUUCUGCGACUCAGCCAUCUACUCAUAUCGUUUAUGUUUUGCAGUAGUUUGAUUCAAUAUUUUUCCUGUUGCUUAUUGAUGUUGUUGUUGUUGUCGUUUAUUAUUGUUGCGGCUACUAUUUCUAAUUAUUUACUGUUCGUCGCUACUGAAACACUAAGACCGACGUGAAUAGAAGAUUUGCGUCGAAACAAUCUCAACAAUCACAAAAUUGAAGCGUUGGAGAAUACGUCAUCGGGAUAAAAAUCUCGUCCAAACAAUCCCACUUAAAAUAAAAAUUCAGACCAAAUGCACCUAUUAACACUAACAACUCAAGACUAAUAAAAGGGUCAUUUUUCAAAAAGAAAAAAAGAAAAAAAGAAAAAAAGAAAAAACCAACCACGUAAAAUAAAAAUAAAAUAAAAUAUUGAAAUUAGAAUGGCCUGACCCGAUGGGUAUGUCAACUAACUACUGUAAGGAUAAAAAGUAAUGAAAUCCACCAACGAAGCUUGAGGCUUUUCUCAUCUCACCCAAACAAAACAAUCUUUGAAAUCCAACCUUAGCCAAUCAUCUUCCACCAAAAUUCCCCAUAAGCUUAAAUCCCCAUUAGAUUUAUGUUUCUUCUUCACAAACAACACUUCACUUCAUCUCUCUCCUUCCACCAUGUCUUCUUCAUCUGCAACUGCUUUCCAUUCUUCUUUCUGUUUCUCUUCUCAUAAUAAACUUUCUUCUUCUCCCUCAAAUUCCCAUCAACCAAACACUUCCUUAUCACCCAAACCCAAAACCCUUCUCCAUAAACAUCCUCUCUACACGCCACUUCAUUCCACAGUCUCUUCUCAAACCAAAGAGAAAAUUCUCUGUCUUGAAAUCAUGGGUGUUGAUUCUGGCAAAGCUCUUUCUCAAAACCCUUCUCUUCAUUCUGUUACUCUUGAAUCCAUUCACUCUGUCAUCUCCUUCCUCCAAUCUAAAGGCAUUCACCAAAAGGACUUCGCCAAAAUCUUUGGAAUGUGUCCUAAAAUCCUCACUUCAGAUGUUAAAACUGAUUUAGUACCAGUUUUCAACUUUCUCUCUGAAGAUCUCAAAAUCCCAGAUCAGAACUUUAGAAAAGCUAUCAAUAAGUGCCCAAGAUUGCUUGCUUCAAGUGCUGAAGAUCAGUUGAAACCUGCUUUGUUUUAUCUUCAAAGACUUGGGUUGAAGGAUUUGGAGGCUUUGGCUUAUCAUGAUUCUGUUUUGCUGGUUUCAAGUGUGGAGAAGACCUUGAUUCCUAAACUCAAGUAUUUGGAGAGUUUGGGAUUCACAAGGAGUGAAAUCGUUGGGAUGGUAUUAAGGUGUCCAGCUCUGCUUACUUUCAGUAUUGAAAACAAUUUCAAGCCAAAGUUUGAGUAUUUCUCUGUGGAGAUGCAUAAAAAACUUGAGGAGCUUAAGGAUUUUCCUCAGUAUUUUGCCUUUAGCUUGGAGAAGAGGAUAAAGCCGAGGUAUGUGGAGACAGUGGAGAGUGGAAAAAAAGUGCCUUUGUCACUUAUGCUUAAGACCACAGAUGUUGAGUUUAGAGAGUUGUUAGCAGAAGGGGGUGGUUGAAUGAAUCUCUCCCUCUCUCCCUCUCUCCCUCUUCUUUGGAGCUUCGUAAAGGGAGGCUGGUUUUAUCUGCCCUUUCCCCUUCAUUUUUUACUAUGUAAAUUCCAUGACUUUAAAAGGCUACAAAUACAAUCAGUUCAUCAUUCUCUAAUCUGGAUUUCAUACUUCUAAUCCUCUAUACUUACCACGUUUGGAUAUUAAAUAAAGCUAUGAACUUCUUUAACUUGCUGAACAGAUGUUGAAAAUCGAUCACUCUUUAUGCAGUUUAUAUCAACUGUUCAGAUAUCUGUUUUUUUUUUCUUUCCAGCUUACAUUCACUGUAUAAACAAGACAAGUGUUGCUCAAUUUGAUCAACUUUCUUCAAGUUCAUGAUUAUCAUCUUUCAUGUUUAUUAUCUCAUUUUAAAAUCAUAGCUCAAGCAAGAUCAAUCACUCGAAGGAUAAUAAACUCAUUUUAAAAUCAUAGCUCAAGCAAGCCAAAUUUUGCGUAAAUAUCUGCUUUUGCCCUUCAAUUCAGGCGAAAAAUCUGUAGUUUAUGAGAUGGCAACAACAGAGGCAUUGUGAUUGACUCGAUGGCGUUAACUCUUUAAAGAACUUGAAAACAGUUUUCCAUAACAUGGUAAGAACUUGAGUCUGUCUGUCUGAAGACUCUGAACAUGUAUAAAUAUGUAUAUAAAUCUAUCCAAAUGUAUUUGUACAUAUGCAAAGUGCAAGUGCUGCACGAUGAAAUACAAAUCUACAUGCACUACAUAGGUAGACAUAUCUUACAUACAGGCCGUAGUUGACCUGAUUCAUGUUUUAUACACAACUUUCUUAAAUGUAAUCAGGUCUACUUUCAAAUUCUUAAUACAAAAAUGGGUAUCAGCUCGUGAAUGUUCCAGACUUGCUUGCUACUUUCUUGAGCUUCACACUCAAAAUGACUUCCCAACAGAACCCAAAUUAGAGACUUUAGUUGAUGAAGGCAUCUUGAGAUAUAUAUACAGACCACGCUUCCUGUAAAACACAAUAAGACAUAAAAAUCAAAAUCUUGCAAAUAAACAUACUAUUCAACAUUUUUCUCACAAAUUCAGUCUUAUUAGUUACAUUUUUUAUCUAGUGUUUGACUUCAAGUUCUUGGUUGAAUCAGAUGGUCAUUAAAUAUUGUGUAUGAGCGAAGAGUUACCUGAAGGAUGGUAAAAGCCUUAUCCGCAACAUGUUUCUGCAGCGUUGUCGCUCCUCUUUGCUGCAGCUUAUCUGGGUGGAGACAUAAUCUUGCUUUUUGAUAUGCCUUCUUCACUUGUGUGCCUCCAAUCAGGUUUGUCAACGAUAUUGGAGACCACCCACUACUUGACCACAAUAUCUGUAAUAAUCCCAGAUGAAAUGGUUUUGGAUCGUUAGAUUGGAGUUUCAUAGCAUGAAAAGGAGGGAGAUGUCCAUGAUGUUAUCUGGCAUGAAGGAACUUACAUAAUGAAGUGUAGAAAGUAGCAAGCGGAUGUUGGUCUCCUUGCCAGCUGACCAUAGCUUUAUUUUUUCAUCUAAUCCUUCCAAUUCUCUCUGUUAUUUGAGAUAAGGAGAAAAAAGCAGAGAUCAAAAACUUGUUCCUUAGCCAGAAAUAAAAUGAACACUUUGUAUGAUUUUGUGUUAAUUAAUUAGCUUGAUUGCUCUUUUUCCUAAAUUUGGAACUACCAGUAGGAGCCAUUCCAUGAAAAUAUCUUAUACUUCAAAACUCGAGGGAAAUGAAAUAGUGCCAAGCUUAAAAAUAUAAAGCCCUGUGAUAAUCUACUUACAUCGAUGUUCAACUGUGGCUUUUCUUCUUCAACUUUUACUUCUCUCUGUUGUGUCUGAGGCAGAAACAAGAGCACCCAGUUAAGCAACGCAAUUCAGCUUUAUUACACAAUUGCAAAAGAUAUUCAAUCAAUUAGAUUCAUAGAUUCUUCCAAGUUCUAAGCAUUAUCCAGAAUGUUUUCUGACCAGUAUUGAGAUGAAUGGCGUAAAGAGUUUUCCUAUUUCAGAUUUUAUGUGAAAAGUAGAAAAUUGUUACCUCUGCAGUCUGCGACAAUCCAUUUCCAUUCGACUGCUGAUCUGAGCAUUCAAAUGCAACAGGUCUUCCUUCAAAACAAAAAAAGAAGAAUACUUUUAGAAUUUUCACUAUGGAGGUUAAACAUUCAUACAAAACAGGUCCGGCCAGCAUGAAACACACGUGGAGUUAAUGAAAGUUUACCUUCUUCUUCCCCAGAUUGCUCGCUUUCUUGUUGUCUAACACUCAAAUCUGUCUCAGAUGCACUUUGAUACUUCGAUUUAGCCCAAGCAAUUGCUUCGUCAAUAGAAACUUCUUCUCUAUAUUCUUCUCUAUUGAUAGAAGUUAUCUCAAUGACAUAAGAGCUCAUAGCAUCUUCAUCGUCAUCGUCAUCUUCCGGUAAAACAUUACAGUAAGUUCCAUCAUAAUAAACUGGAUCCUCACAGAGAGAAGAUUCAGGAGAUGAUGGGGAGUUUAUUUCUAAAUAAUCAUCCACGCAGAUCUUGAUGCUUCUGAACGAAUUUGGUUCCAGAAUAACGGUUUCUGGCGAUGAUACAGGCUGUCCAAAUCCAUGGUCUGAGCUUUUGUAUCUAUCAUCAUAUUCAUCUUCUACAUAACGGUUAUCCAUAUGAGGGGAGAGAUGAGGUGCAAACUGUGGCAUUUCCUGUUCCUUGAACAUUGUAUGAAUUCCAUUGUGUUGGGACAUUGGUUGGCCUAUAUGAAUUGAAGAGAUAGAUAUUGAAUACUUGCAACCAAACUAAAAUAAGGAAAUGAAUAUUGAAAUCACAUUAAAGUAAUUAAGUGUUAGACAAUGCUGGUCAAAUCAAGUUUAAAAAAAGAAUCAAUUUAGAGACAGAUUUAUAAUCAAACAUUCAUGCUUAAGAAAAGCCAUCAAUAAAACAAAAUUGGUUGUUAGUAUCAAUAAACAUAUUACUAUGAAUCAGACUGAUUAAGAUUAUCAUUUCUCUUAAAUACCCUCAUGAAACAGCCAAACAAUAUCAAACAACAUAUGAAAAAUGACCUAAGCCAUAGAGGGCAUACAUGUCCAAUAGAAUAAUCCAAAAUAAGGGUUUGGCCCCCUCACUUUCUGCAGUACACUACCAACCUGUGAUUUGAAGACGACGAAGGGAACGCCACGUCAUCUCCGAUGACCGGCCGAAGACGGGUGAAAUCAGAAGACGAGUUCGAUCUAGUGAAUUCCUUAGAGCUCGGCUCCGACCUAUCUCUCGACCGUCGACCAUCUUCCGAUCCAAAAACAUCGCGGUAAAAUCUAUCCUCCUUAACAGGGAUUCUAAAGGCAGGCAAGCUCCGGCCACCCUUCUGCGGUCGGGAAACUAGCUCGGAGGAGCGGAAUACUUCUUCGUAGAAUGAAGUAGUAGAGUCUAUACCUUCAAACCUCUCGGAAAAUUGCCUGAAGAGAAUGGUCUGUGGUGGACCGCCGAAGACGUCGGAGAAGUCGUCGGCGAGGAAAUUAGAAGUGGGUUUGGGGAGGGUUUGGCGUUCGGAUCUCCGGGAACGGAAACGGGGAAUUCCAAAACGGAGACGCCAAGUAUGGUCCAUUUUCGGGGGAGACAAAAGAGGGAAAAAAUGAAAAAGAAUGAAGGAAAUAUUACGAUUUAAGAGUGAGAGAGUGAGAGAGAAUGAGAAAACACCAUGAAAACAAAUGGAAGCUCUGCCGUUCAUAUAUUUAUACAACAAAAAAGUGGGAUUAUUGGAAAAAGCUGUUAACUACUUUUUACUGUUUAAUAAUAAUAAUAAUAAAUUAGUAUUUGUUUAUUUGUUUAUUUGUUUAUUUUUAAAAAAAGUUGGAACAACUAUUCAUGUGGAGCAGAAAGUUAAAAGAAAGGUGUGACCUUUUUCUUCUUUAAUAAAAUAAGAGAUUUUUAUUUUUUAUUUUUUAUUUUUAUUUUCUGAUCUUUAAAAAAUAAUUUAUAAAUUAAAAAUGAUGUUUCUAAUAUACUUUGUUUUCAAUUUCUGAGACAAAAGAUUCAAAGUGUAAUAAAUAGGUUUAGAUCUCUUUCUCAAACCACCACUAAACCCACAUUCUCAAAUAUACCCAUAUAUAUAUAUAUGUUAAGUAUAUUUUUCGUGUCAUAAAUAUAUUAUAUUUGGUUAUUGUUCUUCUACUCAAUUAUGAUUUUUACUUUAUUUUUUACUACACCAACUUUCAAAAUGUUAGAAUAGGUAAACGAUUUAUUAGACCCAUAGUCUAAACCUACUAUACUAUGCAAUUAAAAAUUUCAAACUUGUUGAAUUUCAUAUUGAGAAACUAAUAUGAGUUUAAUUCAACUGGUAUCUGUAUGUACUCGUAGACAAGAAAUCCUAGUUCAAAUCGUCACUCAUGUAUUUAUUACAAUACAUUUUUUAAAAAAAUUAUAAUAAAAUUAAGAAAAUGAAAGUACCGACAUAAAAGUGCAAGUUUAAGUAUGUUUGGUAGGAAGUUCAAGCAUAGAGAUUUGAAAACGAUGGAAUCAAUGAAAAUGUAAUAGUAUUGCACAUUUAUAAAUUUAUAUAUCACUACUCGAUACAUAACUUUAUUUAAAAAAAAAGUGAUAAUAUGACAUACUACAUUUCUUAACGUUUUUAUUUUUUUGUUUAAUAUACUUUGAUUCCAAGUUCCUCCUUUUUUUGCUUCUUUUAUAUUAAACAUUUACUAUAUUUGUUAUCAUUUAUAUUAAGAAAUGUAGUAUAUCAAAUUCUAUCGUUGUUAUCAUCUAUAAAAUAUAAAAAUUUACUAUAUUUUAUAAAUAUUUUGAUUUAUUUGGUUAUAAAUGAAAAUUUUCCUUUUAUCCUUGCUAUAUUAAAAGUCGCUUAAGAAAAUAAUCACUUUUUGGAUGAUUCUGCCUCUUGCCAACUUAAAAACAUUAACAAUAUUGUUCUACACAUUAAUGUUUUCAAUGGACGCUUCUACCCCUUACCAAAAUCUAAAUUUACAAUAUUGUCCUAUGAAUUGUAAAUUUAAAAAUUCUAUUUGAUAAAUUCUAAACAUGUUUUCAAUUUAUAAAUUUGUCAUCUACACAUAUUUGUUUCAUUCUUUGAUUAUUAAAUUAUUUAUUAUAAACACUCAAUAUUAACAUAUAAACAAAUUUACUAUUGAUAAACUACUACUAAAUAAAAUAUUUUAUAAACACGUAUUUUAGUAUGCUUUAGUUACAUUUUUUGAUUAUCAAAUAGUAGUGAAUACUUUUUUUUGUAACAUAGAAAAUAAAUGAUUUCUAUAGAAAAAGUUGUUUGUAAUAAACAUGAAAAAUAAAUUACACUCAACCAAAAUAUGUUUCGCUUUCCAAAUUUCAUAACUUCAAAAAUAUAAGUUCAUAAGUUGUUUUAAUUAACAUGAGAAUAAAUUAUUUUAAAUAUUUUGUAAGAAAUAAAUACACAUAAUUAUUAUUAUAAAAGAAAUUGACUUUUAAAAUUUCAUAAAAAAAACCAUAAAUGAUCUAAUUUUAGUAUAAAUAUAGAACAAUCAUUUAAGUGUAAUUUGCUAUCCAAAAUUUUGGUUGUUUUCAAGUUUUAUCUAUUCGUUCUUUGUGCCAACUCAAAGAGAAAAUUGAUCUAUAAACUAAGGCUAAUACGUACAUUUUGUUGCAUUUCAUUGUUUUGUAAGUAAUUUAUUAGUGAAAUUACAUUAUUUAAUAUAUUCCUUCUUAUUUAUUAAUAAAUAUUAACUAUUAUUUACUUUAAAAAUAGUUAAUUAACGGUCGGUUCAGUCACACUUGCACACAUAAACUUGACUUAUAUCUACUGUUUAAUAUUUUGAAUAUUCCAUUUUACUUAAUUCAAUUUUUGGUUAAAAUGUCAUUAAUUCUUUGGAAGAAAAAUUGUAUUAUUGUUAGAGAAUGUGAAGAGGAGUUAACAUGCACAAUUUUGGAGGAUGAUCCAACAUCAAAUGCAAAUAGAAGCAUGAAUAAAAUGACUACAAAGAAGCAAAAAAAGGAGGAACUCUCUAAUAUUGAAGUAUGCUCCUCAUUGUUCAUCUUUGAAUCUUACUAGCUAUAACAUUUAUAGUUAUAUUUAAUGAUUUUCAUUUUCAUAGUACUUUUCUUUCGGAAUAAGUAAACAGUGAACAAGUAAAAUGUGGCUUCAAAUUUUUGUAAUUUGUUGAAUUUAGAAGGUCUUUUUUUCAAAAGAUAUAUAAAAAGACAAUUAUUUAUAUUAUUUUGAUAUAUCUUUAUUAAUCUUUUCAAAUUCCAUAAAAUAACUCCUGUAGAGUAGAAAUGUAAAUUUUCCAAGAUAUUACAAGAAAUAUCUUCAAAAUUUUAAUUUGAAAUUUGGAAUUGAACUUUUCAAGUAUUUAAUUUUGAAAAAAAUUUAAAUAUUUGACAACUAUUUCAAAUUGCUUAAUAAAAUGAGUUUUGAUGAAAUAAGUUUGGUUUAAAAUAAAUAUUUAAGUGUUUUUAAGAAUUAAUUGUGUAAUUCUUAAAAUUAUCCAAACAUCAUCAAAACUACUAUAGAUCUUACUUCUAACAUAGCCACCAUCGUCGUCUAUUGACCAACUUUUGUGACCAACUUCAGCCACGACAAAGUGUCAGUGUCAGCUCUAUCAACCGCCACCACUAGAUUACUCAAACAACCAACAUUGGUUAUUAGUUCAUUGUACUUUACCGUUGUGCUUAAUAGUGAUUUAACGUUAAUAAUAAUACUUAUAGUAUAUAGCAAAUCAAACAACACGUAUAUUAUAGUCGAAUCAUAAUGAUUUUUUGAAAGGUGUAUAUAUCUUUUUCUUGAAAGAAAAAGGCAGCGUAGUUUAUAUUUAUGUUAAGGCCCACCGACAUAAAACACAAAAUACAAACUUAAUUAAUUAGAUAUUAGGUUAUUAAAUUUUUUUAAUUUUUGAAAUGGAGAAAUAAUUGCAUCUGUUAUUGUCUCCUAAUCUUUGAAUUAAAGUUAUUAAUUGUUUGUUUUGCUAAAGAUUACAACCAAAAGGACAUCAGAUUUUCUUUUGUCCUCUUUUUUAAUUCAAAAGCACAGACAACAUUAUUCUUUAUGGAUCCAACCACAACCAACAUCAUAUCUUCACCUUUUAUCAAAUAUUUACAACUUUCCUUAUUUUCUUAACACCCAUCAAAUUUUAACAUUCCCUAACAAAUUGAUGACUUAUGUCAUAAUAUAAUACACUUUUUCUUAUUAAAUAUAUGUUCAAAGAUUAUAUUCCAUGAGAAAUACACAUUUCAAAUGAUGAUUCAUUUGUCUUUAUUUUAUCGUCAUUUUUUCUAAAUAUAGAUUGAAAUGUGAAAAAUAUGUAUGUAUAGGGUUUGGAUUUAAAUCUUUUUCUAAAAUUAAAGAUAAGAAAGAAGAGAAGGGCAUUUGGUGACAAUGCACUUGUGGUUGUGCCCCAUCAAGUCAACAGAUGGAUUUUUCUUGGUCACUAAAUUAAAGCAUUCAGAGAAAGUUCCUAGUUAAAUACCAUGUGAUUUUAAUUCCAUUUUGUUGACCAAACUACAAAUCUCACACUUCUUUCCAACAAUUAACUUACAAAAAUAUUUACUAUUUCGACUUUAAAUCAACGCCUAACCUAUGCUCUAAAAAAUUGAUCAACUUAAGCUAUAUAUAUGUAUAUAUAAACGUUCAAACUUUAGAUCCAUCAUUCCCUCGAAAUUUAAAAUAGGGAGACAUUUUUUUUAAUAUAUAAUUUAUAAAUUUGUUGGCCUAAGUUCAAAAUAUAUCUCCUCGACCUUUUUUUUAUUUUUCCUAAGAAAAGCAAAAUCUUAUCUCAAACAAAGAAAAAAGCAUUAUGUACGGGACGACAUGUACUAGUAGUACUACAAAAUUUUUCCUUUGCUAAAAUACAGGAUGUCUUUUCCAAUUAUAAAUUAUAAAUAACAUUUUUGUUUCAUAAAAUAAUAAAUAUUAAUUUCUACCUUUUUUUUAACUUCAAUGAUACUCUAAAAUUCUUUUAAUCAAAAUGUUGCUUUUUUUAAUAUUUGAAAAAUAAAUAUAAAAAAUAGGCAACACUGGAACCACAUAUUUUUUUAAUAAUGAAUCAACCAACAUUACCAUAUACGAGCAAUUGUGUAUAUAAAAGUGCCACAUAUUUUUUUUUUAAAAAUAUGAUAGUAAGAAAACCACAUAUUUGUAGAUUAUUUAUAGAACACAAAUAAUCACAUUAAAAAAAAAAAAAGAAGGAGAAAAAGCAAAUCAUUCUAUUGAGUGUUGUGUCUUUUACCAAAAGAGAUUAUACCCUUUCGUGAAUAAUUGUGACUUUCUUUUAAUAAUAUUUUUUGUAAUGUUUUUCACGUGUUUUAACUCCAAUUUUUUUUAAAGCCUAACAUACUAUUGUUCUAUAAAAAAAAUAUAUAUAUAUAUUUUGUAAAUGGAAAACGAGUGAAAAUAUUUUUAAAAAAUAACAAAAUUUGAAAAGUUUUUUAUAAAAUCUAAAAAAUGGUUAUAUUUUAUAAUUUUUUUGGUUAACUUUGUUAGGUGUGUAAUCGAGUUGGGUACACUUUCUCAACCCAACCCAUACUUUUAGGUUAUUUGGGUUGACAAUUUGAAUUUAGUUUCCAACCAAACCAGUAAAAUAUGGGUUGUGUUGUCUUGUAUAGUUUUUUUCCCCUAGUUUUCAAUGGCUAUAAAAGUUCAAAAUCUUAGGUAUAAUGAUCUGACAGAUAUGAGAUAUGGUGAAGAUCGAAAGACAAAGAAGAGUCAGAGACGGAGGAGAUGGAGGAGAUCUCAGAUUAGGGGAGACAGAGGGAUUGAGAUUUGAGAUCGGCCUGCGGAGGAGACAGGUGGACAGGUCUAGGGUUGGAUCGAAGAUGUUGGAGGAGAUGGAUGCACAGGUCUCGAGUUGGAUCUAAAUAUCAGAGGAGAUGGACGGAGUUGAGAAGGAGGAGAUGCCAGAGAUGCUGCGAAGAGCGAGGGAGAGUAAGAGAGGUGAAUUGUCUCGUGAGAAGUGUUGCACGAGGGAGAGCCGUGAGGGAGAUAGAAAUCUAAUUUUUUUAUUAUUAUUAAAUAAAUAAAUAAUUUGGAUUGGGUUGAACCAAAAUUUUCAACCCUCCAACCUAAGACCCAACCCAACCCGAAAAAAUCAAUUUUUUCUAAUCCAAAUCCAACUCAACUCUUAUAAUAUAGGUUGGGUAGCCUGAGUUAUUCAGGUACAACUCAUAUUCUUACUCCUACAUUUUGUUAUAUUUGAAAAACAUAGGAAAAAAAUAUGGCCGUAGUUGUGAGUGAUCUUGUCUUAACCUGAGUGCUCUCCUUCAAGCUUAGUAAUUUCAAACAUUUCAUGGCUUUUAUGUCUACUUUCACAUAACAUCCAAUUACAACCCUCUUUUUGCUGUUUGAAUCUAACGAUUCUAUUACAACAAUUUUAUAGUGUUCUGUCAUACAAUAUUUUUUAACAGUCAACUGAAGAUCUGUCAAAUCACAUUAUCUUUUGAAUCAAACAAGUCUAAUUGUCCAAUCAGUAAAAAAAACUUCGAAUUUAAACAAUUUAAGUUUUCAUUUCAAAAUAUGCACACAAGUUGUAAGUUCAAAAAUUUAUAUAUCAAAACAUAAUUCUAAAAAUGCAAAAUAAUAAAAUCAAAUAAUUACACGAUACAAUACUAUAUGAAUUUAAACCCUAAAAUUUACGUAUCUCAAUACACUACAAUUUAAGCCCUAAAAUAUACAUCUAGUGAUGAAAUCAAACAAUUACAUUUACAUGAUAUAUACAAAAUCAUACACUUAACUUAGUCUUUGAUCGGAUACACAAUUUCACUGCCUUAUUUUUUACAAUGUUUUGCGAAAUAUUUAAAACAAAUUAUUCAUGAAUACACAAAAAUAUAUGUUAAAAAGUAGAAAAUAAUAAAACUGUAGGAUGGUGACAAUCACGAAAAGUAGACGUUAGUUGGAGCGAUGGAAGAAGAGGAAGGAAGUGGCGGAAGAGAAGAGAGAAAAAAGAUGGAAGCAUUUUGAAUAUCCAUGAUGUUCAUGAAAUUGUCUACUAAUUCAUUUUAAUAAAAAUGUAAUGAAAUUAAUGUUGAUUCUGUUGAUUAUUUAUAGAAAAUUACUCACAAAAAUAUUUUUAAAUUAAUAAAACAAAUAUUUACACUCUCCUUCAAUAAUAUAAAAUGCUUUAAUAUUUAAAAAUUUAUUUUUAAAUGACUCCAAAAAUUUGAUGAAAGUAUUUACAAUUAUGCAAAAUACCAUAAACCAUUCCUGAUGGAUUAUUAUUUUCGUCUAUAUCUACCAUCCAUACAAGAUAAAUGAUGAUAUUUUAUUGUAUUUAUAAAUAUUUUAGCUCAUUUUUAUAUUUGAAAACCUUUAAUAUUUCUUCCUAAAAAUGUUUUAAUAUUUAUAUCAUAUUAAUAAAUGAUACUUUCUACUUUAUAUAUUUGAUCAAUUAUCUGACUUAUCACUAUGGUUAAUGACAAGAUUAUUUUUCUCUACGAUGAAUGACAAUGCGAAUCAACUAAAAUCUUCUUGAUGUCAAGUCUAUAGGUAUCUAAGAACGUCAAUAAAAUUAACGAUAAAUAAUAGAAAUGUUAAAAAAACUAGUAACCCGAUCAAUAUAGAUUAUUCAGCCCAAAUUGUAAGAGUUAGAUUGAGUUAAAUUGUACGUUGAGUUAGGUUAUCGAAACUAAGCACAAAAGGAUAACAAGCAAACAAAUGUUUAUAGUGUCCAACGAUUUUUCUUUUUCAUAUAAAACACGUUUUUUUUCUUUGGUUUUUUUAAAUUUCUUAAUAUUUUAAAAAACAUUUCAAAUAUAAAACCUAAAAAUUAAAAACUAAAAUCCAAAAACAAAAACUCUAAACUCUUAAAAAAAUAUUUCACAUUUUUGCAAUUUCAUCGGACCAUAAUAUUAUUUUUCUUUAGUUAGUAUAAAAAAAUGGGAGAUGGAAUCAUUUAAAAUAUCCAUGAUGUUGAUGAAAUUGUCUAGCAAUUAAUUUUAAUAAAAUAUUAAUGAAAUUAAUGUUGAUUCUGAUGAAUAUUUAUUGACAAUUUAAAAUAUAUAUAUAUUUAUAUUAAUAAAACAAACAUUUUACACUCCCCUUAAAUAACAAAAAUGUUUUAAUAUUUAAAAAUUUAUUUUAAAUGACAAACAAAAUGAACACCGAAAAUAUUUGCAAUUAUGUAAAAUAUCAUAAGCUAUCAUAUGAUAGGCUAAUAUUUUUGUCAGUCUAGGCUAAUAUUUUUGUCUAUCUAUGUUAAAACAGACAUAGAUAGUAUAUAAUAUAUCGUUGUCUAUCAUAAAUAGAUUGUGUUAUUUUAUUAUAUUUAUUAAGAUUUUGGUUCAUUUUGCUAUAUUUGAAGACGACCUUUAAAAUUCUUCACCACAGUGUCUCAAGAAUAUUGAGUUUCUCUAAAACUCGUUAUCACGAAUACGAUGUUGGAUACAGCAUAAUCACCCUUAUUUAACUUUGUGAUAAGUUAAAUAUUUUAAUUGUUAAGUUUUGGUGUGUUCAAUAAUUUGAUAUAUAUUUAAAUGGCUUAUGUACACACCCCUAGUAAAUAAGUUAUAUAAAAGAGGGUGAGCAAAACAUUAUUAGAGAAAAUAUAAGAACAUCAUCUAUUUGAAAGUGAGAUACUACACAAAAUACUAAAAGAGAAGAAAAAUGAGCAAAAAUAUUUUGGAACAAAAAAAAUGGAAAUUGCAAAAAUCACCCCCAAAGUAAGACUGUCCUUGUAAUAAUUAUAUCAUUUAAAAUUAAAAAUUAAACCCUCAAACUUAUAUAAUUGUAUAAAUUUUACACACUACAAGAAAUUUCGUCUUUGCCAACGUAGAGAAAACAUUUAUGUUGACGUUUUUUUUGUGUGAGAACGUUGCAUGGUCGAAACACCGUCGUCUCUUCCUUUGUCCAUGUUUUUUUAUGUUGUGUGGGUAGAAAUAUUGAUGCAAAUUAAAAUUGUGGGUAAAAAAUAUAUUUCUAGCCACAAAAAAAAAAAAAAAAAAGAACACAUCGGCAGAAAGGUAUUUUUGGCCACGAUCAUCAUCACGUCGGCAAAAUACAUUUUUUGACCAUGAAAAAAUGCAGACAUAAAGGUAUUUUUACCCACUAUCAUCAUCAUAUUGGCAAAAAUACAUUUUCUGGCCACGAAAAAAACGUCGACAGAAAGAUAUUUUUACCCAUGCAUGGUCAUCAUCAUGUCGACAAAAUAAACUUUCUGGUCAUGUUUGUUUCGUUGGCAGAAACAUCAUAGGCAAAAACUGUUUCUGUCAAUGAAAAGAUUUUUGUCAUCAAAAACAAAAAAAAUUCCCACACUAAAUUCGUCAGUAAUUAAUAUUUGUCCUUUUUUUGCCCACGCACCGAAAGUCGCCAGAGUUUUCUAAUUGCCAACAUAUUUCUAACCACAAAGAAUGUGGCAAAAACGAUUUUUUCACAUUUAUUAUUAAUAUUGUAUGCUUAUAAUUAAUUUUUAAAUAUAGAAUGAAUUUUCUAACUAUAACAAAAUAUAUUGAACACUACGACAAAAAAUUUAAAAAUGAAAAUAUUUUCAACCAUUAAUAUUUUGUCAAAAUAUGACAAUCAAUAAUUCAACAAUAAAACAAUAAUUCUUUAAUUAGUAUGUCAAAGUUCAUGAGUUAUAUUAAAUUUCAUCUUGACAUAUCAAAAUGAACAAAAGAAUAUUAAAUACACAAAAAAUAGUUAACUCAGUCAAAAAGUUUCAAAAAAAAUACUCAUUCAAACUACCUAAACCUGAAAAAAGGUACAUUAAAAUGAAUAAGUUGUAGUGCGACUAUGAAACUAAAGUCUAACUAAAAAUGUGCAAAGUGUCUUAACUUUCAAAGCCAACUUACAAAAUAAGUUUCAAAUGCCUAAGUUUGAUCACAAAAUGCAAAACCAACUACACAAAUAAAUCUAAAAAGUGUCUUACUUCUACAAAUCAUCCGAAAAGCUAAAUAAAUAUCAUAUACUUUAAAAUGUCAUGUAUGUUUCAACGCAUCCAAAGACCUAAACAUGUCAUAGUUUUCAAUCAAAAUGACAAACUUAAAGUCCUAAAAAAAGUGAAGAUUCAAACAACAUACAAUUGGCCUAAGUGUCUAAGUGUCCAAGUCUCCAAGUGAUACUUCUAAACCAUAAAAAUACAUGCAUGAUUGGCUACGGUAACUGGAUAGCAACACAUAAUAUUAAAACAUGCUUUAACAAUAUAAUUUUUUAAGAAAAAUUUACGGUGGGGAAGAAAGCAACAAAGAAAACCAGGGGUGGGUUGCAACAAAUAAGGCGAUGAGUUUGUGAGGUGGCUGUUCACCGAUGUCCAGUACGAGAAAAACGUGGGAGGGUGGUGUUUUUCCAAGAAGAAAAGAAAAUCGGGGGGUGGGGGUCUGUCAAAAAGAAAACGGGGGAAGGAGGGGAAGGGCUUGUGAAAGAGAGGGAAUAUACGUGGGGAAAGGGAGGGAGAAGAAAAAGUGAAAUUAGGUUUUUAUUGAAAAAAAACUUAUGGCCACGUUAUUUGUGUCGCCAUAAGUAUGUAUAACAAUGUGGAGUUUUUCACCACGAAAAUUACGUCGUCAAAUAUUUAAAAUAUUUGUCUACACACAAUAAGUGGUCAUAAACUAAAAUAAAUGUCAGUAGAAAUUCAAAUUAAAAAUUUUCUUUUCCACCAUACAACUUUUUGCCCAUGUAUAUAUUUUCGUUGACAAAAACGAUAAUGUGCCCACACAAUACACAACUUUUUGUCCAUGUAUAUAUUUUCGUCGGCAAAAAUGAAGAUGUGCCAAUGGAAUGAAUUUACGUCAACACAUCAUAUCUUUCCCCAUAUUUUUUUUCGUUGCUAGAAAAAAAUGUCGGAGAGCAAAAAAUUCUUGUAGUGACAGUUAUUACAUAAGUUUGAUGAUUUAGUUCUCAUCAUUUGUGAGUAGAGAUGUCCACGGAGCAGGAAGGGUCUGGGGAUGCUACUCCCCAUCCUCGUCCCCACCCCUUUCCCAUUCCCUAUCCCCACCAAUUUUUCUAUGAAAAACGAGCAUGAUUCCCUGCGGAAAAAUAUUUCCUGUGUUUUUUUUAAAAAGUUUGAUCUCAUUUUUCAAUCCACAUUUACUCGAAAUGAAUAUACAUUUUUAAUGUUAUUUUAUUUUUGAUAGAAUAUGAUCAAUUUUUUUUAUUUAAAAUAAUCACAAUGUCAAAUUCUCGAAGUAUAUUUAAAAAUAAUGAAAAAAAAAUUAGUAUGAAAAAAAAUUAGAAAUGGGGUAUAACCCAAAACUAGUAGUUUUGGAUUUUCAAAGGAAGUCGUGUGUCGGGUACACGACUUUCACUAAUCCACAUAACACAUACUUUGAUCAGUUUGACCCACGUAAUGGAAGUUGUGUACCGGGUACACAACCUUCUUUAAAAAGAAUUAUUAAUAAAAAAAUUUGAAAUUCGAACCAUUGAAAUUGAAAACUAAAUGUUAAUAAAGAAAUAAUCAAAUUAAAAUUGGAUUUGAUCUCAAUUGAAUAAGGAAACAUAUUUUUAGGAUUGAAAAUUGGAAUAUUUAAUACAUAUAUAUAUAAAUAAAUAAUAAAAAAGUUUGAUAUAAAAAAAUAUUUUUCGAUUUGGAAUUUAGAGAUAUUGAAUAUAUACAAGGGAGUUUUAAAAGUAAUAGAUUUUACAAAAUACUUACAACCUAUAGUAAAUUCUAUGACUAAUAUGCUAUAGUGAUAGAAUCAAACCUAUAUGUAUGUAACCAACUAAUUUUAUCUUACAUUUUUUUUAUAUUCUUUUUUAAAAAAUAAUAAUGACUAAGAAAAAAAAUAUCUGUAGAGAAAGUUGGUAGAAAAAAAAUUGUUAAGUGAGAAUCAUUUCAUUAGCCUAGUGUCUUCAUUCUUUUUUUUCUACUUUCUCUUUAACAAAUCAAAUCAGGUUGUAAUAAACUUAGUUGAAGAUUGCAUUUGGUAGGAAUUUACUCCUAAAGAUCCUCACCUCAUGCAACAAGCCAUCACGGAUUUGAAUUCUUAUUUUUCUUUUCUUUUAUUUUGAAAAGAUAGAGAGAAAGAAAAGAAAAUGUAUAAGAAAAAUACAUUUUUGUUAGCUACAUUUUUUUAAAAAAUCCUUUAGCCUUUUUCUUCUCUUUAAAAAAAAUAUGGAGAAAGAAAAAAACAUAAAGAAAAUGUUUGUUUUUUUAAUUAUCGUCAUUUUAUUAUUAUUUUUUAAAUAGAAACUUUUGACCUUAAUUUUAUUUUCUCUAAAAUAUAGAGAAAAAGAGGCGAGAAUGGAGAAUAGAUGAAAUUUUAUCAUUAUUAUCAUUAUUACUGUUAUCAUUAUUAUUAUUCUUAUUAUUGCUAUUUUCUUUUUUCACUGUUUCUCUCUGUUUACUUAUUAUUAUUGUUAUUAUUAAUUAUAAUAAUAAUAAUUAUUAUCAUUCUUAUUAUUUUUAUCAUUACUGUUUUUUAUUUCGUUUAUGGGGGGCAACACCCGCUUGCCAUUUUCUUUCUUUAUUUAUACAUUCUUUCUUCUUUUUCUUUUCUUAUUUUAUUUAAUGUUAUCAUGUCUCCUUUCUUUACUUGCUCACAUUACUAUUGUUAUAUACACUUGAAUGUAAUUUUAAAUAUUUUAAAAUCCUUCCAAUUAAAAGUUUUAAUUUUUUAAAAUAAUUUUUUAAUUUUUUAAUAAAUUUAUCUUUAAUAUUAUAAAUUUUGUAUGCUUUUCAAAAUUUUCAAAAUUUAAUGUACGAUUUGAUAAAGUUUCAUAAAUCAAUCUUUUCUAUUAACUUAAUCAUUUUUUUAAAUAAAAUCGUAUGUGUAAUCUUGGAAGUUUGGUAGUAUGAUUUCUUAGAAUUCUUCAGGUGAGAGAUUAAUAUCUCUAUGAGUACGAGAUUUGAUAAAAAAAAAAUGAAUUUAAUUAAUAUUUUUAAAAAUAUCUUUAUUCGAAGGCUAGCCUAGAAUAGAUUUUGAGAAUUAGUAAUGAUUUAUCAUUUUCUUUUAAAUUAACUCUUUUGAAGACGCUGACCACUCGGCGUCAUCUCGGGUACGUGACGACAAUAUAUAUAUAAAUAAAUAAAUAAGUUGUUAAUAAAGAAAUAAUCAAAUUAAAAUGGAAAAUGUAAAUUUAAUAAGAAAAUUGGAGAUUGAGAUAUUUAUUACCUCGUGCAUUGCAUGUGUAUAUUUUGUAACUUUAAAUAUAUAUUAACAUUUGGAUAAAACAUUACAAAAUAGGUAUAGUUAAAACUAAUUCAAGUUGAUAUAUCUACCCAUUUGUAUGUUAAUACAUUCUUAUGUUUUGCAUAUACUUAAGUGCUAAUUUUUGAAUUUUUAAACUCUUGAAAAUUUUUCCAUAAUAUUAUUUUUUAAUUUAAAAAACUCUAUUAACUCGUUAAAAGACAAAAAAAAAUUAACAUCCCUCGAUAAUUCUUCAAUAAUAUAUUUACAAUGUGAUAUGUUUACAUAAUACCAAAAUCUAAUAUGAAUACGUGUGAAAAAGUUAGAUUAAAUGAUUUUUUUUUAGAGAUUUUGAUACAAUUAAAUGAACACUUUUUUUAAAGAUAAUGAUUGUUAUUAAUUUUAAUUAAUUACACCAAAGAGUUUGGCGAUUUUUAUGAAAAACAAUGGUCCGUUAAAGAAAUAUACAUAUAAGAUAAAAAAUGAACACCAAAACUAAAACUAAAAUAUUGAAUGAUUUUGUUUGUAAAUUGUAGGCUGUAUAUUCAUUCACAUACUUUUAUUCUCAAACUCUUUUCACUUUCAACUAUAUUGUUAAUAAUUAACAAUUAUUCAUGGAUUAUAUAUUAUUUAAAUUAUCCAGAUCAUUAAUAUCUCUAUUCACCUACACCAUCUCAUAUAUAAGUGAAAUUAGUGAAUCAGUUUAGUUUUUUUUGUAUGAAUCAAUACAAUUUUGGAUCAAAAGAAAAAAGAUUAAACUAUGUAGUUGUAUAUUUAUUUGGGUGAAAAAUUGACCAUAUAUGAAGAAAAUGAUUGAGUUAUAACAAUCUCAUACAAAUAAAACGAAAAAAAAAAGUAAAAAAAAAAAUUAUCAUAAGUUAUCAUAAAAUGACAAUACAGAGAAUUUGAUAGAUUUUGGUGGAGAUUAAUACAUUUAAUUUAGUAGAAUACAAAAAAUUGAAAUAACAAUUAGAAAAAGAAAUAAAAUUAAAAUUAAUAAUGUUGAAGUAUCUAAUAUAUGAUAAAAGAGGGAAGCUCACAUGAUGUUUUUCUUCCAUUUUUGUUUGUAUAUGCUUGAGUCGAGUCUAACUUUAAUAAUUGUUUGAUGAGAAAAUUUUAAAGAUAGUAGAUUUUACAAAAUAUUUACAACUUAUAGCAAAUUCUACUAUUCAUAGUUAUUUAUAUGCUACAGUCUAUUAUUGAUAGUCAUUCAUAUGCUACAUGAAUAGAAUCCAAAAUUUUAUUAUAGCUUGUAAAUAUUUUAUUUUAUUUUGCUAUUUUAAAAAAUGCUCCAUGUUUAAUAUUAAAAUUAUUUAUUUAUUAUAUUUAAAAUUAUAAUAACUAAAUAAUUUAUAGAUUAGAUUGAGAUCUAUCAUUUAAUUGAAUUGGUAACUUUUUUUUUUUUUUUAUUUUGUAUUCAUAUAGUACAAAAUACCAACGUAAUUAUGCCAAGCAUACAAAUUUGAGGAGCUUGAGUAAAACUAUAGCCAAUUUUGUUAGUUUAUUAUUUUCUUAAUCUUGGAAAUUCUUUUAAAAAAUAAUCAUAAUAAUUCAAAAGAAAAAAAAAAUCUUAAUCAUAAUUAUUUUCCUUAAAUUUUUUAUUAUUAAAUGUAUAUAUUAAUUUUUUUACUUCAUUAUCCUUUGUCAUGGUUUUAGCGAGAUAUAGUGUAAUAUAUAAUUAACACGAACAUGAAUAAGAAAAAUGAAGAUUGUGACUAAUCUAUAUUUUUUAAUAACAAUAGUAACACAUAACAUGUUUUUAUAAAAAGAAAUUUAAUAAGGAUAAUAACAUGAACAACAACCCUCCUUGACUAGGUGAGGUUGUUCAGGUGAUAGAAAAGAGAAAAAUGUAACUUCACUUUCCAAAUAAUCAGAAAAAGAAAAAAUGAGUUGUGGAUUGAUGAAAAAAAUACAGAUACAUGAAGUAUUGUUAUUGACUACCUCCUUCUUCAUCCCACUUUCUUGGACUUUCUUCACAUAAAUUGAUUCUUCAUUAUGUAUUUAUAUUACUUAUGGUAGAAUUUUGACAGUUUUGAGUUUCAACAUUAUAAUAGCAACAUUAAAAGUGAAUGGUUAUCUUCCUCAUAAUUAUCCAUUCAAAAUUAACUUAUCAGUUACAAGUAUUAAUUUAGUUUUUUCAUUUUUUAUGUCAUAUAUAUAUAUAUGUGAAGAAAAAAGAAGAAAAAUAAAAAAAAAAGUUUGUUAAUAAGGAAAUAAUCAAGCUAAAAUUGAAAAGUUGAUAUUAAUUUAAUUAGAAAAAUAUUCUUAGGAUUGGAAUUUAAAUAUUGAGAUAUUUAAUAUAUAUAUAAUUUAAUUAUGAAACAUAUUUAAUAUAUAUAUAUAAAAAAACAAUAAUGAAGGUGUGGAUGUUUGACCUACAUAGAUGACAACUCAUAUAAGUUGUGAAUCCCGUCCACGACCUCGGCUUAGUAGGCGGACAAUUCACUCAAAUAUAUACUUUCCCUUUUACCUCUAUUUUUUAAAACUAUUUUUUAAAAUAAUAUUAUUUAAAAGAAAUCAAAUUUUCAUUGUUUAUAAAAAUAAAAAUUCAACUAUUAGAAGAUACGUUUAGAAAUCCAUCCAUAAAAUUCAAUAGUCCAUACAAAAAAAAAUAAAAAAUUAAUCCAUAAGUAUCCUAUCAAAGCUUUUAAUUACAUCAUAUAUUUUAAGACACAACAACAUAAUUUUUUAAAUAAAAUUUACAAAUCACAAGUUACAAAUUCCAACUUAAGAGACAACAUAUACACGUGUACUUUUUUUAAAAAGUUCAUAAUAUAGAAAUGGAAUUAGGGGGAAAAAGUUCAUAACAUAGAAAUGGUAUAGAGAACAAAAAGAAAGGAGGAAGAAAAUGAGAGAAAUGUGGCGCGCACCCCUAUUAGCUUUUUUUUUUUUUUACUCUUUUUACGUAUUGUUAUAUAUAUAAACAAUUAUAUUUAUAUAUAAUUAUAUUUUUUGUUCAGGGCUAGGUUUGGGGCCUGGGAUUGUAUUCUCUGUCCUCGGUCUUGAGUUGCCAAUGGAGAAAAAAAAUUUCCACUCCCUCCCCCGUUCCUCGUGUAUUCGGAGAUUUCUCGUCCCGUUCAGGACAAGUCUCUGCAGGGCCCCCGCCCUACAUGUUAAAUGGAUAUGUCUUUUCAUAACAACCAUUUUCACUACAAGAUUACCAAUGCUUUUUUUAGUUCAACAAAUUACGAACGUAUAUCAAUAAUUUAAUUUUGAAGUUGAUCCUCAAGCAUAGAGAGUUCAAUAGCUGAAAAGUUUCUUAGAUAAAACUGAGCAAGUCAACUGAAUUGAUAUGGUACGUAUAUUCUAACGAUGAAUGGAAAAAAAAUAUUUUGUAGCCUUUAAUUCUAAAAUAAAAUAAAAUAAAUAUAUACCUAAGUAAUGUAAAUGUAAAUUUAAAAAUUGCAUAAAAAAAGAAACGAAAAAAGAAAAAAGAAAUAAUAAUACAUUUUUAAGUUGUUGCGAGAGUAGAAGUUUAGAUCAUCGACUUUGUUCAUUUUAUUUUCUAAAUUUUUGUUAGAUAACAAAUGACGGCUAGGAAAUAAGUGAAGGGUUUAUUAGAUUAUUUUUCCUCUUAUCAAAAAAAUUAUCUUCCUUUUACCAUAGUAGUGAAAUUUAUCAUUAAAAUUGACAUUUGGAGUUUUUGGAGAAAUAAAAUAAUUGAAAUUUAGAAAGAAAAUUAAUAUUUGAGGAAAGAAAAUUAUUGAAAUUUAGAAAAAAAAUUAAUAUUUAGGAAAAGAAAAUUAUUGAGAUUUGGAACAAAAUUAUUUUGUGAAAAUAUUUGCAACAUGGAAUUAAAAUUUAGAAAGAAAUUAUUUGAAAUAAAAUAUAUUUUGUGAAAAUAGUUGCAAAGUGCAAGAUUUAAAUAUUUAUGUUAGUAGUUACGAAGUAGGGACACAACCACUACACCAGAACCAAACUUGGGUUAAAAUACAACAUAUUAUUCAAUCUAUAUUGUAAACUGACACUUCAAAAUUAAUAUUAAAAUACAAAAAUCGAUAAUGUGAGAGAGCACAUGCCUUCAUUGCCCCUUAAUAAAUCAGUCCCUAUUUGUGAGUCCAAUUUUUACAAUUAUUGUAAACUUUGAGGGUCAAAUUUUAUUUACAAGUCUAAGAAACCAAUUAUUACUUUUGAAAGUUUGAGACCGUAAUUGCAACCACCACCAUACUUUAAGAGUAGUUUUUACAAUUUGCCAAAAAAGAAAAAAAAAGAUAUAAAAGAUAAUGUAGGUCUCUUAUAUCGAAAGAACAAUUUUGUUUUGGUUUCACUCUCGAAGGUCCCAUAUCACUAGAGUAGUUGUCCUCCAUCUUUUAUCAUUCUCUUAUUUAGCCAACGCAAGACUUUGGUUGCACUCAAACAAAGAUAAACUUACUAAGUUAUACAUCUCAUUUGUUAUAAUAGUGGUCGUUAAUAUGGUAGGAAGAUAACAACUACGAAUUAAUUAAAUAGUAAAUAGAAAUGAAUAAGACAUGAAAUAAAUUAAAAUAGGUUUAGAUGGAAGUAAGUAGAUUAAAAGUGAUUAGUUAAUGGAGAUAGUAAUCUUAUUUUGAUGGAAGAAGAAGAAUAGCAAUACAUGAAAAGGACAUAAAUGAGAUGAAGGGAAUGAAAGAGUUUGAUAGAAUUAAUAUGACUAAAGAAAAAUAAAAAAGAGUCAACUUAAGGGAAGAAAGGACAGAGAAGUACUUGCCAAACUAACUCACUUUUCACUUUCAUAUAUACUCAAAGUUAGUAGCCAAAUGAAUGAAUUGGAUACACAAUGUCAUUACGUAUAUGGAAACCAAAUUCUCUUUAGAUAUUUUUUUUCUCACUUCACUAUUCCAAUAAUAUUCUUCCAUGCAUAAAUAUCUUAUAUGUGGAGUCUACAAAAAAGAAGAAAAAGAACAUUAAAUUUCCUACUUUUUUUCAACCCAAACAAAAUCACGUGUAUAAUAUUAUCCAACCAUAACCUACCAUUCGGAUUCGGUUUUAGGUUUUUCAAAUUUAUUCCGCUAAUAUGAGUUUGGCAUGACAAUUUGUAUUCGAGAAUUUUUUUUCGAAUUAUGUGAUAUCCAUCUAAAUAGUAAAUUUUUUGAAAACAAUAUAUUUUUUUUAUUGUUUUGUGUAUCUAAAUAAUAUUGGACGUGAAAUAUUGAAACGAAGAAUUGUAUUAAAGAAAUAUUUAAAAUAUUUAAAAGUAUAACCAAAUAUCAUAAUUUAUCUGUGAUAGACUGAGAUAGAUUGAGACAGACUAUUAUUUAUGUUUAUUUGUAUCAUGAUAGACAUAUAUUAUAGUUUAUUGUAGUCUAUUGUAAACCGAGGAUGAUAUUUUUUUAUAUUUAUAAAUUUUUGGUUCAAUUGAGAUGAUAAUACAUUUAGUGUUUCAUGUUAUGAUUAAUUUUUGUUUUGUGAAAUCAAAAUAUGUAUAUUAUUAUUAUCAAGAAUUAUGUGAUAUUACAAACUAUUAGUUAUUACAAAUUUGUUUACACAAAUUUAGUGACUUUAUAGUUAUAGAUAUAUAUUAUAUCAAGCACAUUUGACCAUUGUUUAAAUUUGAAUUCAACCUCUAAAGUUUCAACAUCAUUAUUCAUUGGAUGUUUAUUAGUGAGAACAAGAGUUAAUUAAUAUUUUUAAAAUGUACCUAGUUCAAUUAAAAAAUGGGUAUACCAUCGUCGAUGAAGAGGUCUAAUCUUUCAACCCUUCCAAUUAAUAUGUUGAACUCAAAAGUGAUUAAUUCUUUUAAUACUCAAUGCAAAUAGAUUAAAACUAUAAGAAUUCUUUAAAGCUUAGAAAUUGAGGUUUGAUCAAUUUUUAAAGCUUAGAAAUUUCUAAUCUUAGUCCCUAAUAUGUUUGGCUAUUUUAUUUUCUAUGAUCAUUUAAAAAUAUUUUUUUAAUUAAGUGUAACUUAUAUUAUUUCAAUUUAACAGUCCUCAAAUUUGUUCCAUUUAUCUUUCAAAAGGUUUGUUAUUUGAACUAAGUAGAAUGAAUACACUUCUAGAACCUUAUCUUUUGAAUUUAUUUCAAGUUUCAUUUUCCCAAUAAUAAGAACAAUCAAUGUAAUGUCACUUUCUUAUACAAAAGUGGGGGAGUUGCCAGGGAGUUCUAAAAAAGUGGUAAGAACUUUAGCAAUAAUUGCUAACAUCUAAUUCAUAUGUGUAUGAAAGAGAUCAUGGCUAUGUUUGAAGAAUGAAUAUAUAAUGGAAGAUUGGAAAAAAGAAAAAGGGUUAGCUGCUAGGGCAAGUGGGAAGAUGAUAUUGAUACCUUAACUGGGGACAGUCUUCUCAUCUUUCUAACAUUAUUGAUCAUUUUGGCUUCUAAAGCUUUUACAUAAAACUCUUCUUUCAUCAUUCACACAAACAAAAAUGGAAACUUUUUCAUUAUUCCCAAUCCUUAGCUUAAGGCCCUCAAACUCCUAUUUGCUACCUAUUAUUUGAUUUUCGAUAUCCUCCAUGAAAGAUAUACUCUCUCUCCAUGCAAAUACAUGAUAAUUUGUUCAUGAUGUACCCAUCAAACCCUAAUUUCCUUUUUCUUUUUCCUUCAUGAUUUUGCAUCCUUUUGUAUUGACUAAGAUUGGUUAAUAAGCUCAUUUGUGAACCAUUUGUCUAUGUAUCAUGAUAGAAGAAUUAGUGAAUAUGUCGAUCUCUAUUUUCUCACAUGAAACUAAUCUUAAUUAAUAUUUGAGAAACUAUAUAUGUAUUUAAAAGGCUGACAAAGUAUCAAUAUCUUUAAUUUCAUUUUCAUAAAUAUAUCUAAUAAGUCAACUUAAAAAAUCAAUAUUUUCACCGUUAAAUGGUUGUUUCACAUCUAUGAUAUGGAUGAAAUCCAUACAAAUUAUUUGAUGCACAUAUAUAUAGGAAUUGAGUUAAUAGUAUCAUUGGAGAUGGUGACUGAUAAUCUUGUUCUUAUAUUAGAUAUUGACUUGAGGUAGAAAAUAUAAUAUUGACAUGUCAACUAAUCAGUAUCACCUCCACUUGGAUAGAAUUUUAUAGUAAACUAGAUUUGAUGGUUAAAAAUUCUCUAGAAAAGAGCUAAAAUAUCUUGUUCAUCUUAAUUAAUCUAGAAUAAUGGUGAUAAAAAACAUGUAAAUUAUUGAAAAAGUUAAAUAGAUUGAUCUUUUCUAUGACAAAUAUUUGGAAGACGGACGAGAUAGACAAAUGUGGACUUGAUAAUUUUUUUCGCGUGUACUGCUGUUCGUCUAAUCGGAGUUCUAAGAAAAUAAUAUUAUAUAAAUUUUUUAUUUAUUUAAAAAAUAAAACAAUUUAAAAUUUUCUUUUAAAGUCUAACAAUUAUUUCUUUAAAUAAAAGAUUUCCAUUUUAAAAUUCGUUUAACUAUUGUAUCAUUGCAUAUUUAUUUUUUUUAAUCGUUGAUCCGUUUUUUAUUCUUGACAACCGAGCCUAUAAAAUAUGCUCUCCUCUACUCUUUAAUUUAGAAUGGUGUGAGAAUAUUUAUCUUAUUCUCUUAGUUUGUUAUAUAUGUUCUCACUCGAUAGUUUGUUCCUCUCUAUUUUUCUAUACAAUUUGAAGAUAUUAACAUUAUGGUCGAUUCUGGUGCAAUUUCAAUUGAGACAGAAGUUAUUUGGAAUGUUUUAUUCAGAAGACAACAUGAUAACUAUCUCCAAUUUGCUUACACUUCGGGCAAAGGGAGCGAAACGUCUUGAAAAGAACAUGAUCAACGAUUCAACCAUUAACAUGUUUUUGUUUUCCAAAUUCUAUUUGUUGUUCUAGUUUUUUGUUUAGUCUCUGUUCCAGUAUUGUGGUUCCACAGAUCCGAUGUUUUUCGUUGGAGUUUCUAUUUAUGUAUAAUUAUUAUGACAUAAAUAUAUAUCUACAAAUAAAUGUAACAUAAAAAUUUUACACGCUUUUAAUUAGUUAUAAAAAUUAAUAUGGUGAUAAAAUAUAAAAUAUAAGAAACGAUAAAGUAUUAUUAAAAAAAUUUCUUCUAAUUAUUUUUUAAAAAAAAAUAAAAAAACAAAGAAAAAGUAAAUUGACCACAAUUUUGCUUUCCUUUAUUAAAAGUAGAUAAAAGUAAAAAUUGAAAAACAAGAAAUGAAAAUGUGACAAAAUGAGGCCAAACUAACAAAAGUCCUUAUAUAUUUAUUUUCUCUAACCAACCAAACCAAUUGAUAAACCACUGUUAUUGAAAUGAUCACCUUCUUAUAUAAAUAUCAUUAAAAAUAGAUAUCCUAUUAUCAUUAUAUUUGCGAGAGUAUCUGUUGUGUCAUGUGUUAUUUUUCUUUAUAUUCAAUACCUUUGUCGUGAAAUCUCCCUCAAGCUUGCCAAUUUAUAUAUAAAUAGUGACAUUUGAUGGUGGAUACACGAUAGAACAUAAUUUUCAAAUAAAUGGAAGAAGGUUGACUUUUUUUUAAAGAUUUUCUUAUUUUUUUUAAUUUAUUGUUUAUUUUCUUUAUAUAUUAUAUUUUAUUCCUAUUAUGUCAUAUUUUUACAACACAAGCUCUAGUUGUCUUCUUCAUUGAAGGUAGGUUGGUUUUUCUUUCAUUUUAUUGUAAUUAAUAAAAUAAAAUUUAUUUUGAACAUUUGAUAUAUAUUAAAUUUAUAAUAUAAUUACAAUGUUUUGUAAUAAUAUUACCUUAACAAAAUAUUCAAUUUUUUUUUUAUAAAAUAACAAUUUCUACAAUCUUUUUUAUAAAAUAACAAUUUCUAUUAUUUGAGGUUCCAAAAUUUCAAAUCAAUAUAUUACAAAAGAAUUUUUCUAUGCUUUCAGAUAUGCACUUACAGUAGCUAUUUUGAAGAAUAUUAUGUACUUAUCUAAUGUCUUGUCGUAGAUGAACCAAAUAAUUAAUAACACAUUGUUAUCUAGUCAAUCAAAGAGAAAUUUAUUGAGUUUUAAAAAUAUAUGUUGCAAUAGUUAUCAUAUUAAGACUAGUAGAAAUAAUGUGAUAGAAUAUAUUUACAUAAUAUCUACAGUCUCAUACGAAAAAUGUAUAUUUAAAAAAUUGUUUGCUUUUAUCUUCUAGAUUAUAUUAUACUCACAUAUGAGGUAAUUGAUCAAAUAUACGCAAUAAUGAACUUGAGGUUCAUGAAUUAGACAUGUUUACAAUUUGACGUAAUCGAUUGGAUCAUCCAGGGUCUAUAAUAAUAAGAAGAAUCAUUGAAAAUUCAUAUAGACAUCCAUUGAAGAGCCAACAAAUUGUUCAAUCUAAUGAAUUAUUAUAUAUGAUGCUUGCUCUGAAGGCAAAUUAAUAAUUAGAUCAUCAAGAACUAAAAUUGGAAAUUGAAUCACCUAUAUUUUUUAGAACGAAUUCAUGGUGAUAUAUGUGGACCUUUUAUUCUAAGUGAACCAAUUAAGUAUAUAUGGUAUUAAUAGACGCAUCCAGAGAUGGUCACAUAUAUGUGCUUAUUAUUAAUUCACCAAAGAUUGACAUUUGGUAAAAUUGGUAAGAUAGACAUAUUCGUGAAAUUUUCAAAUAAAUGAGAGAAAGUGGAUUUUUUUAGAUUUUCUAAGUUUUUAAUUAUUUAAUUGUUUAAUUUAUUUAUAUAUUAUAUUUAAUUGUUUUAAUUAAUAAUAUUUUUUUGAUUGAUUUUAAUAUCUGGAUUGUCCCUCAGUUUUUACCACACAAUGUUUUUUUUGUUUGAACUCCAAAAAUGAUUUGGUCAACAUUGCAAGUUGUAAGAUGGCUAAUUUAUAAUUUCCAAUCACACAACCCAACUUUUUGACAUAAUUGGCAACUAGAAAACAAUAAUUAUCCAUCUUAUUAACCCUUACAAACCCACCAAACUCAAUGCAAAUAGAAAAAGGCAAAAGUAUUCAAAACCCACCAACCAAAACUAUUGAAUUAAUAACUCAAAAGAAAAGAAAAAAAAAAAGAUAAAGAUAUAUCUUAUAUGAUACUAAAGAACACACCCCACGAAAGAAAAAACCCCCUACUUUUUAAGUAUCAUUUUCAAUUAAUAAGCCAAAUGGGUGAAUAUGGAUGGUAGGUUCAUGAAUGGGGAAUCAGCACAGUGAUUGGCCAUUAUCAUUGUACUGUUUUUCUUCCUUUUAAGCUACCAAAACCACAUGACUUAACUUUUCUCAUUUAUAAAAAUGUGAAGUGAGGGUUUGAAUUUUGAAAUAAAAUUUGAUUUUCAGUCCCCCCAUCUCAAAAGAAAAGUCCCUGUUUCUUAAAGUCUUAUCGAUGUACUAUUUUGUAGACUUACAUACAUAAAUCAUGGCAAAUUUAUGGGGAAAAAGUGAGGAAAAGUUGAUCCAUUGGGAUCACAGACACACACAUAUAUACUUUGUAUACAAGAUAAUUACAUGCAUGUGAAAGAAAAAAGCAUGCAUAUAGAUACUCCUGUAUAUGUUAUCUAGAAACAAGAAUGAGUGUUUUACGGUACAUUGUAGACGCGUAAUUUGAAUGUAAUUGAAAGUAAUUACAAGAGCGUAACUAUUCAUUUCUCAUAAUUGAGUUUGAGAUAUGCCUGUCUUUUUUAAUAUAUCCCAACAAGAAAAAAAAAAGUUUGUUUGUCCAAGAAUGUUUUACUAUUAUAGAACUUAUUUGUUGUAGUUUAAAAUUCUAAAAACUUUAAAUUGGAGUAGAAUAUUCGGUCAACAUAUAUAACUCUAGCUUAUUUAUUUGGGCAUUUUUAAAAAUAGCAAAAUAAAUCAAAAUAUUUACAAGUUAUAACAAAACUUUGGAUUAUAUCAAUGAUAACUAUGGGUAGAUUUCUAUCACUGGUAUUCAAAUAUAUUAGUGGCCAUCAAUGUCUAUUAUUGAUAAAAUUUGAAAAGAUUGUUAUAUGUUGUAAAUAUUUUGUCAAAUUUACUAUUUUUGGUAAUUUAUUUAUUUAUUUUUGUUUUAGUAUGAUAACUUUUCUUUUUAAUUUUUGUUAGUGAUCACAAUAAUUUCCACCACAGUUUCUUGUGAUUUAUGACUUAAUAUAGUUGUGGGUAGCAAUUAUGAUUUAAAAUUGUUUAAUUUAUUUUCUACAAUUAGUUCAUCAUAUAAUACUCAAAAGUUGGUGAAGUUGUAGGGCUCUUAAGCUUAUCCAACAUGUGAAUUAUAUUAAUGAAAAUUGGAUUGGAAAGACAAUAACAAUGCAACAAAAAAUCUCCCAAAUACAUUGUUUUGGUCACUAUUUUUCAGAAUGAUGCAUAUUGUGCAAUGAACCCAAAAAACUGAAAAGUAUAUUAAGAUUGUUCCACACUUUCUUUUUUCAACUAAAAGAAGCUUUUUAAGUAUUCUAUAGAAGAAAUUUAACAAACUAUAAAGAGGACGAAAAAUAAUUCCAUCUUGUAUGUACACAUGACUAAAUCAAAUCAACAAAGCUAUGAACAUUAACACUACAUCGUAUAUAAGAUGAAAAUAUACUUAAAACUAAAUGAAAAAAAGAAUACCAUAAAUCGAAAAACAUGUCCUAAAUCAUAGUUAUAAUAUGGUAUGUAUCUUCUAAAAACAUAAGAGAAAACAAACCUAUCCUAGCAAAUAUAUAUGCAGAUAUAAUUGGGAUGAAAAAGAAGAAAAAAAAAAUCCCAAAAAGGCUAUGAGAAUUGAGUAUUUACAUUAGAGACAUUGAAAUCAAAACAGUGGAUUGAUAUGUCAUUUCUCUUUCAAACAUUUAUGAUUGAAGUGUUUGUAACACAAAAGGUUGGCCACUUUGACACAUAAGAGAUUUAUUGUUAUUUAUUUAUUAUUUGUUAUUAUUGCAUUGAUUCUUAGUAUUUUGUAGGCAUAUAAAAGAAAAAAGGUAGAGUGUUUCUUGGAAGUUUCAAGGCAGAGGACAUAUCUUUGUAACUUUGUACACAACAAAUAUGCAACAUGUCGUGUUUUGCUAAAGAUUCAUUUAAAUCAUUAUUUUGUUUGAAUUUCUUUUGGAAAAAAUAUAUUCAUCUUUAUUUUUACAGUAAAAAACACCCUAUUAUUAUAGCUCUAUAUAUACUCAUUUUUGUAGGUCUCCUGGAACAUUUGUUUUAAGUUCUUGUAAAGGUCAGACUGAUCUUUACAUAUGUUCGAUUCUAAAACUCCGUCUUGUCAAUUUCUGUUUUACAAUAAUUAAAACCGCGUUUCAAAAGUGUAUCAUUUGUAACAUAUAUACGCGUUUGUACAAAUUUGUUUACUCCUUGUCAAGUAAUAAAAGUAAAGAAACGCCAAACAUAUAGUUCAGCUACAACUUGGUUGACACACUCUAUUUCUUUUCAACAGAUUAAAACUUCCAAACCUUUAUUAAAAGAGAGAAAAAUUAAUAUGUCCUAUCAUUUUUUAAUCUAAAUUUUCAAAUUUUCAUCCAAUUUUAGACCCUAUACUUAGUUUCCUGUUGCAAUUCUAUCCAAUUUUCAGGAAUUCAUAUACCUACUAAUGUAACUGAUCUCGGUAGCUAUAUGAUAGAAAAUACAAAUACUCAGAUUAGAAAGAAGAAGAAAAAGAGGGAAAUAAAGUCAUCUUAUUAUUAUAUUACAUCUAUAUUACAAUAUAUAUUUUAGAAUGGUUUUCGAUCGAAGGGAUUAUGAAUCGAAAAUGAAACGGUCUCUAGCUAAACUAUAAGCCAAAUCAUGGGGCUUGGUCGAAAACAUAUAUAAAUAUAUAUGAAACAACAUAACACCUUGCUUUGAUUAUUAAUUACACUAAUAAAUAACACAUGUGCUUUCUCACACUAUAAGUUCCUUGCACAGUGUAAAUGUCAGACAUGUCUUCAUAGUAUUGUCCAUGUGUCCAUAAAUUUUUAUGAAAAAAAAUAUAUGAACAAAGUGAUAGUGACAGCCAACUUUCAUAUUUCUUCAAAAUUCAUAUAUAUUUCUUCAAAAUACUAUAUGACAUGCAUGUUCUAUUUUGGACAUAAGAGAUAGUUGUUCGAACAUCUCUUUAUCUAACUAAUGUGCAGAUUUUUAGUCGCAUUUUCUAAGAAUCCUCUGCUCGAACAUUACAUGGACCACCAAGUCUUUCAAAUAGUUCUCCAUCUAUCUAACUUUUAUACACACUAACUUCUCUUUCUGGAGUGCAUUGCUUAUCCAAUAGAGUUCAACUACUAGACCAAGUUAUGAUAUACUUUUGAGGCUCCACUAUAUGUUUGUUCAACAUUUGAGGAUUUCUACCGAGAUAGCUAAAUCAGAGGCAUGACUAUGUCCUAAAACUUGUGAUAAUUUGUAAAUGUUAAAUUAUUCUAUUAUUCAAUAAAGUUGUCAUUGAGGUAUUAUUCAAUAAAUUAUUAUCAAAUAGAUGAUUUGCACGUUAUAGACUCUGAAUCCAAUAAACUAAGCUUCUUUGACUAUAGUAUGAACGCUAGAACCUUUAUUUAGUGAAAUAAAAGUGGAUCGCGUUCGAGUUGUUAAUCUAAAUGAUCUACAAUAUUGGUAUGAAACUCGUGUUCUGAAAUGCGUAAGGGUUGUUAGAGGUUGUAAGUAUUCAGUAUAAAGCUUAGGCGUUUUGAAGGAAAGAUUAAGAAUUUGGCGUUUCAAAGAGAGGUUGCAUUCUAGCAAGGUGAGGCGAGGAAGGUGUAGUUAUGUGUUCUGGCUAGUUGACACGAGGAAGGGUAAGUUGAAUUUUUAGCUAGGCGAAGAAAAAAAGUUGGGAAAAUUAAGAGGAUUCACUAAUUUGGGUUAGUCAGCAAGUUACAUGUUGGGUUAAAAUUAAUUAAGCAUGGUUAAAAGAAAUAUUGAACCUACACAUGUAAGUCACAAAGAAGGAGGUGACAAGCGAGAAUGAGUUUAAGGGUGACUAAUCUGGUUUGGGAUUAGUAUAAAUAAGCUUUGUAAUUAAGUCCAAAGGAUAGAGGUUACAAAGAAGUUCUAAGCGAAGCUUUAUCAAAAGAAAAACUAAGCGAUAAGGGGGAAGAAGAUCUAGGCGUUAACAAGGAAAUUAAGUAAGAAUAAAAAAGAAGGUUUAGCUUUGUGAGUGAUUCUUCUAAAAUAAGGAGUAAAGUUUUCUAAGUAUUUCUUUCAAAGUCAUGUUAUGUUGUUAUGUAAAGUGUAUUACUUUUUGUAUUCUUAUUUAUGAUUUAUUUGAAAAGUAUGACUAUUUGAAAGUAUUAUUUCUACGAGCUAAAGUAUAAGUUUCUUAUAAUGCUUGUAUGCAAGUAAACCAUUAACUUUAUUUUUAUCGAGAGCUAGCUAUUAUGUGCACAUAAAAGUAGUGACAGACCCUUGUGUUGGGUGAUUUGCUUGGUAAAAGGAAGGAUGAAUGCGCUGAGUGGUCCAUGUUCAAGUCUAUCGCCUGAGCAACUAGAGUUGAACUAGGGUCCACAGAGAUAUACUUGUGGUGAAAAAUGAGAAUCAUCACAAUAGUCUAUGUGUUGAUGAAGUUCAAUGUCCCGGUGAGAGGAAUAAGUAGAGGCUAAUGUGAUUUGUGUUGUUUAGCGCGUGAUGCGACAUUAAGACAUUUCUGAAAAUGAGAAAGUUUUUAUUGUGUGCUUGUGUCCCCCAAGAUGUUUUCUUGAAAUAUCACUCACUAAGCAAUAUUAGACUUAUGUUUUACGUUUUCUUUCCCUAGGCAAGCGAGGCAUGAAAGCUGCUAAGACGAAGCAAGCUACUAAUUAAGUUGCUAGGCGCUGAAGUUCUGAAACUUGAGUUUUAGUUUCAUUUAAAGUGUUACUUGUAUUUGUAUCAAAAUGUUCGAGGAAAUUAUUAAAAAAGUUGUUAAGUUAUUUCAAAGUUUAAAGUGCUACAAUUAUUUAUCCCCAAACACGUCCUUAAGAAGUUAAGUUCAAGUUUAAGGUUAAGAUUUAAGCGUUUUGGCACUUCAUUUAGGAGUGUUGGGAUUGCCCAAGUCACAAAACCACACCUAAAACACAAAGGAAUGUGUUCUGGGUAGGGGCGUGACAAUAGGAAUAUGGUUGAGCAUCUUAUUCUUGAGACACUAUGGUUGUGGUCCGCUUUAUAUUUAAUACAAAUGAUGUGAUCCUAAGCUCAUGUUGGCGAGAUAGUCACUUUUACAUUAUAACACCAUUUACUUUUUAAAACUAACUAUUUCGAUUUUGAUGACCUAGGUAACUCGAUUUUAAUCCUAAGCUAACUAUGAACUCCUGUUUUAUUUAGGAUUAUCCUUUAAUCUGCAUAGUUGAGAAAAUCUCACUUCCUUCUUCUCUAACUCUACUACUUUUUUUCCUUUGAUUUUAGCUCUAUUUAUAGUGACAUUCUCAUCCAAGGAUCACAUCCAUGCUUUACAUGUGUCUCCUUGCAAUUUUGUUGCGUCAUGCAGCUAAUCUCACACCUGACACAUGGUCUGAACAUCAACAUGCGACUAUGUGUGACAAGCACUACACUAGUUUACAUGUUAGCUCUUCUCUCCUUAAAAUAAAAUUCAUUGAUCAUAUCUUAAACUAAGUUGAAAAGUUGAGUCGUAACCGAAGUUGUCACAAAUGAAAAGGUCAGAUUUGUUUUUUCAUUUCAAAAUUUGAUAUAUUUAAAAUUUUGAUAUAUUUAAGAAAUACUUAUAUAGUAUUUUUUUUUAUUAAUGAAGCAUAAUUAUGAGGUGUUGGUAGAAGUCAAUCUCCCAUUUCCUUAUUUAGUGCUGCUAAUUUAUAAUCUUGUGGAUCAAACGAAAUUGGGAAGAGUGGUGUUCUUCAUAUCUUAUCGAGGCUAAAAAAAAUUAUCUAUGGCAUAAUAAUAAUAUUCUACAACUUUCCUAACUAUUUGGAUCCAAUUUCCUUCGCUUUGGAGUUGGAAUGAUAAGUAUUAUAUUAUCCUUUUGUUUUUUAGUAUAUCAUUUAAGUUAGUAUUUUUUAACUUAUAAUGUCCAAGAUUAGGAGGGAGUCAUAAAUAAACCAAUAUUACUUCUGAAUGAGAGGGAUCCUGAAGAUAUGAAAGUAAAGUUAAAAAAGAAUUAAAAGUUAAUACCUAUACCAAUAAGGUGCACAUUUCUUUUCGAUGACUUGAUCAUAGGAACUCCAAAGUUAAGUGUGCUUAGCUUAAAGCAAAUUCUAUGUUGAAUGAUGGGAAUAUUCCUAGGAUGCAUGUGAAUGAGGAUAAAACAUGCUGAAAUGACUCAUGUUGUUUUGUGGGGAGAAUUUUCACUCUAGUAAGCCUUAAGAAUAGUAAGGAUGAUGUUGCUAGUUUGCAGGGGAUGCAGGAGAAUACUGGAGAUUCGAAUCUUGUGCUUGGAACAUUACAUAACUAUUUUUUAGAAACUCGAGUGCCUUUUCUUUUUAUAAUUUAGCCUUAAAGGAAAGCAACCUCCCACAUUGAAAACUAAAAUAUAAAUUUACAAAAUAUCAUAUGACAAUUUAGUAGACUACAGAUAAACAUAAAUAAUCAUCUAUUAUAAUAGAUAGACUAUAAUAUUUUGCUAUAUUUUGUAAUAUAUUUUCAUUUGUUUGGCUAUAUUUUAGAUUAACCUCCACUCUUAUGGUAUAUUAUUUAUUAGAAACCAUGGUUUAAUUGUUUGAGGGAGGUCGGGAAUGUUCCAGUAAACAGUACUUGAUCUCAUGGUCUUAAUAGAAAGAAAAAUUAGUGUGGUAUGUAUAAGUUUGAUAAUGAUUUUAUGUUUAGUUUUCAAUUAUUACUGUUAUUCUUUUUAGAAAAAAUUAUGCAUUUUUUAUCACUAUUUAUAUUUAGUUUGGAGUUCCUAUCUCUAAAAACAAGAUUUAAAUUUUUAGUUAAAUUCUUAAAAGCGAGAAACGCAUCUUUAAAAACUAAUUAAAACUCAAAGGAUUAGUUCUUUAAAAUCUUGAUUUUAUUUUUUAAAUUUUGGUUAAUAAUUUUAAUGUUUCUUUGAUAAGGAUAAAAUUCAUAAGGAAACUAUAAGAAAACAAAUUUACUUUUAAAAAAUAAAUAAAAAUAAAAACUUUCUUAUCUUAUAAACCAUUUGGUUUUUUAUUUCUAGUUUUUCAAAAUUAAAUCCAUAAACAUCAAUUUUACCUCUUUUUCUUAUCUACUUUUUACCAUUAUUUUCACAACUCAACCUAAAAUUAAAAUUAAAAAUAUAUACUUUUUUAAAAAUUUAAUUUUGUUUUUUUGGAAUUUGACUAGGAGUUUCACUCUUACAUAAAAAAGAUCUAAACCAGUGUCAUAAUUUGAGAGAAAAGUAAACUUGAUUUUUAAAUAUCAAAAAAUAAAAACCAAAAUGUUUAUCAAACAAUAAGACUAAAAUAUUUUGAGAAUACAUCAAAUUACCACUCUGGCUAGAUAAGCGGAUGACUGUUGGCUUAUAAGCGAAGGAAGCUAGAUAAUAUCAUACCAACAUGGAGAUAUACCUAGAGCUCCUGGUCUCUAACAGGAACUAUUAGAAUCAUGUAUGAUCCAACUUAUCUAUAUAGGUAGAAUCCCUAGGACAAAGUGAAAUGCUCAAGUAUAAUUUGGUGGUUGAGCUUUCAAAAUAGGCAAUAUGGGUUCAAGUGGGGUAAUCCAAAGAGAUAACUCUUUGAGAGGAGAUUAGAUGACCCUUUGUUCAGGUGUAGGAUUAUUAAGAGUGCAAUAUCCUAAUUGACUUUAAGGGGAUGAUCUCAAAUAUGUCUUUGUAAUAGCAUAUGAGGUGAGACCUUUUGAGUUAAAUUAGAAGAAAAGCCAUUAACACUUAAAGUGGACAAUAUCAUUCUAUUGUUGAUAUAUAUAUAUAUAUAUAUUAUAUAUAUAUUUGAAGUUUUAUCGUCUCUAAUAAAAUGGUUAUCACCUAGAUCCUUAACCGACUUCUACCAUCGUAGAAAUAAUCUUUUGUUGAUCUAAUCCUAAUCAAUAUGAAUUUAAAGGGUUUAACAUGUUGUUGAAAUAUAUAUAUAUAUAUAUAUGCACUCAAGCAACUCAAGAAAGGAGUUGAGCAAGCAAGCAUGUCCUUGGAUUCAUUAAUUCAAAAGUAAGAUAGACAGAAAAAGUUGACAAGGAAGCUCUAUCAAAAGGCAUGUAAUUCAUCUAAAGAUGCUUUUCUAUUCUACUCAACACCCUAAGCUAUCCUAGGAUCAUCGUCAACUUAAUAUAGGGUAUUUCCCAAAUCAUGAAAACUCAUUCUAGAGAUUUAUUUUAUUCUAUCCUUUUAAGGAUAAGCUCCCAACAUGUUCAAUCAAGUGUAGAUAUAGAAGCUCAUUCUAGGGAGCAUUUAUUUCCCAAUCUAUAGCUUCCUUCCCUAACUAUAUUCGUGAUUAAUCAAUGUGUGGCAUUUUUAAGUUUGGUGCACUUUCAUUAUACCAAUUCAAGAGACUAUAUCUCUAACAACCGUCCAAUCAAAUCAUAUCAUAUGGUAUUUCAAGAUUUAUUACUAAAAUUAUUUAAUUUUUAAUACACCCAUUAUCUUAAUAAAAUUUGUCUAAUUCAAAGUAUAUGAAUGAUCAUCAUAUAGUGAUUUACUUUACCUUAUUUAUAUACUUUUAGUAACAUUUCAACUCCAUGGAUUAAAUUGAAUGUUAAGUAUGAGACCUAACAUACGUAAACAAUCAAACAGAAAUAGAUUGAAAACAUGUUGAAAUUUUUUAAUAUUAUUUUAUUGUAGUGAUAUAUAUUUUCUUUCUAAAAAGAGUUACUUCAUCUUAGAAUUUCUCUCCUAAUUUCUAUAUAUUGUAGUCAAGUGCUUGUUUUAAUGUGUUGGUGCAUGAAUGCUCAUAGUCAUGCUAGGGCUUGGUUAUAUUUUUCUCUUAUAUAUACUAUUUUAAUUAGUGUUUUUUUUUUCAAUAAUUGAUGUAUUAAUUUGAAUAUUCAAAUAAGAGCUUAAAUUAUGAACCUUACUACAACCUCAUGAUUAUCAAGUAAGAACAACGAGGCUUUUUGGCUUUUGUCUUAAGGGAUGAUUAUAAAAAGUAGGAUCAAUAUAAUGGUCACAUCAACAUGAGUAUGCUUCAAAGGGAAUAGUGCAUGUGUGCUCCAGAGACUAGUAAUCCCAUGCACACAUAUAUGAUUGGUAAUUGAAAUCUAACAUAUAUCAUUGGUAAUUGAAAUCUAUCAAAAGGAAUAGUGUGCUCCAAAAUAAAAGAAAAAGAGUACUUGAACUUGACAAAUAAGUAAUAAACUUUCCAUUUAAUAAGAGUGAACAGAAUAUAUAUAACCAUCAAAGAGGUUGAUGAUUCUCAAGAGUACAAUUGAAGUACUCUCAUCAGCUGAGGAAGAAAGGACGUGUUAAAAAGGGUUGAUUUUAUUAAAUUUAUCAUAAUUUACUAGUUAUUUAAACUUUUGGAUCAAUAAGUGGUUUAAAAUGGUAUUAGAGCAAAAAAAACUUAUAAAGAUAGACUAGAGAAAACAGAGUAAUUUUAUUAUUGAAACAGACUUGUAGUUUAUCUGGUGGGAGAGGAACAAUAUGCACUUUAAUUGAGAGGAAAUUAAAAGAAUUAUACGCUGGAAUUUAAUUACAAAGAGAUAGAUAGAGAAUACUCAAAACAUAUAUAUGAUUUUCAUAUUAAUAAAAAAAUAAAAGAUUUAAGCGAUGAUGAAUUAUACACAAUUAUAUCAACCAACCCAAAUAUGUUAGCUUUAGAAAGUGAUUUUAAAGAAGAAAAAACUGAAACUAUGUAGAUAGCACAAAAUCAAAGAUUCCAAAUCAGUCUCUCUCUUAAUGUAAUGAAAAUGUAUAUGAAACCCUCUUGGUUUUUUAGGCAUCAUAUUAUGCAAUAAUAUGAGAUCAUUUCACCAUUAAUUUCUAGUCUUAUAUGAUCUUCUUCUUGACUUUUCUACACAUGAAACAGUAAAUACCAAACACAUCAAAGCAGGUAGAAAGUUGGAAUCUUUAUUAAGAUAAAAGGAUAGGCAUAAAUGGGAAGAAGAAACAUAAUUAAGGGAUAUUCAAUUAUAUGUUAUUAUUUUAUUCAUGCCAACAAUAAUAAUCACUGUUCAUCAACCACGCUCUCAUUAAGGUUGCAACAAAAAUAUUUGGUUUAGAGAAGACUUGAGACCAUACCACCUUGUUUUAAGGAGAAAAAUUAGCUUAUAAUAAUAUUUAUAAGGAAAAAUACAUUAUAUUUUGUUUCUUUAUUUUAGAUUGGUUUUUAUUAAGUUUUAAGAUUUUCUAAUUUUAUCUCUUAAGAUUUGAAUUUUUCUUUCAAUUUCAUCUUUAAAUUUCAAUAUUCACACUCCUUUACAAACUUUUGAUAUAUUUAAAUGAGUUAAAAAACUAUGAGUAAUUAAGUUUUUUUUUUUUAAUUACUGUUAUAAUUAAAUUUAAUAUUUUUAUUUAGUGUGAAAUAUUAAUUAACAUGAAAAGUGCAUACAUUUUGAGAUCGAAUUUGAAAAAUAGUUUUAACAUUUUAAAAUCAAACAACUAUGUUAAAACCAAAUUCAAAAUUUAAUAACUAAUUUGAAAUUUAUAGGUUAAAUAAAUGCUAGAUUCUCUUAAUAUACUAAAAUUAGCCAAAUUCUUCUUCCUUCUCCUUCUUCAAUCUCAAUCAUAAUUGUUGCUUACUACCAAAUGAUGAAGGCAUUCUUCAUCACAAUCAAUUUAUAUAUAUAUAUAUAUACACACACACACACACACCCUCAUGCUUUACCAAUUCAUUAUCUUAUGUCGUUUUUCAUUUUUCAAUACAUAUGUUGUCGGGGGAGAGAAUAUAGUCUAUACCAUGGCAAAGAUUUUGGAUCUUUUUCCACUCAUUUAUAUUGGACUUUAUCAUGUGCAUAAUAAUAAUAUGCAUAUCUAUAUCUUUUUUACGUGAGAUAUUCAUCAUACCCAUUAAUGGAAAGUUUUUGGUUGAGAAAUCCUCAUCUCUUAAUCCCCACGCCAUCAAAUAAAUGAAGAAUUUGGAACGAAAUGUACGAGGAGAUCCAAAACCCCAACAUAUGAGUUCUUAGUGAUCUCACCAUUUAUUGGUAUUUGUUUAUAUUUUAUUAUGGAUCACUAAAAUCGAUUUGAUAAUAAGAGGAGUGAGCAGUAAUAUUUGGUAUAAUUAGUUCCAACAGCAUUCACAUUUACAUUAAUUUUACGUUUUGUAAACACCUAUUCUCUCUCUCUCUCUCUAUAUAUUUUCUCUCGCAUGUGUGUUAUUCCAGCUUUAUCUCAUCUAUCAUCAACACUUACUUGCAUCACCAUAAACACAAAUUCAACUAUAUCAUUAGAUGGGUCAACUAGGAGAAUAGCAAUUUUAAAGUUGUCAUAUUAAAGAAUAGUAAAAUCACUUUUAUUUUCAAAAAUGGCACCAUGAAAAAAAAAUACAAUAGAUAAGAAUUUGAAAAAAUCCAAAGUACCCCUAUACAUAAAAUGUAAGCUACUUUCUUAUAGCUAAAAUAGAAAAAAUACACUUUAAUAAAUUUUGAAUACAUACUUGUUAAAUCAGAGUUAGAACCCGUUGCAACGAUCUUCAGGUUUCAUUUUUCAUUUUUGUUUUUCGUUUCUCAUCUUCCAUUUUGAAAAUCUUUCUUCGUCUCCACUUUCCAUUUUUCUUUUUUGAUCUCAUCUUCUUCGAGCGAACAAACCCCAAUCUCCACCCUCUUCCAUUUGAAGUUUUAGUUUCAUCUUCUUUCGUCUCCACUUUCCAUUUCUCCUUUUUGAUCUCAUCUUCUUCGAGCUAGCAAACCUCGAUCUCCACCCUCCUCCAUUUGAAGUUUAAAUUUCAUCUUGAAAUUCAUCAUGCAUUUUCAAGAAGAAGAAUAUAAACAUUUGAAGCACGCAAACACUAUCUUUUCAUUUUCCAUUUUCCAUCUUUGAUUUUCAAGUUUACAACUUGUAAAGCUUGGGUGGAAAAACAAAAAUUUUCACUCAAAUAAAAAAGAUACAAAAUUUAUCUUCCUUGUCUAUCACGGGAAUUUUAAAUUAUUAUUUUUAAUUAAUAUUAUUUAUUUAAUAAAAUAUAUAUGAAAUUUAGGAGAUUUUAUCUAAAAACACAAUAUCUUAGCCUAUUUUAUUGAAAAAAAAUAAAUUAAGAUAAACUAAUUUUAAUUUCUAAAUUAUUAAUUGUUGAAAGGUUUUAACUUAUUUUGAAAUAGGGUUGAAAUUUAAUUUUCAAAUAAUAAUAAUAAAAAAGUUGAGAUGUUAAUAGGAAAACUAAUUUUAAUAAUUUCAAAAUUAAAAAUUUAAAAAUAAAUUAAGAUCUAAUACAUUAUUUUGAAAUAAAAAAGAUGAGGAAAAUGUUAGUAUUUUGAAAUAAAAAAAAGGUUAGAGAUUUAGUCAAUAAAAAUUAAUAAUAUUAUUAUUUUGAAAUAAAAAAUGAAUAAAGUCAUUAAAAUCUUAACACAAUAGUGAAAUUAAAAAAAAUGAAUAAAGUUAUUGAUAUCUUUUAAAUCCUCAUAUGUUGGGAAGAGGUUAUAAUAGGGUUUUCUACCUUAUUAAUAUGUCGAUGUUAAUUACAUACUCAUAAUUGCAUAUCACAAAUUAAUUAUAUUGGAAAGACUUUUGAUAAAUUCAUAAUUGCAUAUCACAAAUUGAUUACAUAGACAAGACUUUUGAUAAGAACAUAAUAUAUAAGAACAUAAUAUAUUGAAAUAAUUAGAUUAAUUACAUUUUUAAACCAAUGUUGAUAUAAAAUUUAACUUAAUUAAUGUUAUUAAGUUAAAUGAACAUGUUUUGAUUUAAAAGUUAUUCUAAACACAAUUAAUGUAAUUAUUUUCUAAUUUUAAUUCAUUUCCCCAUGAUAUAAAUUAAUGGUAUUGAAUUAAUCAUAUAUAUAUAUAAUGCUAUAUUUUUAGAAAAGUUAAUUAGAAUUUAAUAAAAAGCAAUAGAAAACAAGCAAAGAAGCGAGUUCUUCUUAAACAAAAAGAGCAUAAGAAAAUUUAAAUUCAUAAUCAUAAUUUGGUUAUUUUUGUGAUUUAACGAAUGAAUGUUAUUUGAAGAAAAAAAUUAUAUAUGAGUUACUAAAUGUAUGACAAAAUUAAUUACAAUGUAAAAACGGAAUAAUUACAGUUGAGAAAGAUGGGUAUUUUAUAAAAUAUCAUGCACGUGCAAAAAAUACUAUUUGCUAAAAUUAAAAAAAAAAAAAAAAAAAACAAUGGUUUUGCCAUUUUUCAAAAUGGCCUCUAAAAACGUGGUUAUAUUUCUUAUUAUUCCUAAUUAGAUUAACGUUUCUUUUACUAGGAAAUGUGUAUUAAAAUAAGAAAUUUAUUAUAGCACAAUUUAGUAAAUAAAUUAAAAACAUAUAAUCCAAUGAUAAAAUAUUUGCAGAAAUGAAAAAUACUGAGAUCAGUCAAUCGGUAAACUUUUUAAAAAUAUUUAUCUACCUUCCAUGUUUAUCACUUAUAGUCACUAAUAAUUUAUUUCUGAAUUUAAAAAACUAUCAUUGAUGACCAUUGUCAUUGAUAACUUUUAAUUUUAGAAAUUUAAAAGAAAUCUUUAAAAUGGUAGCCUGAUGUGAGCAUUUUAGUUUUUUUUAUCCAUUUUUGCACUAUGUAUGCAAUUAUUUUAUCUUUGUGGUGUAAAUUUUAUUAUUGUUGGAUUUAUGUAACUUGUAUUAUUGGAAUAAUACGUCGACCAAGUAACUAAUUUUAAGAAAAUGAAAGAAAAAAAAUCAAAAUUAUUUUUUAUUAAUUAAAUCAAUUUGUAGAAAUGUUAUGAACUAUCUAAAAAAAAGACUUAAAUAUAUCGAUAAGAAUUAGAUAUAUUUGGUUGUAUUUUGUAAAUAGUUUUAAAUUUUGACUGUAUUUGUUAAACUUACAUCUACAUAUUUUUAUAAUGGUACAUGUUGAGUAUUAUGAAUGAUUAAGGGGUGUAGAAAAGGUUGAACCAAAUUAAAUCAUCUUAUAUUGUUUCUUAAUGACACUUCCAUAAUUACUUCUAAAUGGUUAAUAUAUAUAUAUAUAUAUAUAUAUAUAUAUAUAUAUAUAAUUAAUUAAUAUUUUGCUUAAUUAUUUAUUAUAUAAAAUCUGUACCAGGGUGAUAAAAAUAUAAAUAACAAUUAUUUUAACAAAAAAAAUUUACAUCAUCUACUUUUAUCUAGUCUUUUUAGGUCACAUCAAGCAGGUGAUUGAGAAGAGGACUUGAACGAGAGGCCUCUUACCCUUGAGAAAAUAUAGAUGUUAGUUAAAUCAAGUUCAAGUUGACAUUAUUUCUAUUAUAUUAGUAUUAUUAUUAAAUAAUAUGAAAAGUAAGAAUGCAAUAUCCAACAGUUUCUCAAUUACUAUUUAACGCAUAUUUCGACUAAUAGUAUAUAUAUAUCACUAAUUAUACAACAUUAAGUUGUCAAAUAAAUUAAUAAUAUAUAUAUUAGUUUUCAGGUAGAUGAUUACCAUAGAUUGAAUUUAUAAUCAUUUGGACUUUUAUUUAAAAACAAUGUCUCAUUUUUUUAGAGGUGUUUGCAAAAAAGCAAAAGAAAAAUUAUGAUAAUAAAGGUCAUGUCACUGCAUUUUCUAAAUUGCAAAAGUAGCAAAUUUAAAAAGAAAAUUGCAUCAAAUAACAAAAACAUUUAGGAAAAAAACAGCUAAUAAUACCUAUUUUUUUGUAUAUUGUGAAUAGGACAAAAUUAGUGAUAUUAGACGGUAAUUAUAAGGCUAUCAAAUGGUCAUUAUAGAGUUAUUGACUUUUAGAUUUGCUAUUUUUGCAAUUUAGAAAAUGUGGUGACAUGGAUCUUAUUAUCAUAAUUUUUUUUUGCUAUUUUUUCAAGGGUCCCAACUUAAAAGUCGGUAAUCAUCCAAUAGCCUUCUGAUAUCACUAAUUACUUGUCAUAUUUGUCAUAGUCACAAUUUUAAAAAAGACGUGUCAUAUAAAUGUUUUUGUAAUCUAAUGCUUUUUUGUUUUUUUCUUUACUAUCAGGUAGGUGAUCAUCUCAUGACAACUCAAAAAGUGUUUUAUAACAAAACAAAACUCUGAAUAGAGAAAAGUAAAAUGUGACAUAAAGUGGGAAAGAAUGUACCAUUAUAAUUAAUGCUGCGACAUUGGGUUAAAAAGAUGGUUUUUAAUUUGCUAAGCUUUUUUGCAAUAUUCUUUCAAUUAGUAAUAUAUAUAUAUAUAUAUAAUAUGAUCAUUUAUAUGUAUGUGUUGUUUGUGCCCUAUUUUUCAACCUCAACUUUAACUUCAGGAAGUGAGUGAUUUUCGCCGUUAAUCAAUGUUUCAUUAUUUUCAAACUUUCUUUUUCUUAUUUCUGAUUAAGACAUCAUAAUUUAUUUCGGUGGUAAUUAAAAUUUCAUUAUCAUAAUCAAUGCUUCUAUAUUGUUGCAAAUUAUUUGACGUCUUUCCCAUAUAAAUUAGCAAUUAUUGUUGCCUUUACUAAUCUAUAUAAUUUGGGUUUGGAGGACAUCAGUGAUGGUUUGGAUUGAUACUGUAAAUUUUAUGUGAUUUUGACCCUAAUUCAACUAAUUAUAUUUUUCAUAUAGAUGUUAAAUUUUAGCCAAGAAAAAAAUACGCUUGACAUUCACGUAAUAUCAAGAGAGAGAAUAAAGGUGAUCAGACGGAAUUCAUCGUCCAAAUUCGACUAAAUAUUUUACAGAAUCUACCACAAUGAACUCUUGGUAACACGACUGAAUUGAUCAACACAAAGUGUGAAUUUCUCAAUCAAAUAGUCUAAAGUCUGGAUGGGGUGUUGAAGAUGUUUCGUGACAAGAAGGUAAAAUGUAGAGAACUUAAAAAGAAAUUGAGUCCAAAUGGUCUAGCGUAAGUUUUUGAGUUUGUUUCUCGAAUUAUAACUCCUUCGUACAUGUAUCAAGUUAAUUUUAUUUUAUUUAAACUUGGUCAACUCACUUGAAAUAGCUAAGUGAGAGUCCUAAUUAUAUUUAUCAAUUAACCAACUUAAUUAGAUAAAAGCAUCAUAAGCCAAAAGCAUUAAUAAUGAGAAUUAUGCAAAGGUUCAUAAACUAAAAACAACCUAAAUUAAUAUUUAUGAUGAUUCUUCCUAAGUUGAUUAGAACAAGAAGCUAACCUAACCUCUUUUUGCAGGUCGAAUCACAAUUAUAUAUCACCUAUUGCAAUUCGAAAUCUAAUUAAUAAUACAACUACAAACAAAAUAUAUAUAUAUAUAUAUAUAUAUAUAUAUAUAUAUAUAUAUAUAUAUAUAUAUAUAUAUAUAUAUAUAUAAUCAUAAAACAUUAGGCAUAGAUUAUGCUGAACCGAGAGAUAAAGCAUAUCGUUGUUAUAAAGAUCUAAAUCUCACAAGUUACAAUAUCGAAAAAAAAAUCAAUGUCUAAGCCAUAAUUAGUACCUUAUCUUUUUAUUAACAUACCGAUUAAAGAGGAUGAGUUCUCGUACAUCAAUAGUUUUGUUGAAAUGUCUUGAAUUUGUUAUGUGGUUCUACGAACAACCAAAGUACAAGGGUUUUGUUGACCGAGGUUCAGAGGCGGCAUAUCUUGGUAGGGGUAUUUUGGCAAUGCCCCUAAAACCUAUUCAAUUUCAUAUUUAAUAUAUGUCUUUAUUUAUGGUUAUUUAUAAUUAUGGUCCUAGGGUUUAAAGAGUGCAAUAUAUAAAUUCUCUAAUCUAUUAGCAUCGUUUGUAUUUAGAAAAUACUCUCUAAUAGUAUCAUCUCUCUCUGCCUCGUCACAUAAUUAACCCACUAUUUGUUAACCAUAUCUAUAUGGUUGUGGUUGAUCUUUCUAUAGAUUUUUUAUAUCCUUUAAUUAUUGAUUUUGUAACAAGCUCAAAAGCAGCUUAAAAAAAUUGAGAGAGAAAGUAGAGGGAGUCAGCUAGAAUAUUUGUUUUAGAACGAUCUAAGCUUGCUAAAAUAAUGUGCUUGUGCAUCUGAGCAUGCGUGUUUGUGUCAAACGAUGCGACACUAGGGUGCAAUUUCAUAUUUUCCUUUUUCUCUUGUGGAAUUUUUAUUUUAUGAUCAUUAUUUUACGUGGUUCUCUCAAAUUUUGGAUGAAUAUAACAACCAACCACCAAAAAUAAUUAUUUAUUCCUCUAAUGCUGUAACAACUUGAAUCUAUCACAAUUGCCAUUUAAUAAAUUUAACUACAUUCUUCCUAUAGGGCUAUUAACACUUUUAAUUAACAAGUAGAUAAAAUAAUUUUACAUAAAAAAGCAUAAGAAAAUGUAUUUAAAAAAUAUUGUUAUAAUUAAACUAAAGGUGUAUUCAAAAUGAGUUGAAAAGGUUUUUUAAAAAAACAUUUUUAUUUAAACACUUUUCUUAAAAACUUCUUAAAAUAAAAACACUUUUUUAAAGUAUUAGUAUAUACCAGUUUCUUUUAUUUGUUAUAUAUACUAAAAAAAAAUUUCUUAAAAAAUUUUAAGAUUAAUCGGUGGCAUUGGUUGUUGGAGUUGGUGGCUGAAAGUUCGCAUGUAGAGUCAUCCGAGAUGGUGGUCGAAGAUUGACUGAUGACGAUCACUGAAGAUUUGUCUAAACCCUAAAAAUGUUUUUUUUUUUUUUUAAUUUUCAAGGUUAAUUGGUGGUGACAGUCGUUGGAGUUGAUUGUCGGAAGUUAUCGGUGGAGUCACCGAAGGUGGUGGUCAAAGAAAUUAAAUAUAUCAAUAUUUUUAUUAAAAAUUUUCAAGGUUAAUCAGUGGCAAUCAGAGGGUGGUUGGCGACGGUCGUCGAAGUUGGUUGUUAGAAGUUUUUUGGUGGAGUCAAGGAGGUGGUGGUUGGAGACUGGCCGACAAUGAUCAUCAAAAUUUGGUCGACGAACUUCUCAACACUUGAAAAAAAUACCCCUAAAGAUUAAAGAAUAGUAAUGACAUAUGAGUUAUUUAAAUUCUAAACCUAAUCCUAAUCCUUAAUUAAAACUAAUCUUUGCUCCAAACAAAAUGUGGACUAUUAAUUAUAUCCACUCCACUUCACUCCUAACCCCAAAUAUGUCCUGUGUGUUAUUAUCUUCAAGACACGUGGGAACAUAGAUGUCUUUGAAUGUGUUUCACGUUCGAUACAAUUUCUACUGCGUUAUGUUCUCUUGGAUGUAGUUUAAAAGGAAUUGAGGUUGAAUUAGUCGAUUAGAAAAUUUCAAGAUUGUAACUACAUCGCAUCCCAUUCCUAUUACUUCGACAUUUUGGUCGUAUUGCGGUUUAGGCUGUGACACUUAAAACCUAGGAAUAGGAAAAGUCGUAUCAUCUUAGAAAUAAGGGAUGUCAUGGGGUAAAGAAACUAGGCUUUAAUUAAUUUAAGAUGUGGCUACCCCAUGGGAACAUUAGGUUGUCAGAAAUAAGGGAUGUCAUGGGGUAAAGAAACUAGGCUUUAAUUAAUUUAAGAUGUGGCUACCCCAUGGGAACAUUAGGUUGUGGCUGCUUACAACUUCUAAAGGAACUUGAUACGAAGUCGAAUAGGUGUAAGAUUUUUGCCCAUCACUUUUGCAGUAGAGCCUGAAAGGAUGAAGCAUUGUUAGCGCCUGUUUAAACAUCAUUGUAAUUUACUGUUUUAAAUUGCAUCCCGCUUUAUUCAUAAAUUCAGUUUGAUUACCUUUGAUUUCAUUAAGUCACAUCCACAAACAAUUUAAAAUAUUGUUAGUUAUGUGGGUUCAAUACUCAAAAUACUUUGAAAUUUUACUUUAUUGACAGUGUAUACUUGAACUUAUACCUAGUUCACUCAUAUUUUUACCACUUACGCAUUUGGUUGAUCAACGCACCACUGCUAUCGUACUAGUGAGCAAGGUAUAAUUGUACUUGCGAACAAGAAAAGAAGAACAAAUAUUCUUUAAUACAUUUAUUUUUACUUUUUGACCGUUUUGUUUAAAAUUAAUUCCAAAACAGAUUUUUGGAAAGAAAACAUUAAUCUUAUUUUUUCAUUGAAAACAACUCUAAAUUUGGAAAAAGAAAAAUACACAAAACCCUAUUUUCUUCAUGUCUUUGUUCUUUCCUCUCUAAACUUGUUGUCCUUCACUCGUUUCUAGAAAAAUUUCAUUGAUUUCAUCAUGUUCUCCGAUGAGUGCACGUCAUCAACGAUCAAAAGUCAUGCUAAUUAAUCUAGAGAAGCAAUUGGUUUGGAUGAUUUAGUACAAAGGUCACACCCAUUUUGCUUUCAAAUCAGUGGAUUCAUCCACGACACAACAAUCGUCAUUUUUUGUUAACAAAAAUUUACAUAAUUAUCACAAUAACAAAUAACUCGAUGAUAAAUGAAAAAAAUAUUUUAAAAUUGAAAAAGAAAAGGAGGCACCACAAGACACAACGACCAACAAGUUAUUAUAACGUAAAAUAAAUAAAAUAAAAUAUAAGAAAUAUAAAUAUAGAAAAAUAAAUAAACAUGAAAAUAGAGAUUUAUCUUUAAAAUCUCAAAAAAAUUAUUUUCUCCCUUUCAUAAAUAAUGUCACUAUUUAUUGAUUAUUUGAACACUAAAAUGUGAUACUACUUUUAUAUUAAACAUGUUUAAUCAAUAAAACACAUGAAUAACAUACACUAAAAUACAAGGGAAAGUGGAAGACAAGACACUUGCUCUUUGAAACACUAACUAUGAUCAAGUAUCUAUUUUGCCAUAUAAUUUUAUAAUAGAAACAAAAUUGAAAUUCCUAAAAUAUGUGGAGAUGAAAUUGUUACACAAAAGUAUGGGGAUAUAAAAAUAUGCACAAUUUAAUAAUAUAAUUAAACUAUGAAUUUAAAUUAUGGGUAUGGAGAUUAGAAACCCAUUCUUGUGAAAGGGAAGAGAAUCUAGAGAAUGGUGGGUUCAUCUCACACAUGUAUGUGCUCCCCCAUGCAUCUAAUUGAUCUGACUAAAAGUAUAAUAUGUUAUUACUUCUCUUGCAUGCUUAUGUAUUUAUUGUUUUUCUUGUCUAAUGUUAUUAUUGUCUCAACCAUUCAUCAAUAUCAUUAUAAUAUAUGUUGUCCAAUUAAUUAAUGUUAUAGAUUCAAAAAGAAAAUAACAUUGAGAAUUAGCAUUCAUUGAUUUUGGACAAGGACACAUUUCUUAAUCUAUUGGUUCAUUUAUUUUCUUAUGUACUUGUACAUUUAUUUUAGAUAACACAUAUAAUGUUAGUGGCAUUUAUUACAAAUUAUGAUACACUAUAGUAUCAAUAUCGGUCACACGCGCAUGUGUAAUUAUUUUUCUAAAUAAUAGUUUCAUGAUACAACGAUUGUUAUUUCAUGAUAAACAAUGGUUUUGAAAAAGCUCUAAUAAACGAUGAUACACAAUCAUGUGUGGUUUAUGAUACACGAUCGUGUAAUUCAUAAUAAACAAUGGUUUUGAAAAAAUCGUAUUAUAAACAAUCAUGUAGCUCAUCUCCAUGACAUAUUGAAAAAAAAUAAGAUGGAUGAUUGAUUGAAAACAAAUAUAAUCGUAGCAAAAGUAUAACGAAAAAGAAUAAUAAUAAUUGUAGAAUAAUGAUCAUGAUUUCAAACAAAAAUAUAAAAGAAAAAUUACAUAAGAAGAAGAGAAGGAGAGUAUCAUCAGUGACCGCCACCGUAAAAAAAAAUGGAAAGAAAGAAGAAAGAAAUCGAAACCACACAAAAUUCAAAAGCGAUAAAGAUAAAUCUAAAAUAUUUUUUAAAAAAUAACAGAUUUUAUACCAUUUGUAAAUAUUUAUUUUUAAAAAAAUAAUAGAUUUUAGACGUAAAUAUUUGGAUGUUUCGUUAUAUUAUUGAAAAUGAACAUAGGGAAAAUGAAUAAUUAAUUAGAUGGUUAAAAUCUUACACAAGUACAAUGAAAAUAACAUUAUUAGACAAAGCUGAAAAUGAUUCCAAGAAAAAAGAGGACAAGAUAGUGGUCAAAACUGCAUCACAAGGCCUAUAGAAGGUGGAAGGGUUUGGGUCAAAGGCCCAAGUCCUAGGCCUUAUGGGAAAAUAUAGGACACGUCUGAGCCUAACUAGCCCAAAGGUGUACAUAUUUCCUAAUAAUUAAUCAAAUAUAGUAAUAGUCUUGCCCUUGUUAAGGGACCAAGUUGUAUGUAGGGUUGUUGUCCCUUUGUCUAAGGGGCUAAUUAUUGUUGCAUUGUUGAAAGCUUAUGUAGUAGUAGAGCCUUAGGUUGGCUUCUCUUGGGUCUAGUCUUACGGGUGAUUUGGCAAUGAAUAGAAUUGUAAUGUCCCCUAAAAGUACCGUAGAUUCUUUCUUUUCUUUGGUCUUGUUCAUUUGAGAUGAUAUCUCCCUUUGUCGUCAAUUGUCACUUUAUGACGAUGAGUUUAAAGUUUUUAUAAACCUCCAAACUCUUUUGAGAAGUCACAGAACUUAAAUUUAGGAUAGUUCCUUUUGUCAUGAUUUCAUUAGCUUAUUCAUGCUCAAGUUGCGAGUUUGUCAUUUGUUUUGCUUUUUCUUUUUCUUUGUUUGUAAGCAGCUCUAACUUUGAAAACUUAAAAGCAAUUGAUAGAGUUGGAGAGAAGAUUAGUGAUGUCAAAAACUUGGCAGGUAAUACAUAUAAUCAUCAUGUGAUAACAAUGAUGAUUACUUUGUUUUCUGGUGGUGAUGUAACUUAUGAAAUAGGAAAAAAGAUGUUUGCUAUAUAUAUGGUCUAUAUAGAUAGACUCAAUUACAUAAUAUUGUCUAAACUUUUCUAUUUUUCUUUGUAAGAAUAACCUAACAAGCUAUUAUUUUACGUAUAAGUAAGACCUAGUUUAUCUUUUUAACCUUUCUCAACCAAAUUACUAUAAUUUUACAAAGUUUAACCUUUGUAACCUAUUCUUUUUGCCAAUGUUAUAAAAAAAAAACAAAUAUAUAUGAAAGAAGGUAAUUGUAAUUAUAUAGUAUAUCUUACUUGUAGUAUGAUUCUCAAAACUCUUGCCUAUAAAGCCAACUAUAUAUAAAGCAGUAUUUUAAAAAAAUAAUAAUGUUUUUUAAAUAAUAACAAAAAUAGGAUACUAUCAAACAAAAAUUUUUAAAACUAGAGUAUAACCCAAAAGAAAGAAGUCUUGUACCGGUACACGACAUCCUUAAAAAAAACUUUUUUAUUCAUUGCUAUUCUAAUUUUGAUUAUGGGAUCACCAAACAAAAUUAAACGAAGAAACAAAAUUAUUUUUAUUAAUUAAAAAUAUUACCUGUCCAACUUCUCAAACAAAAUUUCAAAAGCAUAUAAUCAAAUUAAUCACUAACGUAUAAUUCACCAAAAUUUUCAAAAUAACACUUAAAUUUAUCCAAACCUAAUAGAAAAAAUUGUGUAAAACAAUGACAUGAUCGAUGCAACUCAUUAUUCAAUAAACGAAUCACCACAAACAAAGUUUAUCAAACGAUUUAAAUAUCAUUAUUUAGAAAAAGAUGAAAAUUUUAAAAGGUUAAAAACAUAUUUUAAAGAAACAGACUAAAAUUGAAAUAUGUAAAUAAAAUUAGAAUUAGAAUUUUAAUAUUGACGGUAGAAAUAUAUCUUUUUAAAAAAUAUAUAAUAAAAUAUGUUAUUGUAACUAAAAUUUUAAACAUAUAUUUUUAUCAAAAAUAUUUGAAGAUCGAAUAAUUGCAAUUGGAAAGUAAAUAUUAAAAAUUAAAAUGUGGUGUGAAUUUAAUAAGAAAACAUAACUUUGUAGGCAAAUUAGAAUAUUUAAUAUAUAUAGAGAGAGAGAAAAAAAUAAAGAAGUUGGUUAAUAAAAAAAAUAAUCAAAUUAAAAUUGAAUAAAGAAGUUGGUUAAUAAAAAAAUAAUCAAAUUAAAAUUGUAUACUAUUUUUUGUAUGAUUUUUUUAAAAUAAGACUAUUAAAAAAAAUAUGAAACUAUAAACAGAGAACCUUCUAGAGAUAAAGAAAAGUACUUUAGAAAUUUAACAAUGGUUUUUCUAAAACUUGAAAACUGAUUUAAAAUUUAUUUCUGUUUUAUCUUUUUUUAUCAUUUUUUCAAUUUUAUUUUCACAUCAAUAAAUAAGUAUAUACGGUGCAUUUUGGUGUAUCAGCCAAACCAACGUAAUUUAUUGAAAAAAUAUCAUUUGAUCAUAGUAAAUAUUUGUUUUUUGUUAUUUUAAUAUAGAGCUAGUUUUAUUCGAUCAUGUUUCAAUUUAAGUCUUUCAUGUUGAUUGUGUUUGAAUUUUUAAAUUCGAUUUUGAUGAUAUAUAUUAAGUGAAUUAAUUUUGUUAACUGAUAUGAAUAUUGGUUUUAUUCUUAAUUUCUUUUAUAUGAUUUUAAAGUUGUAUAAAAUUACGUUUAAUUUGUUAUAUCAGUUGUAUAACAUAUAUUUCAUAUUUUAUAUAUAAAUGGAUUGGUUGAUAUACCAAAUAUUGAGCAUAUCAUUCAAAUUGUUUCUUUUUUUUUUUUCUUUAAGAAGGGAGAGUAGAAAUAACUUGAACAAGGGAAAACCUUGGUUUUCAUUCAUAUAUUUCAAUUGUAAUGUCUGCAACCAAGCUAGGAGGAAAAAUCCUUAUUCUAAACACACCCCAAUAUUAAACCCAAACAGUUUGGAAGUUCUCAAUGGACUUUACAAUAACGAGCCAUAAAAAAAAUAGAAAGCACAUGUGUAAUAACAAAACUAAUGGGUUGCCUUAACACCCCUUGCAAAGCAAUGAGUAUGGCAUCAAUAAUAGUGAGUUCGUUCUUCAGCUUAUGAAAGGAUGAGGCAGACAAUGGUUUGGUAAGAAUAUUUGCUAUUUGUUGUGAAGUUGGAAGAUGACACAAUGAGAAUUUUUUCUUCUAAACCAAAUCUCUAACAAAGUAAAUAUCAAACUCAAACAUGUUUAGUUUUUUUUAGUGCAAAUGGGACUUGCACUUAAGUGAAUUGCAUUAAGAUUAUCACACCACAUAAUAGGACGAUGAGGUUUAGUAAUACAUAAGUCAAAUAGUAGUGAAGGAAUACAUACUAGUUCAAUAGCAAGUAGAGUAAGGCACAUGUAUUCUGCUUCAAUACUAGAUCUAGGAAUAAUGGAUGGUUUUUUUUAUCCCAAGAGACUAAAUUAUUACUAGAGCUACUUAAUUUUAUCCGAUCUUAUUUAAAAUUAACCUCAUUGCUAGAUUAAUUUUUGCCUUAAUUUGGCUAUUUUUAAAUUUGUGAUUAACUAACUUUUGUAAAAUACAAUGUUGUUUAAUUAGUAGAUAGUUUGGUUAGAGUAACUAAACCAUUUAGUUAUGAUAAGUAAGGUGGGCGAAGAAGUAUUAAAUGUGACAACUUUUUAAAUUGGUUUUUAUUUCCAAAAGACUUCGUGCUCUUUGAGGUGUAAGCCAAAUAUCACGUUAUUUCAAAUUCAAAAAAAAAUUCCACCAUUUCGAAAUUUUAGUCAUUUGAAGAAAAGCUUUUUGGCUAUAAAUAAUCUUUCUUCUUCGUCCAUAAAGAAAACAACAAAAAACCAAAAGAUCAUCUCUUCUUCAUCUAAAUCUCUAACUUCCAUAGUCUCUACUUCUCUUAACCUCCAUAUCUUCUUAAAAAAACCAAAAGAUCUACAACACCCAUUUUAUUUUAUUUUCUAGCAACCUUCUAAAUCUUCAUCUUUCUCACGAUAUCAAAAAUUCAUCACACAAGAAAAACUCUAACUUAGUUGGAAGUGUAUGGCUUAGGUCCCCAUGAUCCACACUUUAAACAACAAGAGAGUUUAGUGUUUUGGAUUUCACCUUUUCUUUUUUAUACAUUGUUACUCUUGUUUUUAGUUAUCGUUCUUCUUUUUCCUACUUUCUUUCUCUUGCCUUUAUUUAUUUAUUAUCUUGUGAGUUUCUCUUUUAUAUAUAAUUUUCUUUAUUAUAUAUAUUUACGUUACAUUUUGUUCUUUAUCAUUUUUUAUUUCGUUUGUUACUUUAUUCUUUAUAUAUUUAUCUUUAAUUUCCUUAUGUUUAGCAUUUUAUAUUUUAUUCUUUUUAUAGCAUUUAUUAUUAUUUCUUUAAUAUAUUGUCAUUUUUAUAUGCUAUUUAAUUUUGUUUCUCUAUAUUUGUUUAUUUUUCUUGUUUUUAUUUGUUUAUUUUUCUUCUUUUAUAAUUAUUUCUACAUUUUCCUUGUUUCAUAUCUUGUUUAUCCUUCUUUUUGCUCAUUUAUUUGUUCUUACUUUCUUUUUCUUUAUAUAGUAAUUUUGCUUUAUAUUUUUAUUUUACUUAUAGAUUAUUUUUUAUUUUACAUUUUGUCCUUGUACAUAUGCUUAUUUAAAUGUUUGUGUGUUGCUUUAUGAUUCAUUUAAUAUAUAUUCUUGCUAAUAGUUGUUUAAUUUUUUCUAAUAUUUUCAAUUAAUUUUUUUUUUAAAAAAAAAACAUCCGACUACGAAAUCUAGAAGAUUUGGAAGUACGCUUUCUUAGAAUUCUUGAGGUGAGAAGUCAAUUCUUUGGGAAUCCGAGAUCGAUCUCCAAUAUGUUUUUAUGAAAAUUAAAUCUCAACAUCAAUAAAACCAACAAGUGACAAGUUGGUAGAACGUCUAAGCCAUAAUCUAUGAUAUAAGGUACCUUUGAGAUAUCUCAAAAUACAUUUUACAAGUUAACAAUGUGUAAGUUUAGGAGAAUGCAUCAAUUGACAUGCUUUGUUUACACUAUAUGAUAUCUCGGGAUGUCUAAGUGUGACAUAUUGUAAUGCUCCAACAGUAGUACGAUACAUAUAUACAUCAUAAAAUUCUUCACCUUCAUGAGCAGGUAGUAAUGGCCCGCUCAUUAGAGUUGAAGUUGAUUUUACUUCAAUCAGUUUUGUCUUCUACGACAAAUCAUUAAUGUACUAAUUUGUUUGAGAUAGGAACAUAGCCCCAUUUGUAGGAUACGAUACUUCCACACCAAGAAAGUAACUGAAUAUCCCGAGAUAUUUAGAAGCAAAGUUACUAUUGUUUAAAGAUUUAAUCAAAUCAUCCAAUAUCUUUUCAAAACAUCUCAUAAUAAUCAGAUCAUCAGCAUAUACUAGAAUAUAAUAGCAUGAAGUAGGAGUUAUUUGAAUUAAAAGUGACGAGUUUGCUUAGAUGUCCGAACACCUAAGGUAUGUAAACUAGAACUCAACUUUUCAUACCAUGCUAGGGGUGCUUGUUUUAGCCCAUAGAUAACUUUUCUUAGAUGACAAACAAGUGGAUGAAAUGCUUUUACUUCAAACCCAUAUGGUUAUAUGGUUGUUUCAUGUAAACAUUUUCUUCUAAAUCAUCAUGUAAAAAGGCAUUAUUAAUAUCAAAUUGUUUUAUAGCUUAUUCUUUCAACAAUAGCUAUUAUUAGAAGCAUACAAAUUGUAAAUGAUUUUAGAGUAGGACUAAAAGUUUCAUUGUAGUCUAUGCUAAGUGUUUAAUGAAACCCUUUGGCAACUAAUCAGGCUUUAUAUCUAGCAAUGACCCAUAAGAGUUUCUUUUUAUUUUAAAAACUCAUUUACCCCCAACAGUUUUCUGAUUAUUCUGUUUCUAAGUAAGGCUCCACGUGUUAUUUUAUUUUAAAGCUUGAAAUUUUUCUUCCAUUGCUUUCCUUCAGUAAAGAUGCUUUAAUGCUUCUUUAGCAUUAGUAGGUUCAUGCUAUCAGUAUAAAAAAUUAAGAGAACUUUAGGUUUGAAAAUACCACUUUUGCUUCGAGUCACCAUGGAUGAGUACCUUUGAUUGGUAUUGGUUGAGUCAUCUCGAGUUUGUGAUGGCAUUUGUUCAUCACAAUGUUCUUCUCUUAUUUAUUCUUCCUCAUAUUAAUCAUAAGUACAUACCUCUAAAGGAUACACAAUAAUAGGAUUUAUAUGAUCAGUGUUAUCAGUAAUUGUGUCAAUAUGUUGUCUCUCUUCAUUAUGAUUCAUUGGUAUCUUAUGAAUUAUGGAUUUGAUUGGUGGAGUCGAGACAUUUUUUUGUUGGUGAAGGUAUAUAAUGGGAUGAUAAAGAUGCAAGGGAAAGGAGUUUUUGUUAAAUAAGACAUGUCUAGAUAUGUAGAUAUGACCUUCUUGUGAAAGACAUUUAUAACCUGUGUGGGAUAAGUUGUAGCCUAGGAAGGUACAUGAUGUGGAUCUGUAACACAAUUUAUGAGGUUGGUAGGGUAUGGUGAAGGGAUAAUAUUUGCUCCAUAAAAUUUUUGGAGAAGAAUAGUUAUGUUUCCGAUCAAAUAACUUCUCUAACGGACUAAGUUGAUUAAGGAUGGGUGUAGGUAGGCGAUCGAUAAGACAAACAAUUAUAGAAAAAGCUUCAUCCCAAAAGGAUCAAGGUAAGGUGGCUUGAGAAAAAAGAGUAAAACUGAUGUCCAUAAUAUGUUUGUGCUUUCUCACAAAUAUUCCGUUUUGUUGUAAAGUGUGUUGACAGGUUAAUCUAUGUUUAAUGUCAUGGUUGUUUAAGUAAGGUAUGUAAGUUUUUAAUUCACUUCUCCCAUCAGUUUGAAGGCUUAUAAUUGAUUAGUCAAGCUAUUUUUCAAUUAGUAUUUUGAAUUUUUGAAAGACUAUGAAUGCAUCAAACUUUUAUUGAAGAAAGUAAAUCCAAGUAUACCUCGUGAAACCCACUUCUAAUUUAAAUAUAAGAAGUAUAAUCUAGCUAAGUGUUUAGACAUUUGCGUUUUAGAUAAGAGGAGACGUUUUAAAAUAAGAUUUAGCGAUAAGAAAUUGGCUUUUGAAUCAAUCCAAGAAAAUGAUUAAGUGAUAAAGUCUUAUAUGGUUAAGUAUAAAUUUUGCGAUUAAGAAGUUUUGAGAAAAGAAGGAUUUUUGAGGUAUGACCUAUAAGUCUAAACGCACACAAGAGAAAGAGUCUUCGCGAGAAAGUUGGGUAGUCCACGAGAAGAGACUUAUGUGUUAAGACAUUCGAAAGUUAUGUUAAGCGGUUAAAGCUAUUCGCGGAAUGAAAUUAAGCGAGAAGAAAGGUUUGACGAGAAAAUGUCAAAUCUAAUUUGUCAGGGGUUAACGUGUAAUUUUAAGGAUUUAAGCAUGACUAAGAUAAAUAUUUAUUUUACACGUGUGAGGUUUUAAGUAGGAGGUGACAACCGGAUAAAAAACUAAGGAUAAAAAACUAAGGAUGACUAACAUGAGUUAAGGAAUAAUAUAAAUAGAGGAUUUUGUGAUUUAGUAAGCACGAAGAUUUUGUUAAAGAGCUUAAGUGCUGUUAUUUUGCUCUUGCGAAAAGAAGAAGAAAAACAAGGUGUUUGUUGGGAUUUAUGUCCUAAAACUCGUAGAUUGUAAAUAUAAUGCAUUGAUUGUUAUUAAUAAAAUAUUAUUAUUAUAAUAAAUAUUAUUGAUUAUAUUAUUAUUUUUGUCUUAAAAAUCCAAAUCCAAUAAACUAACAUCUUAAGAUGUUUGAUGAGUCUUGAACAGUAUGUAGAGAUAUAUAGAGAUCAAUGUUCGAGAUUAGUUUAAAGGGUCUAUAGUCUCGAGAUAAGGUUGAGUACCGUAUCUUGGUAACACUAUGAAUACUGCUCACUUUGUAUUUGAUAUAAACACAAUGAUCCAACGCUUUCAUGUAGGUGGCAUGCGUUUUGAACAGUAUGUAGAGACAUACAUGGGUUAAUGCUCGAGAUCAACUUAAAGGGUCUAUAGUAUAGAGAUAAGGUUGGGUACCUUAUCUUGGUAACAGUAUUAAUACAACUCACUUUGUAUUUGAUACAAACAUAAUGAUCCAACGCGUUUGUGUAGGUGACAUGUGAGUGAGAGUAUCCUAUGCAAUAAGUUUGCAUAAGAUCGAACUGCGAAAUAGUAACCACUAGAUGUGAUUUUGUUAACUAGUUAGGUUUCUAUUUCAAUAGGAUGAUCUAGGUAACUUAGUCUUAAUCCUGAGUGUAUUAUGAACUCAUGUUCGAGAGAGAUUGUCUUUUGAUUUGUACAGGUGAGAGUGGCCAGAUCACCGACUCAAUAAGCUUAUCAUUUUGG
This 151082-nucleotide long non-coding RNA is filed under the name Cucumis sativus (cucumber). RNAcentral's name for it is "long non-coding RNA (CSAT_LNC000368)". The record is from RNAcentral. Lineage: Eukaryota; Viridiplantae; Streptophyta; Magnoliopsida; Cucurbitales; Cucurbitaceae.